This 155528-nucleotide long non-coding RNA is filed under the name Citrus x clementina. RNAcentral's name for it is "Citrus clementina (C. clementina) long non-coding RNA (CCLE_LNC002331)". Lineage: Eukaryota; Viridiplantae; Streptophyta; Magnoliopsida; Sapindales; Rutaceae. The record is from RNAcentral.
AUGGUACAUGAUUUUGCCCGAUUUGUAAGUCAAAAUGAAUGUUUUUCGAUGGCAAUUAAUGGUAGUGAAGAACCAAACGCCACAAACUCUCUUGAUGAGAAGGUCCGUCAUUUAAUGUUAAUCUUUAGUAAAGGGGCUUCAUUACCUGUUUCCACUCGUAGAGUUAAAAGAAUGCGUACCCUCGUAAUUAACGAUAGUAGAUCAUUAAAUGGCGAGAUCCUAGAAGAAUUAUUUAGGGAAUUGACAAGUUUAAGGGCAUUAGAUUAUGGCGGAUCGCCCCACUCAAGGCCGUUGUUGACUGCGGAGGUUCCAAGAAACAUAGAAAAGCUGGUACAUUUGAGAUACCUUAAUUUGUCUUUUCAGAAAAUAGUGAAACUACCGGAGACAUUGUGCGAGUUGUAUAAUCUAGAAAAGUUAGAUAUUAGUUGUUGUUUGUAUCUUAGAGAAUUACCUGAAGGGAUUGGGAAGUUAAUAAACAUGAAGCAUUUACGAAAUAGAGGUACUAGUUCUUUAAGGUACAUGCCAGUAGGGACUGGGAGAUUAACGGGUCUUAGGACCUUGGGUCAGUUCCAGGUGAGUGCAGGAGGAGGUGUUGAUGGUAGGAAAGCAUGUAGGCUUGAAUCUCUUAAAAAAUUGGAACACCUUCAAGUAUGUGGUAUACGUAGACUGGGUGAUGUAUCAGAUGUGGGCGAGGCUAAGCGAUUAGAACUUGACAAAAAGAAAUACCUCUUCAGUUUGACCCUUGAGUUUGAUAAGAAGGAAAGAGGAGGAGAAACGAGGAAGAACGAGGACGAUCAACUUCUUCUUGAAGCCCUGCGACCACCUCUGGAUUUAAAGGAAUUAGUGAUACGGUACUACCGAGGCAACACUGUUUUCCCCAGCUGGAUGACGUCAUUAAUCAACUUAAAGAGUUUAGAUCUCUCUUCCUGCGAAAAUUGCGAGCAGCUGCCUCCUUUGGGAAAAUUGCCGUCCCUUGAAAAACUCGGCCUAUCGGACAUGAAGAGUGUGAAAAGAGUGGGUGAUGAAUUUUUGGGGAUAGAAAGUGAUCAUCAUGGCUCAUCUUCAUCUUCAUCGGUUAUUAUUGCCUUCCCCAAAUUGAAAUCACUCUCAAUUGAGUUUCUGCGCGAAUUGGAGGAGUGGGAUUAUGGGAUUACAAGAACGGGAAACACCGUCAUCAACAUCAUGCCACGUCUUUCUUCAUUGACAAUUGUUGAUUGCACCAAAUUAAAGGCACUGCCCAACCACAUUCAUCAAACGACAACGUUGAAGGAAUUGUGCAUUGUGGAUUGUGAGCUUCUGGAAGAACGUUACCGCAAGGGGGAAGGAGAAGACUGGCCUAAGAUAUCACACAUUCCCAACAUAGAUAUUUUUUAAGAAGGAUUUGCGCAUUCGAGAUUUGGCGUUGACAAGUAAUUUCUUCUCUUACUCUGAUUUGCUUUGUUGUUGUUUUUAAUCUAAUUAAGAAGCGUAAAUAGCAUUUUGAAUCAAACUCUAUAUCCGAAAUCUGCAAUACAUACUUUCUAAUAUUCUGAUUUUCAUAUCCUACCAUUUUUAAUUUGUGAGAUGGGUAACGUUACUGUAAAAGAUUAUUAAUGGAACAUGAGUAAUUCUUUUGCAGGACAAGUGACCUACAUUUAGUUUGGCUUUGGAGUUGAAUAAUAACCUUUCAAGGCCAGGACCCAAAAGCAGGAAAAACAAAAAAAGGAACGAAGCUUAAUUUUGCCACAGAUUACAUGUAUUGCCAUUAUUGACAAGUUUCUGGACAAGUGAUCAAGGGUGAGAGUGGUGCUACAACAUUGAAUAAAGCAGUCGUGACUGAAUUUAGGUUGUGUCAAAAGUGGUAAAUUAUUUGCAUGUGUAGCUAAUUUGACCAUUUCCUGAUCUAUAAGUCUAUAUUAAUUUUGAUUUUUAGUUGAGUGAUUACAUUUCAAGGUUUGCUUACUUAACAGGGCGACCAAUUUCUUUUAACUAAAUGUAUUAUAUGAUGCAGGAAGCAAGGCAGGAUAUGAAAUAAGAAGCUUAUUAAUGGCAGUUGGCAGUGAAUGGAGGCCCUUGACUAAAUUCUCAAGCGGUUGCACUGCAAUUACGCUUAUCCGUAGCCUCAGGUAAUUUCUUCUUCUGCAUUUUUGUAAUUUGUUAUCUAAUUAAGGGGCGUGAGCUAUUUUGAAUCAAAUUCUAUAUCAGGAAUAUAUGCAACAUUUUUUAAAAUUUUGAUAUGAGAGUAAUGAUGGUAAUUUCUCUUUUUUGUCUGUCAUCGAAUGUUAAAUAACAUUCACUAAGACUCUUGAGAGUCAUUUUUUGACAAUUGCAGGACAAGCGACGAAGAGUGAGAAUGGUGUUAGAUUGGGGAUUGAGGCAAAAGGAGGUAAAUUAUUGGCAGAGAAUUUGGGAGCUUGAGUGUACAGGGAUUUGCAAUUACAAUCUUACUCUGCCUUAGGUGAUUUCUUCUCCUGCUUUGUCAUUGGUUGUUCUCUAGUUGAAAAGCAUAAAGUAUUUCAAUCAAAUUCUAUACCAAGAAUAUGCAAAACUUUAUUUCCAUCUGUUUGCAUUGAUAACUUUGCGGCAUAUGCGCUAGUUAAAGAACAAACAGAAACAGAGGUCAGGAACAAGUUUCCUCUGCCGUCAUAUUUGAAAAUGCAACCAUUUCCGGGAAGUAGUUGGCAGCAAAUUCAUAUAAAGUGUAGACAAUAAUGAGCAAAAAGGUGAUUCACAAUUUUAUUUUUUUUAAAUUAAUUGUUAGGUUGGAGUUGUUAAAAGGCCAUUGAGCUAACCUAUGUCAUUAGUUACCUAGAUUGCAGGGGGUCCCGAGACUCCAAAGAAGCAUUGAAUUUUAAAAGGCAUGCAAUAAUUCUUGUGGGCGUAUGAGUUUGAUUUAGAAUCAAACUCUAGAUCAGAAAUCUGCAAUGCAUAUUUUCUAAUAUUCUGAUUUUCAUAUCCUACUAUUUUUAAUUUGUGAGAUGGGUAACGUUACUGUAAAAGAUUAUUAAUGUAAUAUGAGUAAUUCUUUUGCAGGACAAGUGACCUACAUUUAGUUUGGCUUUGGAGUUGAAUAAUAACCUUUCGAGGUCAGGACAACAAAAAAAUGAAUCUUAAUUUGCCACAGAUUGCACUUAUUGCCAUUAUUGACAAAUUUCUUCACAAGGGAUCAAGGGCGAGGAUGUUGAUAGAAUAUUGAAUAAAGCUGCCGUGACUGAACUUACGUUGAUGUCAAAAGAGGUAAAUUAUUGGCAUGCCUGACUAUUUUGACCAUUACAUGAACAUGAGUUUACAUUAAUUUUGAUUUUGAGUUGAGUGACUUUUUAAGGUUUGCUUACUUAACCGGGUGAUGUGAUGCAGGAAGCAGGGCAGGAUAUGAAAUGAGAAGCGUAUUAGUGGAAGUAUUGCCAGUAACAGAACCCAAAAAAAAGUGGAACCAUUUUAAGGCAGCAGUUGGCAGUUGGGAGUGAAUGGAGGCCCUUGACAAAAUUCUCAAGCAGUUGCAAUGCAAUUACGAUCAUCCUCAGCCUCAGGUAAUUUCUUCUCCUGCUUUGUUGUUAUUUGUUACCUAAUUAAGAAGCAUAAAGUAUCUUGAAUCAUUUUCUGUAUCUGGAAUAUAUGCAACAGUCUCUAAAAUUUUGAUGACUGUAAUGAUUGUAGUUUCUGCUUUCUGUCCGACAUCGAAUGUAAGACGACUUUAUUAAGACUCUUGAACCGAGACAUUUUUGACAAUUGAAGGGCAAGUGCUGAAGAGUGGGAAUGGUGCUAGAUUGGGGAAUAAAGCAAAAGGAGGUAAAUUAUUGGUAGUUUCUGCAGCCUUGUUUUCUUUGAAUCAGCACCUGAUUCACAAGACUCCAUUAAUUUGGCUUUUGAUGAGCUGAGUGAUAAAUUUUCAAUUUCUUUGGUGCUAAAUGUAUGUGUGAAGCAGGUAGCAGGGCAUGACUGUGGAAAAGAGAAGAUUUUAGUGAAAGCUGAAACUCAGAUAAUUCUACAUUUAUCUAAUUCACGAAAUUUUAUUUCCAUCUGUUACAAGAUCAAACUGAAGCAGAACUCAAAGAAAGUAAUCUACUUCUUGCGGCAAUCUUGCCUUCGCUCAGAUUAUGAAACCAUUUCCAUGCACCAAAUUCAUCCAAAAGUUUGAAUAAGUUUCAUGGUUGGACACUGUUGGCUUCUUUUUCUUUUGGGGUGCAUUUUGGUGCUACCAAGUGACAGCUGCAAGUAUGAUUGCACUAACCUGCUGCUGGGAAAUUUGAGGUUUUGAUGGCUGCCCAUGUUAUUGUCAAGAAACUCCUCAUGUAAGAAGCUGUGGUUCUUUUCAUCAGCUUGAACCUGAAACUGUUGCUAUGGAUAACUCACGUUUUUAUUCUCAACUAUAUCAUCUUUUUUAGUGUUUUGAAACUCUUAAGAUUAAACUUUGGUAAAAUGUUUUCAGUUAUCCAUGUAAUCAGGCUGAGGAUAAUUUAGUAAAGUUGUUUCCGCUAUUCAAAUGAAAAACCCCAUUGAUUUUAACCAUGAUAAAGCUAAUGUUCCCAAUGAUUACUGCAGGUGAGACUUGUGAAGAGGGUGAGUGAGGCAACUGCUAAAAUUCCUGGCUGGGAUACAGUAACUAGAGGCUGAGAUCAGGUGGUGGAAUUUUUUGUUCCGUGGAUGAUACCAGAAUUGUCCAGAAAAGAUUUGUUGAUACUAAUUACAGAUGAUAGAAAGAGGUAUAGGUGGAGAAGAGAAAUCUGCGAGUCAAAUUAGGGAUAAUUGAUUCUGAUACUAGUUAUAUUGAAAAUAAUAAUAACAAUUGCAUGAAGAUAGUCAAUAUUCUUCUCUAGAUAUAUUGUAUGGACUUCCUUGCUGCCUUUAUCUAUGUGCAUGUUGACUAAAGCUAAUCUAGAAUCAAUAGAGAGGGAUAUUUAUCUAUUUUGUUUAACAUAAGAGUGCUGUAUAAUUUUUCACUAAAUACACCUACAACAAACUAUUAAUAAUAAAGUGAUAGAAGAAUGCCUAAAAUAUAGGUAUUAAUGUCAUAAUAAGCCCAUGUGGAUCUCAGUGCCGCAAGUUCGAUAAAUGGCUAUCAAGGAUUGCUUAUUAAGUCAAAAUAUUCAAAGGACAAAAUGGUAAAACUAUAAGGGUGGAGUAAUAUGGCUAUCUUGGGUUACAUAGUAAGUCAACUACAUUCAAAGUAUAAAAUAUUAGAACCUGAACGGCGGAGUAGUCGUCGUUAGAACCUGAACGGCGGAGUAAUCGUCGUUAGAAUCUGAAUGAUAUGUCUAAGACGUUGCAUGCAUCUAGAAAAUUGCAGAUGAUUAGACCUUGCCAUCUAUGCGUUGUAUGAGGUUAUAGCAACUAUCUAUCUGGUCACCGUUUUCAAGUCUCAAUUGGUAGUCCAAACUCCAAAGAAAAGAAUGAUUCUACAAUAGCAUUAAGUGUUAAUUGGACACAAAAAGAAAUGUUUUAACCACUUUAAGGAAAGUAAAUGUAAUUUUGUGUCCUAAAGAAAAGGUAAAUGUAUGCACUGUCAAUUAAUCUUUGGUCGACCAGCAACAUCAUAAUUUUGUGUAGGUUCAUUUUUGUUUCUUAGAGUUUGUAAAAAGAAUGGGAAGAUUUUAAAAUAUAAAUUUCAUAUCUGUUUAUUACUGUUGUUUGGUCUAAUUUCUUAUGUAGAAUUUUCAGAAUCUGUAGGACAUUAGUUUAUAAUUUUGAGAUUUUGCAGCCAUAAAUGUUUUUUUUUUCUUUUUUCUUUCUUUUUUUUUUUGUUGGCAUUUUAUUUUGCUCCUUUAUCUAUGUGCAUGUUGACUGGCUGCAGUGAGUGAAAAUUUACCCAUAUAUGCUGGCUAUUCUUGGACAAUAUUAGAGAAAAUAAUCAUAUUAUUUCGCUUGAUGUGAACUUCCAUAACUUAUCAAUUGAAUUGCUGUAAAAUAUUAAAUAGUUUUAUUUUUCUUUUAUCGUGUAACUUGGACCAAAAAAGGAAAUGAGUUUAACACGACCCUCAUUCUGCUUCUUGCUUUGGUUUCAAACAAGUCUUUCUCCUUUAUGACAUUUAUUGUAAUUUCAUUUGGAGACAUAUAUCUGUCGUUCAAAUAUAUUUCAUACGUAAGCUGUUAAUAAUUCUGCUUGCAGAAAGCCUACAAAGCAGCUGUGUGAUGUAAUAGAAGACCAUAGUCUCGUCAAUUUUUCAACAUUAGAUAUUCAGGUCAUCAGCUUCUCAUGAAUUCUUUCCUGAGUUUCUUUGAAUUAUUUGUGAUGUAAUAACUUGUGCAUUUGAGAAACUGUUCUCAUGAAUUCUUUCCUGAGUUUCUUUGAAUUAUUUGUGAAUAAGUUCCUAAUCGGCUGCUUCUCCUCAGGAUAAGGAAAGUGUUGCAAACUGGUGAAGCAGCUGAUAGAUAAAAGCAAUGGGUACAUCUUUGCUGGCAUGGAUCGAUGCCAGUGCGGUUGAAUUCAGCAAGACUGCCGUUCGUGAUGUUGUUGAUUGGGAUUACAUUAAGGAUGAUGACAACAUUGAUUAAAAUGGGACGUGAAGAUAUAUGGUGUGCAAAUUAACCCAACCCAACCAAACCCGUACAUUUUAUCAACCCAACCCAACCCAACCCGUAAAAAAUCACACGGAUUAGGUUGGUUUCACGGAUUGGGCGGGUUAAUUCUAAUUUCUUUAUAAGUUUACCAAAAUUAGAUCUGCUUACCUUUGUUCAUUCAGCAACAACACUUACAAUUCACAGCUAGAGAAUCUAUCCAUUGACAAUUGUGGAUUAAAAUUAUAACACCUGAAUUCAAACAUAUCCUUAUGAAGUUAUGAAUUUGUUCAUACUUCAAAUGAUUUUUUUUUUCCAAGCUAAUAAAGCAACGACUUUGAUCAAACGACGACGUUGAAGGAAUUACGUAUUUUCAAUGUCCUUUGCCAGACAGACGCUGGAGAGAGGGAAAGGAGAAGACUGGCCUAAUUAAGAUAUCUCACAAAGAUUAUUAUUGAGUUAAAAUGUUAUUGUAAAAGAUGUUUAAUACAAUAAUAGUACUUCUUUUGCAUUGUUAUAAUGAGGCUGGCGGGUUUCCUCAGAGGAUGGAUCUGGCUCGCUAGUAUGCAUUUGGGAAGCUGCUAAUUAUCGGCCAUAAAAAGUCAGGGGGUUGUGGCUCGUCCGUCGCCCAGAAAUUCCUAAACUCAUAUAUCAAACUUCAGAUGAACUUGGGCAUUAUGUAAAUAUGUAUUUUUGAGAAUUAAACUAGUGCGUUAGAAAAAUUUUGAGCCAUUGUAAUCAUUUUAUUUUGCUAAGAGAAAAUUUUACUCUGUGUUUCGCUUUGCCUUUUGUUUUUUCUGUGAUAAUAUGAUUCAUACGAAUGUGAUUACACACUAUCAUGCAUCUAUUUUCAUUUGCUUGUCAUGAAUGAUCAACAUGCUCGAAAUAUUUAUUUAGGUUGGAAAUAUUUAAAUCUAUUAAAAUACUAUACACACCCAUUUAAAAAUAAAAAUAUGAUUAUCAUAAUGAUCGCGAAGAUAACACGAUAUCAUACAUAAAAUAAAAUAUUUCGCAAAAAAGAAAAGAUACACUUGAAUACAUUGGUAUAAAAAAUAUUUUAGUGGAUUCAAGUAGCACUAAUGCCCCCUUAUCAAAAAAUAUAUAAAGAUAACUAAUCUGAUUGGGUAUACCGUGUGUGUGUGUAAUAUUUUUUGAUAUUAUUAUAUAAUAUUUUUUAAAAAGAAGAGAGUGGGCAAAGUCCAAAUCAAUUUUCUAAUCCCUAUCUCCUUUAGGAUUUCUAGUCAAAGAGGCUAAAUUGCACGAAAUUGUGCUAGCUUAUUUGAUUUUAAAAUUUUCCAAUGCACUGUAACACACUCUCAUGCUUGUACAUAGCUCGAAAAUCUCUAGAAUUUACCAGAGUAGUGUACCAUGUAGCUUGUACAUAGGUUUUUCUGGAACACUCCAAGCGUUACUAAGCAUAAGAGCUUUGAGAACUCUCUAGACAUAAAACAUUCAAGGGUAGGCCUACCCUAAAAAUAGGGCAUGAUGAUUGCCAUUUGAGCAUACAAGAAGUAAGAACAAAUCAAGUAUAUUUGUAAGCUCCCAAACUCUCUCGUACACACUCUUGUGAAUAAUAUGCUUUCUCUUUGACUACAUUACUCUCUCUUCUCUCUAGUUUUUUUCGUAAGUAUCAUAGCUUAGCUAGUCGAAAAGUUCAAGUAGGAAUGAUAAUUUUUCCUGACAGGAUGUGGGAUCCCAUCUCAUUUGGGACGGGAUUGGGACACAUUUUUAUCCCACAAAAAAAUAUAGGGACGGGAGUAGAAAUUUUUUUAUCCCACUUGUAUAUAUGGGACAGGACUGAGAUUAACAAAUUCAGUCUCGUCCCGUCCCGUCUCAUUACCAACUAGGGAUGGAAAUUUUUCCAAUUGGGAUGGGCUCUCGCAGAAUCCCAUUUAUUUUGGGAUGCAAUUGAGACAUAUUUUUAUCCCAAAAAAAUAUAUCGAGAGUGAGACUUUUUUUUAUCCCACUUGCAUAUUCGGGACGAGACUGAGAUUAGUAAAUCUCACCCUAUCCCAUCCCAUUGCCAACCCUAAGUUCAAGGCUUACUUUGCAAUUAUCUCAUAAAAGUUGUUUUAAGUACCACAGGAGUUUGUUGUGCAAAAUACUCAUCCCGUGACAUUAGCUAAAUAAAAUUAUUUGAAAGCCACUUACCCAAACUAUUAAACAAAUAUUAUUCUUUUAAUAUGUAAUCUUUUAAUAUAAAACUUUUGUCUUAAUUUUCUAUCUCCUACAAUAAAUUUUAUGAUUUUAAAAAUUGAAAAAAUUAGUAACUUUUAGAUAGAGCAUUCCUUACUGUGAAAAGAAAUAUGAAUGGUAAUAUAAAACUUACUUAUUAUAGUAUAAUGCUUUUAGUUUUUUGAAAUAUAGGUUCUUAUUUUUUUCAAGAUAAAGUUCAAAGAAAACAAGUUAAAUGUUGUGGAAAAUCUUACGCACAUACAAUAAAUUAUGACAGCUAAAUGCAAACCUGGCUGAAGUAUUAGUUGUUUUAUUACAGAGACAAAAGGACAAUAUCACUAUCCAAGUCAAAAGCAACUCAAUGUGAGUCUUAGGGCACUCGCAGUGAAUCCCAAGAUAAACUAAUUUCACUAGCAAGUUGGAUACCAAAGAGUAAGGCUUCAGCCUCAAUUAUAUUAACAUUAGCUGAGUAAACAUUAAAUACCACAAUCAAUCUCAGAAAUCAUAAUUAAACUAUCAUGAUUAAAAAUAAAGUUUUUUUUUUAGAUAUCCGUUUGUAGUAUCUCUUUAGAUGACAAGUAGGAGAUAAAGUAAAUAAAUAUUGGUUGCGUAAAUAAAAAUAAAUAAAUUUUUUAACUGAAAAAAAAAUUCCUAAAAACUAAAUAGUUCAAACUUUUUUUAACAUGAAAUAAAUAUUUGAUGCGUAAAUAAAAAAAAUUUAACUGAAAAAAAUUCCCAAGAACUAAAUAGAUCAAACUUUUUGUUUAACAUCAUGGGUUUUGUAUAUUCAAUUGAACCGAACAACUAAAUUAAAUCGAAAUUACCAUGUUCGGUUCAAAUGAAUAGACGAAAACCGAACAGUUUAUAUUUUUAUGAACUGAUGGUGCGUUUACUUCAUGAAAUGAAAAUAUGGUGGAAUGAGAAUGUGUUAAAAUGAAAAUGAGGAAUGAGAAUGAGAUUCUAAUGUUUAUUUAGUAAAAAUAAAGGGAAAUGAGAAUGUGCUGGAAUGUCAUUGAUGUGUUUAUUUGACAAAAUAAAUGACAAAAGUAUCAAUUCGGAUCCUGCUAAUGAUAGUUUGCCAUAUCCUUUGUCAUUGAACUUUCUUACAAAUGCUGUGGUUUGUUGUAGUAUAAUUAGUUCAAUCAGAAACUUCCUUGAUGUUAAUAUAGAUAUGAGUGUGCUGUGAAUAUUGAGGACUUCAUUAGACUAAGUGAUGUGAUGAUGGAGCAUUCACUUGGUCCCAAUGGAGGUUAGUCAGCCCAUUGUUGUUUACUCUUUCUUGCUUUAUCACGCAAUGAUAUUCCUUUGCUUCACAACAAAUUUCAUGAAAUUAACUUCAAUCGAGUGGCUAUGUUCAUACGCUAUUGAGAUUUUAUGGACAAUGAUUUGGUAGACUUUAUAUGCCGUCUUCUUUCUUUUUGCAGUGAUAUGUUUGUAUGCAAUGCACUUGUACUUGUUCUAUGGUUUCUAAAGUAGGCGUUUUUAUGAUAAACUAGGUCUUGGGUAUUGUAUGGACUAUCUAGAGAAGAAUAUUGACUGGUUGCAGUCGAAAUUGGAACCACUUUUGAAAGGUAAGAAGUGGCCAUUUUCCUUCAUUCUAAUGCCAAUAAUGCUGUCAUGAGACUCAUAAAAAUUGUUAAAACGUUAAUGUUUUUGGUAUUUUGCAGAUCAUUAUCUUCUGUUUGAUUUUCCUGGCCAAGUUGAAUUAUUUUUUCUUCAUUCCAAUGCCAAGAAUGUUAUAAUGAGACUCAUAAAGAAGUUAAAUCUCAGGGUAUUGUUACAUCUUACGUCUAUGAAGGGACUCAAAGAGUUGAGAUGAAUUCAUCAUUAUUAUUUUGAUGCCAGAAUUGUGCAAUUCUCAGUUGCUUCCUUUCACAUGCAGUUGACUGCAGUGCAUCUAGUUGAUGCGCAUCUUUGCAGUGACCCCGGGAAGUAUGUUAGUGCUUUGCUUCUCUCGUUGUCGACGAUGCUACAUCUGGAAUUUCCCCCAUGUCAAUGUCUUGUCUAAGAUCGGCCUGAUUGAGAAUUAUGGAAAGCUAGGUGUGGUUUUAAGUGUAGCUCUCCUACUUGUUUGUUUAGAUUGAGAUAUCAGAUAUUGUCACAAGCUCCUAUCUGCUACAUUUCCUCACCAAUCAAUUACUUUGGGUAUGUUGCAGCUUUUAAUCUCGAGUACUAUACGGAUGUGCAAGAUUUGUCAUUUUUACAGCAUGCUCUGGGUCAGGACCCUCGUUCUGCUAAGUAUAGGUUUGAAUUCUAGCUGAAUCAAUGAUGCAAAUUAUGUCCAUUGCUAUUUCUGACUGUCGUUUCUAUCAUUUUCAAUUGUUACCUCCCCUUGCCAUCUACUGCCAUACUGCAAUGCCCACACAAAUGUUAUGAAAUUUGUCAAUGGAAAUGACAUUCUAUUUGUCCAGAGACAGCUCUUAGAUGCAAGUGAACAAUUUUUGGCUUUGGCCGUAGUACAGCCUUAGAUUUCAACUUGCCAUAUCUUGUCUCGGAAGUCAAAAGAAAGCAUAUAUGUUAGCCAAAUUUUAUUUGAAUUUCUUGUGUAACAAUGAAUGGGGAAAAAAAACAGUUCCUCUUUUGUUUUGAUCAGACUCAAUGAAUAAGUGGUUAAAAUGUGCCUGUACUAGAAAUAUAGAUGUGUGGUUUCAUAAAAUUUUCUUGAUCUUAAGAAAGAGUUAUCUUGAAAAGAAGAUAACAUGGGGAAUUGAACAACUAUACAGUCAUAUUGAUGUCUGUCAACUUGGGUCAUAUGGUGUCGUUUGGAUGGAGAUGUUAGGUCCCAGAUGGUAAACUUGUUAUCGAAUUCCAGUCUACUUCAUUCAUGCUUUGAUGACAUAUGUGGUGCAGCUUCUUAUCUAAGACCUGCAUAUGUUACAGUCAACAUUCUGUUCUGUAUUUGGCUGCCAUUCUUUUCAAUGAAUUCAAACCACUUUCUGAAUACUUGGAAAUUCAUCCAGUGUUGUCAUUGAGAUGCCAAUAUGAAAAGAAGCCAUAAUUGCCCUUGAUAGUAUGCUUAUUGAUUGCCUCUUGCCUCACUCAACCUCAGGAAUCUGCUUGUAUGGUGUUCUUCUAAUUUCAAUUGGAGAUAAAUAAUAUCUGUUGUUCAAAUAUAUUUUAUUUACAAGCUGUUAAUAAAUCUGCUUGCAGAAAGCUUACAAAGGAGCUGUGUGAUGUAAUAGAAGUCUACAGUCUGGUCAAUUUUUCAACCUUAGAUAUUCAGGUCACCAGUUUCUCUUGAAUUCUUUCUUGAGUUUCUUUGAAUUAUUUGUGAAUAAGAUCUUAGUUGACUGCUUCUCUUCAGGAUAAGGAAAGUGUGGCAAAACUUGUGAAGCUGAUAGGUAAAAGCAAUGGGUACAUCUUUGCUGGCAUGGAUGCCAGUGCAGUUGAAUUCAGCAAGAUUGCCGUUCGCGAUGUUGAUUGGGAUUAUUUCGGAUAUCCUUCUUUUCACCUAUUUUCAAUCUUGUUAUUCUCAUAUUCAUAAAACUUUUUGGUUAUUUAAUUAUGGUUCAUCAUAUGCAUCUGCAUCUUCUAACUUGUUCGUUUGAGAAACUAAUUUUGCCGUUAGGUAGGCUUCGAGCUUGAUGAGUUGAUUCAUGCUUUUUCAUAAAUGUACCAAAAUCAUGGAAACUUCUUUUUCCCAGAUAUUGUAUCCACACUUUUCCCAUAUAAUUGGGUCAGACAAGUUUUGCUUAACAAAGAUAUCUACAGUAGCCGAAGUGCAGGAGAAGUACAUUAAGGAUGAUGACGAUGUUAACUAAAAUGAGACGUGAAGAUAUGUGGUGUGCAAACCGUAAGCCUGCCUCUUAAUUUUGUGCAUGUUUACUUGCUUGUGAUUCACGUUUGUUAAUCUAUUUUGCUCUCUUGCAGGAGUUAUAAAGUUUUCAAUCAAUCAAACAUUUAACUCAAGUCCUUAGCUCUUCACGGCUUGAAUGGGUCAGAUAGGACAAGCGCCGAAGAGGUGGUUUUAAUCAAACCCCUCCUAAUUAUGAUGUAUGGUCCGAAUCUCGGACUUUUUGUACAAUAUCAAGCGAUUUUUUUUUGGUUGAAUCGGCUAGUGUACGCAAAUGUCGAUUAUUGAUUUUUCUCCAGUAUUGUUUGUAAUUACAAGAAACGAAGUAAUGAAAUUUAUCACUGCGUUCAUAGUUAUGCUUAAGCUCAAAGAUUACCGUCAAGAUCAUUUUGGGCCCUCAAAGAAACAUGAUGUUGACACAUGUAAAAUUAUGAAGCUUGUGAUUAAAAUACUUUUCACAUAUAUAUGUUAAGUUCUAUUAAUAAUUAAAUAUAUGAAUAAAUAUGGUCAAUGAGGAGAGGAUAAAAUAAAAUGGUUUCAUUUUUUGAAUUACCCAUCCGCUUCAAACUUCUAAGAAGUAGAUAUACAAUCAGUGGAAUACUGAAUUGAGUACGAGCUGCGGAUAACUUAUAAAAUUGGGAUACAAGCUUCAAGGAAAGUGUAUUGCUAUUCAAAUGUAGAUUUCAAAUUAAGAAGAUAUGCCAACAAAUUAUUCUAAAUGAUGAAAUGAGCUAUCUUGAUCAAAAGGUCAAGAACCUACCUUACUUCUCUUAGAGAUAACUUGCAUCAACCGUUGUGGUAUUGAUACUUGUCUUCAGCUAGUAAAAGUGAAAGUUUCACAAUUGAAAUAAAGCUAAGGGAAGAUGCUAUGCUCCAUUUAUUAUUAUUAUUAUUAUUGACGUGGUCGAGAAGUAAAGCCGUGCAUAUGAUGAAGUAUAAAUAAGAAUGCAAUAGCCCGGAAUUCAUUUACACAAACACUUCAAUAUCCUUUCGAUCACUUUUGCAAACAUCAAUUUGUCUCCUCUUGUAUUCACCAUGGUUGAUGCCAUCGUUUCCCCUCUCGUGGAGCAGCUGACUUCCUUCGCUGCUAAAGAGAUAAUACAACAGGUGAUCGAAGUUACACCCCCCAUAGUAUAAAUACUUCUAAUGAUUUUAAUUGGUUUUGUUUUUAUCGAAAACAUUAACUUUGCUUUAUUUUACGCAUUUAGGCAUUUUAAAUUUUGAAAUUUGAAUUGAAUUUAAUUAAAAUGUGAUUUAGUUAGUAACCACUUUUUUUUUUCAUUUAUAUUCUCAAUAACUACCCAUAUUUUGGUAACUUACUGUAACCCCCGUAUCUAAGAAAUUAUCAAAACCCACAAUUUUAACUCCACAUAAAUAUUCCAUGUUGAGCUAAGUUCGAUGUUGAGGUAAGUUUUUUGCAUAACAUUCAAAUUUGUCAAAUAGUCAUUAAUUUAAUGUUUAGUAAAAACUCAUCUCUGAAAAAUUUCAUAAUUUUCUUACAUUAUUUGAGUCUGGUAAGUGACUUCAUAUAAUUUCUUUUCAAUUUAAAUUUUAAUUUGGUUUCUGAUAUAGUCUCUUUACUGAAUUUAUAUCUUUUAUGAUUCUUGGAUUUUGGGCUCCAACUUUUUAGGAUUUGAUAGUCACAUUUUAUGGCAUGCUUAGAUUGAUGUUCAUGAUUUUUAGUACUCGUUAAGUGACUGAGAAUUUGACAAAAGUUUGAAAGGAAAUCCGUUUCACGAUUCUUAUGUGGAAGGUUCGUAAAAUCAUGAAAUUUGGAUAGGAUUCAUUAGCAAUAUGUACAAGACUGUCCAUAAAGUUUCAUAAUUUUUCAUUCGGUCGGGGGUGGUACAGGUGAAACUUGUGGUUGGUGUUGAAGAAGAAGUGAAAAGCCUUACCAGCCACCUUCAAGCCAUUCAAGCUGUGCUCAAUGAUGCAGAGGAAAAGCAAGUGAAGGACAAAGCUGUUAGACAUUGGCUGGGUAGGCUCAAGUAUGCAUCCUACGACAUUGAAGAUGUGUUGGAUGAGUGGAUCACAGCUAGACACAAAUUGCAAAUUGAGGGUGGCGUUGAUGACAAUGCUCUUGCUGCUCCUCAAAAGAAAAAGAAGGUAUGUUUCUGCUUUCCUGCCUCUUGUUUUGGAUUCAAACAAGAAGAAUUUGGUUUCAGACAAGUCUUUCUACGUUAUGACAUUGCCAACAAGAUCAAAGAAAUGAAUGAAGAGCUACAUGCUAUUGCUACUCAAAAAGACAUGUUUAAUCUUGUUAAGAGUGGCAAUAAAAGUGGUGAAAGACCAAGGCGUGUACAGAGUACCUCCUUGAUUGAUGAGGAAGAGAUUUGUGGUAGAGUUGGUGAGAAGAAUGAACUCAUAAGCAAGCUGUUGCGUGAGAGUAGCGAGCAACAAAAAGGCCUCCAUAUCAUCUCAAUUGUUGGUAUGGGAGGCAUAGGGAAAACUACUCUUGCACAACAAGCUUGUAAUGAUGACGAGGUGAAGAGAAAGUUUGACAAAAUUAUGUGGGUGUGUGUAUCAGAAACUUUUGAGGAGUUUAGGGUUGCCAAAGCAAUGGUUGAAGCUUUGGAUGGUCGUGAAUCUCAUUUAGGUGAAUUCCAAUCUCUUCUUAAACAUAUUGAUGAAUCCAUUGCAGGGAGGAGCUUUCUUCUUGUCUUGGAUGACGUAUGGGAUGGAAAUUACGUGAGAUGGGAACCAUUCUAUCGUUGUCUAAAGAAUGGUCUCCAUGGAAGUAAAAUUAUAGUUACCACACGUAGUGGGUCCGUUGCAUCCAUGAUGGGAUCCAUAGAUAUUAUUCCCAUUAAGGAAUUAGCUGAAGAGGAAUGUUGGUUGUUGUUUAACAAGAUAGCAUUUUUUGGUAGGCCUAUCGAGGAACGUGAAAAAUUCGAACGAAUUGGGCGAAGAAUUGCAGGCAAGUGCAAAGGUUUACCUCUUGCUGCAAAGAUAUUAGGGAGUCUUAUGCGCUCUAAACAAACUGAAGAAGAGUGGAAAAUAAUUUUAACUAGUGAUUUAUGGAAAGUAGAAGAGAUUGAGAAAGAUGUUUUGUCCUCUUUAUUGUUGAGUUACAAUGAUUUGCCAUCUAGAGUAAAAAGAUGUUUUUCAUAUUGUGCUGUCUUUCCAAAAGACUACAAUAUAAAAAAAGACAAACUAAUUACAUUGUGGAUGGCUCAAGGUUAUCUUAGUGCAGAAGAAGAUGAGGAGAUGGAGACUAUAGGUGAAGAGUAUUUUAGCAUCUUAGCUUCUCGCUCUUUCUUUCAAGAGUUUGAGAAAAGUUAUGAUAAUCGUAUUAUAGAGUGCAAGAUGCAUGAUAUGGUACAUGAUUUUGCCCGAUUUGUAAGUCAAAAUGAAUGUUUUUCGAUGGAAAUUAAUGGUAGUGAGGAACCAAACACCAUAAACUCUCUUGAUGAGAAGGUUCGUCAUUUAAUGUUAAUCUUUAGUAAAGGGGCUUCAUUACCUGUUUCCACUCUUAGAGUUAAAAGAAUGCGUACCCUCUUAAUUAACGAUAGUAGAUCUGAUCAUUCAUUAUUAAAUGGUGAGAUCCUAGAAGAAUUAUUUAGGGAAUUGACAAGUUUAAGGGCAUUAGAUUUUGGCGGAUCGUACACACAUUUUUCUUUGACUCUGGAGAUUCCAAGAAACAUAGAAAAGCUGGUACAUUUAAGAUACCUUAAUUUGUCUUGUCAGAAAAUAGUGGAGCUACCGGAGACAUUGUGCGAGUUAUAUAAUCUACAAAAGUUAGAUAUUAGUGAUUGUUUUAAUCUUAAAGAAUUACCUGAAGGGAUUGGGAAGUUAAUAAACAUGAAGCAUUUACGAAAUAGAAGUACUAGUUCUUUAAGGUACAUGCCAGUAGGGAUUGGGAGAUUAACGGGUCUUAGGACCUUGGGUGAGUUCCACGUGAGUGCAGGAGGAGGUGUUGAUGGUGGGAAAGCAUGUAGGCUUGAAUCUCUUAAAAACUUGGAACACCUUCAAGUAUGUGGUAUACGUAGACUGGGUGAUGUAUCAGAUGUGGGCGAGGCUAAGCGAUUAGAACUUGACAAAAAGAAAUACCUCAUCAGUUUGACCCUUGAGUUUGAAAAGAAGGAGGAAGGAGGAGGAAGGAGGAAGAACGAGGACGAUCAACUUCUUCUUGAAGCCCUACAACCACUUCUCAAUUUAAAGGAAUUAGAGAUACAGUACUACCGAGGCAACACUGUUUUCCCCAGCUGGAUGACGUCAUUAACCAACUUAAAGAGUUUAGAUCUCUCUUUGUGCCUAAAUUGCGAGCAGCUGCCUCCUUUGGGAAAAUUGCCGUCCCUUGAAAAACUCAGCAUAAUGUUUAUGCCUGUGAAAAGAGUGGGUGAUGAAUUUUUGGGGAUAGAAAGUGGUCAUCGUGACUCAUCUUCAUCUUCAUCGGUUAUUAUUGCCUUCCCCAAAUUGAAAUCACUUUCAAUUGAGUCUCUGGACGAAUUGGAGGAGUGGGAUUAUGGGAUUACAAGAACGGGAAACACCGUCAUCAACAUCAUGCCACGUCUUUCUUCAUUGGAAAUUAAUUACUGCCCCAAAUUAAAGGCACUGCCCGACCACAUUCAUCAAACGACAACAUUGAAGGAAUUGCGCAUUUGGGGGUGUGACCUUCUGGAAGAACGUUACCGCAAGGGAGAAGGAGAAGACUGGCCUAAGAUAUCACACAUUCCCAACCUCCAUAUUGGGCUUUGACAAGUAAUUUCUUCUCUUACUCUGAUUUGCUUUGUUGUUGUUUUUAAUCUAAUUAAGAAGCGUAAAUAGCAUUUUGAAUCAAACUCUAUAUCAGAAAUCUGCAAUACUUACUUUCUAAUAUUCUGAUUUUCAUAUCCUAUGAAUAUACGAUUUUUAAUUUGUGAGAUGGGUAACGUUACUGUAAAAGAUUAUUAAUGCAAUAUGAGUAAUUCUUUUGCAGGACAAGUGACCUACAUUUAGUUUGGCUUUGGAGUUGAAUAAUAACCUUUCGGGAACUGGUGUGGACUGGCAAAGGAUGAUGAGAUAGUUUUUUGAGUGAGUAAAUUUUGGGAGCUUGAGUGUAUUGGGAUUUGCAAUUACAAUCAUCCUCUGCUUCAGGUGAUUUCUUCUCUUGCUCUGUCAUUGUUUGUUCUCUAAUUCAAAAGCAUAAAAUAUUUCAAUCAAUUCUUAUACCACGAAUAUGCAAAAGUUUCUAAUAUUUUAUUUCCAUCUGUUACAAGAUCAAACUGAAGCAGAACUCAAACAAAAGUAUGCUACUUCUUGCGGAAAUCUUGCCUUUGUUCAGAUUAUGAAACCAUUUCCAUGCAGCAAAUUCAUCCAAAAGUUUGAAUAAGUUUCAUGGUCGGACACUGUUGGCUUCUUUUUCUUCUGGGGUGCAUUUAGGUGCUAUCAAGUGACAGCUGUAAGUAUGAUUGCACUAAGCUGCUGCUGGGAAAUUUGAGGUUUUGAUGGCUGCCCAUGUUAUUUUCAAGAAACUAUUGAUGUAAGAAGCUGUGGUUCUUUUCAUCAGCUUGAACCUGAAACUGUCGCUAUGGAUAACUCAGGUUUUUGUUAUCAACUAUAUCAUCUUUUUCACUAUUUUGAAACUCUUAAGAUUAAACGUUAGUAAAGUUGUUUCAGCUAUUCAAAUGAAAAACUCAUUGAUUUGAGACUUCCUUCAUUAUUGUUUCUAAUUACAAUGCUAACGAUCCAGAUAAGAUAAUAUUUAAUCGGCGAAGGUGUCCCUUGGAAGUACAUCCUUCUUUUUCUUUUAUUAUAUAAAUUCUUGCAAUGAGCUUAGUGAAGCUGUUGUGCUAAUCAUGCCACUGCAUAAUUUGGCCCCUAAUGUGGGUACUCUGUUACAUUGUUCUGCAAAUUCUCCAGAAGUUAAAAUCAAUAAAUUUUCUAUUAGCUCUAGUGCUUUGACCUAAAUGCUAUUCUAUAUUCUGAUUACAAUGUUUUAACCUUUAAAUUAACUACCCCUAGAUGUUGGAUUUUCUAGAACUUCAAAUUAUAUAUAACCUUUAAAUUAUAUAUUUCUGUGUCUCUAUUUAUAGAUGACAUUUAAGCAUCCAUAAACCGUCAGACAGAGGAAGGGGGUUCAGUGCAAAGAUUCUGUUGACCUAGGGUUGACUGCAUAUGUCACUUGUUCGCAAUCUAAUAUUUAUUUUAUAUUUUGAAAAAUUUAAUGGGUAAUCCUAAUUGUUUGUUUUGGCAGGUAUGUGUUGUUAUCUCCUUCUAUCUUACAGUCGUACCUAAAUAGCAUAGUUUCAUCUGUGUUACCAUGUGAUGUACAUAAUUUCACAUUUGCCUCAGAUUAAGCUUAAUUUCCCACAGAAUAGAGCUGUCGCGACUGGACUUAGUUUGAUGUCCAAAGAGGUAAAUUAUUGGCAUGCCUAGAUAAUUUGGCCAUUUCCUAAUUCAUAAGUCUACAUUAAUUUUGAUUUUGAGUUGACUGAUUUCUUUUCAAGGUCUGCUUCCUUAACGGAGUGACCAAUGUUUUUCAACUAAAUUUAUCAUAUGAUGCAGGAAGCAGGGCAGGAUAUGAAAUGAGAAGCUCAUUGGUGGAAGUAUUGCCAGUAGCAGAACCCAAUGAAAAUGAAACUAUUUCAAGGCAGCAGUUGGCAGUUGCAAGUGAAUGGAGGCCCUUGACAAAAUUCUCAAGCAGUUGCAAUGCAAUUACGAUCAUCCUCAGCCUCAGGUAAUUUCUUCUCCUGCUUUGUUUUUAUUUGUUAUCUAAUUAGGAAGCAUAAAGUAUCUUGAAUCAUUUUCUGUAUCUGGAAUAUAUGCAAGAGUUUCUAAAAUUUUGAUAUGAGUGUAAUGAUGGUAAUUUCUGUUUUCUGUCUGUCAUCAAAUGUUAGAAAACUUUCAUUGAGACCCUUGAACCGAGUCAUUUUUGACAAGUGAAGUGCCGAAGAGUGAAGAGUAAGAAUGGUGCUAGAUUGGGGAAUAAAGCAAAAGGAGGUAAAUUAUUGGCAGCUUCUUCAGCCUUAUUUUCUUUGGACCAGUGCCUAAUUCACAAGUCUCCAUAAUUCGGCUUUUGACCAGUUGAUAGAUAAAAUUUUAAUUUCAUUGGUGCUAAUGUACCCGUGAAGCAGGCAGAGAAGGACUGUGGAAAAGAGAAGGUUUUUAGUGAAAGCUUAAACGCAGGUAAUUCUAUAAAUUAUAUGUUUUUGCUGAUUUAUCUAAAUCAGGAAAUUUUAUUUCCAUCUGUUACAAUAAAACAGAAACAGAACACAAAGAAAAAUAGUCUACCUCUUGUGGCAAUCUUGCCUUCAUUCAGACUAUGAAACCAUUUCCUUUCACCAAUUUCUUCCAAAAGUUUGAACACGUUUCAUGGUUGGACAUAGUUAGCUUCUUUUUCUUUUGGUGCAUUUAGGUGCUAUCAAGUGACAGCCAUAAGUAUGAUUGCAUUAUUGGGAAAUUUUAGGUUUUGAUGGCUCCCCAUGUUAUUGCCAAGAAAUUUUAAGUCCUCAUGUCAGAAGCUGCGUUUCUUUUCAUCAGCCUGAACCCGAACUGAGGUUUUUGUCAUCAACUAUAUCAUCUUUUUCACUGUUUUGAAACUCUUAAGAUUAAACUUCAGUAAAGUUGUUUCAGUUAUCCAUGUAAUCAGGCUAAGGAUAUUUAGCAGCUUAUUUAGGCAACUGCCAGAAUUCAGUUUGUUUGCUCGAAACUUGUAUGGUGACAAGGAUACUGGCAAGGAUAGUGAGAUAGAUUUUUGUGUGAGUGAAUUUUGAAAGCUUGGGUGUUCUGGGAUUUGCAAUUGCAAUCAUCCUCUGCUUUAGGUGAUUUCUUCUCCUGUUCUGUCUUUAUUUUCUCUCUAAUUGAAAGCAUAAAGUAUUUCAAUCAAAUUCUGUACCAGGAAUACGAAAAACUUACUAAUAUUUUAUUUCCAUCUGUUUGCAUUGAUAACUUGGCCGCAUAUGUACUAGUUAAAGAACAAACAGAAGCAGAGUUCAGGAAAAAGUUUCUUCGGCCACCAUAUUUGAAAAUGAAACCAUUUCCAGGAAGCAGUUGGCAGCAAAUUCAUACAAAGUACAGACAAUGAUGAGCAAAAAGGUGAUUCGCAAUUUCAUUUUUUAAAAAUGAAAUUAUUUGUUAAGUUGGAGCUGAUAUUGUUAGAAGGCCAUUGAGCUAACCUAUGACACUACUUGCCUAGAUUGCAGGAGGUCAAGACUCAAAAGAUGCACUGAAUUUUAAAAGGCAUGCAAUAAUUCUUAUGGCCAUUUGUCAAUGGUGGAAUGCUUUUAGCUUCUUUUCCUUUCGUGCAUUUUGGGGUUCUAUCAAGCGACAGCCGUAUGCAUGGAUGGAUAUAGCCGCUGCGUUGAUUUCUAAUGCGUUGUAUGAUGUUAUAGCAACUAUCCAUCUGGUCAAUGUUUCAAAAGAAUAAAACACAGGGAAAAAGAGAAAGCAAGUGGCCAAUCAAGUAUUCAUGUCCCAAAGAAAAGAAUGAUUCGACAAUAGCAUUAAGGGUUAAUUGGACACAAGAGAAGUGUUUUAACCACUUCAAGGAAUGUAAAUGUAAUUUUCUAUUCUGAAGAAAAAGUAAAUAUAUGCACUGUCAAUUAAUCUUUGGUCAACCAGCAACAUUCAUAAUUUCGUGUAAGUUUCAUUUCUGUUUGUUGGAAAUAGCAGUGUAUUUCUUAGAGUUUGUAAAAAAUGGAAAGAUUUUAAAAUAUAAAUUUCACAUCUGUUUAUUACUGUUGUUUGAUCUAUUUUCUUAUGUAGAAUUUUCGGAAUCUGUAGGACAUUAAUUUAUAAUUUUGAGAUUUUGUAGCCAUAAAUGUUUUUGUUCUUUUUUUCUUUUUUUUGUUGGCAUUUUAUUUUGCUCCUUUAUCUAUAUGCAUGUUGACUAAAGCUAAUCUAGAAUCAAUAGAGAGGGAUAUUUAUCUAUUUUGUUUAACAUAAGAGUGCUGUAUAAUUUUUCACUAAAUACACCUACAACAAACUAUUAAUAAUAAAGUGAUAGAAGAAUGCCUAAUUUUUCGUACUUUUUAAUUUCUUUCAGCCCUAAAAUAUAGGUAUUAAUGUCAUAAUAAGCCCAUGUGGAUCUCAGUGCCGCAAGUUCGAUAAAUGGCUAUCAAGGAUUACUUAUUAAGUCAAAAGUAUUCAAAGGACAAAAUGGUAAAACUAUAAGGGUGGAGUAAGAUGGCUACCUUGGGUUACAUAGUAAGUCGACUACAUUCAAAGGAUAAAAUAUUAGAACCUGAACGGCGGAGUAGUCGUCGUUAGAACCUGAACGGCGGAGUAAUCGUCGUUAGAAUCUGAAUGAUAUGUCUAAGACGUUGCAUGCAUCAAGAAAAUUGCAGAUGAUUAAACCUUGCCAUCCAUGCGUUGUAUGAGGUUAUAGCAACUAUCUAUCUGGUCACCGUUUUAAAAGAAUAAGACAAAGGGAAAAAGAGAAAGAAAAGAAUGAUUCGACAAUGGCAUUAAAGUUCAACGUACCCCAAGAUCUUGUAAUAAUGCCAUUAAUCAUUCUCUAGCUAGGCUAGCCUUAGAGAAAAGUGAAACUGUUGCACAGGUAGAAUCACACCCCUCAGAGAUAAUGUAUUUAUUCAGCUCUUCGAAUGAAUGAAGUUUAUUUUCUCGUCAAAAAAAAAAACUGCUCGCUCCGCUGGUUUCAUACAAUGUCAACUAGAAACAUCAUACUUUCGUGUAAGUUCAUUUCAGAAUAUUUCUUAGAGUUUGUAUAAAAUGAAAAGAUUUUAAAAUAUAAAUUUAAUAUUUGUUUAUUACCGUUGUUUGGUCUAAUUUCCUCGGGAGAAUUUUCAGAAUUUAUAGGACAUUAGUUUAUAAUUUUGAAAUUUUGUAACCUAAAUGAUUUUUUUUUCGGUUACCAUUUUGUUUUCCUGCUUUAUCUACGUGUAUGUUGACUAAAACUAAUCUAUUUUGUUAAACCUUUACCACUCUAGACAUUGCACUAAAUAUGAGUUCGUGAUGCUUGCAUUUUAUUGAUGCUGAUGAUUCGUUGAAUGUUUUAUGUUUUUGAUUUUUAAGUAUUCCGGAUCGAAGUUUGUGUCUACGCGGAAAUUGUAAAGGCAGCAUAUAAAGUACUCGUCGUUCUUUAGAUUUUAUUGAGUACACUUUUGUCACAUUUAGCGUAUGCUAUACACUACUGAUUUGCGCAUUGACAUAUAUCUUUUUUUUUUAUGAGAGGGGGCUCGUCAAAACGAGCUAAACAGGAACAAACCGGGGGUUAGAAAUCCCAAACAAGUCUUGCGAAAUGAUAGAAUAAACACCCAUAGGAGGGUUAGAGAACACAUGGAGGCCAAGAGGAGCUGAAUGAGCCAUAUUAGCCAUGAAAUCCGCAGCUGAGUUUGCUUCGCGAUAAAUAUGGGUGAUAGCAGUCUGCCAAUUUCUACUUAGUAAUUCCCGGACAGCUGAUAAUAAAGCAGUGAACGCAUUAGGAACAACCACCUGCUUAGAAAUCAUUUGUGUAAUACAAAUACUAUCCACUUCCACCAACAACCGUUUUAUGCCUACAUCCCAAGCAAGAAUUAGGCCCUGAUACAGCCCCCAAAGCUCAGCCAUAAGCACUGACCUGUCCCCAAUUUUCAUACAAAAGCCGGAUACCCAAUGACCAACUGAGUCUCGAAUAACACCUCCCGCUCCUGCUUCCCAAGUAUUUUUACAGGAGCCAUCUGUAUUUAAUUUACACCAUGGCCAAGGCGACGGCAGCCAAUGAAUAUAAAUCUCCUGUCUCCUCGGCUGCUGGCUUAGGCAAGAAUUAUUUACUCUGCAAAUUUCUUUAGCUCUCGCCAUAACAUCCAUAUAGAUUGUUAGACUAUCCACCAGCUUUCCCUCAAAGAAAAAAUGGUUCCUCCAGAACCAUAGCCUCCAAACUACCACACCAAAGAUACAAUCCCAGGGGAGGGGAGACCCAAUCUUCCAUUUAUUUUGCAGGUUCCCAGCAAUCCAUUCUCGUAAGUUCGAAUUGAAGAAAGUGUUAUGACUGGCCAUCGGAACAAGCUUCCGCCAAACCUGCUUGAUACAGCUGCAGUCUCUCAAUGCAUGGAGGAUAUCUUCAACCGCACCCCCACACCUAUCACAAUCCUCAGGAACAUUAAUAUGGCGCCUAACAAGUUCAUCACGAGUCUUGAGUUUCCCAUGCAUAAGCUGCCAAAGAAAAAGGCGGAUGGAUUGAGGCCCCUUCCAACUCCAUGGAAGCUUCCAAUUUCUGUCAUGAACAGCAGCUUGAUGAUAGCAAAGUGAUUCAUAAGCUGACCGAACCGAAAACAUGCCGCUUGGAUCAAAGCCCCAGUAAAUAAUAUCAGCCCCAAGAUGAGGAGCCGGAGGCAAGACUGAAGCAAUCUGCAUGAGAAUACCAUGCGGCAGAAGAUGCUCAAAGCUCGACCAAUUCCAUCCCCCAUGCCCAUUCGUAAAGUCACUCACAGUGGCAUUGAUAAGCUCGUGAGGAAUCGGCAAGAUGGCAAGGCUGAUCAGAGGAUAUUUCGUAGCCCAACAAUCAACCCAGAAUCGAGUUCUAACACCAUCACGAACUGACCAGCGAGCUCCCUGCACUGUUGCCAACCACGUGCUACGAAUAGCCCUCCAAAUCUGAGAACCCGGUUUGUCUGAAAGAGACAUUGGUAGGUUGCGAGACUCCAAACCAUAUUUGGAGCAGAAGACUUGCACCCACAGUUUAUCCGAAUUGGAAACAACCUCCCAGCUCAAUUUCAUCAACAUCGCCUGAUUCAUUUCGUCCAUUUUUUUGAAUCCCAGGCCUCCAUGUUUUUUCGGCUUGCAAAUUUUGUCCCACCCCACCAUACUCAUCUUGUGACUCUUUGAAUUCCCAUCCCAAAUAAAUCUUCGACAAGCUUUGUCUAUUUUAUGUCUCACUGGAGAAGGAAGUAAGGUCGUUUGCAUGGCAUAAACAGGCAUUGCUUGCAGGACUGAUUGAGCCAGAGUGACGCGUCCAGCAAAAGAUAGAUGAGCCGCGUUCCAACCAGUUAACCGCUUAUCCACUUUAUCAAGGAUGGAUUGAUACGUGUAUUUAUUAACCCGCGAAUGGAUUAAGGGCAUUCCAAGAUAAUCACCCAAAUUAUUUGUGGCCGAAACUCCCAAAGUCGAGCCUAUGAUAUUGGCAUCCCGAGAAGCGACAUUUUUUGAGAAGAAAACUUUAGUUUUCAUUUUGUUGACUUUUGCUUCCGAACUCCUACAAUAAUUAUCCAGAACAGCAUCUACGACAUAAGCUUGAUCAAUUGAAGCUUCCGCAAAUAAAAGCAAAUCAUCUGCAAAAAAGAGAUGCGUUAAAGGAGUUCCAUAUUUGGCCAACCGGAUAAGCCUCCAUCUCCUCUCCAUCACCGCUUGGGUUAUACCAUGGCUUAACCGUUCAAUGCACAGAACAAAAAGAUAAGGCGAGAGGGGAUCGCCCUGACGGAUACCCCUUCCCGGAGUGAAAGCUUAUGUCGCCUCGCCAUUCCACAAAAUACGCAUACUAGCUGAAGUUACGCAUUCCAUGAUUAGUCUAGAUAAGUGAAUUGGAAUACCAGUCUGGUUAAGCGUAUCAAAAAUGAAAUCCCAACUGAGCCGGUCAUAAGCCUUCUCAAGGUCGACCUUAAUGGCCAUAAAUCCUUUCCUGCCAGUUUUUCUGCGCAUAGAGUGAACUACUUCCUGAGCCACUACAAUAUUAUCUACUAUAUGCCUCCCAGGAACAAAGCUCGUCUGAUUGGGGCUUAUUAGAUUGGGCAGCAGUGUUUGCAAUCGAGUGGCUAUAAUUUUAGUCACCGUCUUGUAGGCCACUGUGUAUAGGCUUAUGGGCCUAAACAUCUUUAAGCUAGUGGGGUGCUCCUCUUUAGGAAUCAAAACCAAGAGGGUAGUAUUUAUCUCUUGCGGCACCUUCCCCGUUGUAAAAAUAUCAUGAAUAAACCUGCAAAACGACGGACCAACCACAUGCCAUUGGGAUUGAUAAAAUAUAGCGUGCAAACCAUCCGUACCUGGGGCUUUCAGCGGCUUCAUGCUAAACACAACGUUCCGAAUUUCCUCCCUCAAAAUUGGGGCUGCAGCCCCAUCUACGUCAUGAGAAUCCAAGGCUGGGAAAAAGUUUGGAGCAUGGUAAUUCCGAUAAGUUGCAUUAUCACUUGUAAAUAGGUCAGAAAAAUACCCCACUACAUGCCUCCUUAUAUCCUCCUCAUCAUAUAGCCAAUUCCCCGAACAGUCUCGGAUGGCCUCAAUUCUAUUCCGCCGCCUUCGAGCAAUGGUUUUUUGGUGGAAAAAAUUCGUAUUUCUGUCCCCAUGCAGAAGCCAAUCCUUUCGAGAUUUCUGAAGCCAAAGAAUUUCCUCCGAUUCAUCACCAUUUCGAGCUCAUUUUGCAUGCGGGCUUAUAAGCGCAACAAACUGUUAGAGCUAUAAUUCUCUAGAGUAGCUUGAAUUCCAUUAAUCCGAGCCAUAAGCCGGCGUUUUCUCUGAAAGAUAUUCCCAAACACAUCUCGAUUCCAAGCUUGAACCUCCUGGACAAAAUGAGAGGCUGCUGCACUAUAAUGGAUUUGCGGAUUCCACACCCGCUUAAUAAAGUUAUGAAAAUGCUCGUGAGUUAACCAAGCAGCCAAAAAGCGGAAAGGCCUGUUCCUCCUGUGACCGGCCACAGCUCUCUCAAACCGAACCAGCACCGGCCUGUGAUCCGAGGCAACCUUCGGGAGGUGGAGGACAGAAUUAUUCGGAUACUUAUGUAGCCAAUCACUAUUGCACAGAGCUCUAUCAAGCCGUUUAAAGAGCAAUCCACGUGACCAAGUAAACCUUGGACCUUUAAACUUUAAAUCAAAAAUUUGGUGCCCAUCAAACCAUUUCCGAAACAGAUUACACACUCCUGGGUUCCUGGCCUCACCCCCCUGCUUUUCAGAGGCAUAUAAGAUAGAAUUGAAAUCCCCACCUAUCAGCCAAGGGCCUCGAAUUGAAGGCGCAAGGUUCUCCAUAUGGCUCCACAACUGUCUCCUUAGCAUUGGAUUUGGGCUGGCAUACACAGCCGUUACCCAAGACACAAAGGUCUUAUUCAUACAAAAUUUAAAGUGAAUGAACUGCCUAUGAUUAAUUAAGACUUCCACCUCUAUGGAAUUUCGCCAAAGAAGCCAAAUUCCUCCAGAAAAACCCACAGCUUCCACCCGGUGCGAAUACUCAAAUCCACUUUUCUUUAUAAAGUCAUCGGCUUUAGCACCACUAGUGCGAGGUUCCAUUAACACCACCAUCGAUGGAUUGUAGUUUUUAAUAAUUGUUUUAAACGAGCGCCUAAAUACCCCCGAGGCUGCCCCUUGUACAUUCCAGAACAUGAUACUAGCUGACAUAAUAAAAAUAACAGGAGAGAAACAAACGUCUACUGCUGCUGUCCAAGGACUUCCUCCAUCCACGCCAAUGGCGUUUCUUGAACCAUCUCAACUUCAUUCUCAACCAUCCCAUCGCCAUCAACACCAUUUAUAGGUACAACUGGAUGGUUAUGAGCACUGUCACCUUCAUUCACCCGAUGGAUGGUUUGAUCAUCUGGAGGGUCUGCUACUUGUUGUGGAUCCGGACCUUGCCUCUCUAUGUGUUCCGCGGUCACGUCCCUUUCAUCACCAUUAGGAAGGGUUUGGGAGGAGCAAACAAACACUGUGUGUUUAGAGGGGUCCAGGGUGGUUGCGAAUGGUGCCACGAGUUGAUUGCUAGAAGCUUUCUGAGGGAAAAUAUGGGGUUCAAAGCUUCGGUUUGCAUGAGGUAGGAUGGAUAUUUCCUUCUCUCUGGUGCUGAAGACACUAGGCUGGAGAGGGUUACAGGUAGGAGUUACUGGGACGUUUGGUUUCCUGCUCUGAUUCCUUGCUGCCACGGCCUUAUUUUGCGGCUUACGACGAGCCAUAGUCUUUGCUGAGGUAUCUGCUCUGGCUGUGAAAGUAUGGUUUGAUGCGGGCAUGAAAGGUUGCCGUGAGGUGGAAGGGAAGUCUGGGCAAGCCUCAUGCACAUGGUUUCCACCUUCAUCCGAGACUUUGGAUAAUAUGUGAAACCGUGAGGUACCAGCUCCAGUAAACUCCCUAUUACGGUUUGAGUCUCCAGUGUUCUCCUUACCAAUAUUCGGCUUCCUUCCUCUCCUAGUGGCAAUCAUCCAGGGUCCGAAUAGUUCCACAUUAUUAUCACCAUUACUACCUACAGCCUGCUGGCCAGGAGCCUCAUUUUCCGGCACUGCCUGUUGGGGUUGACCAGCAUCUUCAGGGCUUGUCGAACUCUUAGCAUCCUUACAGUUGCUGCUACUAUGCCCGUAAGAUUCCACACUUAUAACAAAUUACUGGCAAUCCCUCGUAUUCCACCUUCUGGAUCUUCCCAUCCAAUUCAAACUGAGAUACCAGCGGCCUUGUUAACGAGAUACUUACUGCAAGACGUGCAAAUCUUCCACGAGAUGAGGAGGCUGUAUUCGAAUCGAUUUUAAUCACGUUACCCACUAACUGACCCAGCUUCUGUAGAACUUUUCGAUUAUAAAGAUGAACCGCAAGGCCUGGUAAACAGAUCCAUACCGUGACUUGAUCAAGAUCCGCAUUUGUGAAAUCAAAAGAGGGUGUCCAUGGCUGCACAGUUAAAUAUUGACCCAUUAUAAGCCACGGUCCCUUAGUUAAAACAUCCAUAGCAUCCCCUACCGAUCUGAAACGAACCAGAUAAUAAUUGUUUUCCAAGUCAAUCACGGAAAAACCCAUGGCUGAUUUCCACAUGACAUUUAAUCUUGCACACAUAGCUCUAUAGCCAAUUGUGCGGCCAAGCAACUUCACAACCACCGAGUUCUUCCAAGGCUCACUUAACUUAGCAUGAACCCUAGCCGAAAAAGUGAUGGAUGGCAUGGGUCCCUCGUUAGUUUCAAUAAUGUCUCCUUCCUCAAAAUCCCAGUCCUCUAGUCCACCUCCAAUUCCUUGCUCCAUCGCUUGUGUUGCAUUCACUAGGGUUUCUUUGUACGAAAACUGUACAGUGGUAUCCCCAGCAUGUUCUUCAUCACGAAAUCUUGCUUUUUUAAUCGUUCUAGCCUCCCUAAACGGCGGGGGAAAAAUCCCUCCGGAGUUAGGGUUUCCUUCACGUCCGAGGUUUUCGGAGCCUUCCAUAUGGUGUUGAUCUUUUUAAGUCACUCGUUUCAAUAUUUCAUUUAUUUCCUUUUCAAGCUAACAAUUAAUGUAUAUGAAUGUGCGGAUGCAUUGACAUAUAUCUUAUUUUAUCAUUUUGAAUGAAUUGCACGGCGAGGCUUAUCAACUUUGGAUGAAUCCUCCAAUUGUCGCAGUCCAAGACUGGCUGCAGUGAGUGAAAAUUUACCCAUAUAUAUGCUGGCUAUUUUUAUUGGCGACGAAUUCGUUGUAGUUGGUCCAUCUUGCUAUUCUCGGACAAUAUUAGAGAAAAUAAUCAUAUUAUUUCGCGUGAUGUGACCUUCCAUAACGUAUCAAUUGAAUUACUGUAAAAUUAUUGUGUAAGUUUAGGCCCAAUGGCACUUUAGUUCAUCACAUGAUAGCCUGGAUUUAAAAGGAAAACUAUAUUGCAUUGCUUCAAAAAAAAAAUUUAAUGUUUUUAAUAUGAAUAUUUUUAACUAUAUUCAGUUAAAAUAAUAUAUUCUUAAUAUUAAUAUUCAUAGAUGAAAUUCUUUUGCGGAUUUAAGAAUAAAAUAUCAAAUAGUUUUAUUUUUCUUUUGUUGUGUAACUUGGACCGAAAAAGAAAAUGAGCUUAACAUGACCCUCCUUCCGGCACUAUGCAUGUUUUUCUUUUAUUUUUCUUGUAUUGAUGACAGUGCUCUUGGUGCUUCUCAUCUGCUUCUUGCUUUGGUUUCAAACAAGUCUUUCUCCGUCGAGACAUUUAUUGUAAUUUGAUUUGGAGACAUCUGUCGUUCAAAUAUAUUUCAUAUGCAAGCUGUUGAUAAUUCUGCUUGAGAAAGCCUUCAAAGCAGCUGUGUGAUGUAAUAGAAGACUAUAUAUGCAAGCGGGUACCGAGCUCGAAUUCUUUCUUGAGUUUCUUUGAAUUAUUUGUGAAUGAGUUCUUAAUCGGCUGCUGCUCUUCAGGAAAAGGAAAGUGUUGCAAACUGGUGAAGCUGAUCGAUAAAAGCAAUGUACCAUCUUUGCUGCCAUGGAUCGAUGCCAGUGAGUUUUUUAAUUUGUCAACCUUUUUAAUAAUGCAUAUGUGUUUCUUCAACUUGAAGCGGCAUUUAAGACGAAAGAAGUGAUCUUUAAAGCAUUCUAUAGCAUUAUCCUUUCCUAUUAUAUAUAUCCAAUUGCUCCAAAUUAUUUGUAAAUUACUGAACACGAAUGCUGAUGAAUAAACUGAUGGCUCUAUGUAUGUAUGCACAUGCAUGGAGAAAUUUUAAGUCAGACAUUCCCAUAUAUAACUCGUGCUACCAAAUCAUUAAAUAAUCUUGAAAUCAAAGUAAUAAUUAAAUACAAAUAAAUUGCUCGAAUUGUACAUAUAUCUGAAUCAUGUAGUGAAGAAAAUACAACAACAACAACCAAUGGCUCAAAUUCCCCAUCAACUUCUAAUCUCAACACUUUUGAGUGUCAGAAGCAUUACUCUGCUACCAGUUAACAAACAUAUAAUUAGUAAUUUGCCAUUCACUUCCCUUUUAGGCCUAACACAUUUUCUAUAAAGGAGCCACAGAGUGAACUCAGCAGGAAACACUCAAUUUCAACCUACGUAGGACCAGGAAUUUCAACCAAAAAAAAAGUGUGCAAUUGCUUAUCCUAUCCUAUUGCUACUAGAAAGAAAGUGAACAAUUAAUUUCAGUGAAUAAAUUAAAAAAAAUUACUUCUGCAGAUACUCAAGCUAAGAACACAUUAACCCAUUAAAGACUCCAAAUUGCAUCAAACAAAUUGUUGUUAAACAAGUAAAACAAAGAAAGAGAGUUAAGGAAGCUGACCUAGUAGUAGGGGAGCUGAAGAAAGACUGCCAGUGAAUGUAAGAGAAAAUAAAAUGCAAUAAAUGGUGAAGUGCAGCUUUUCAUGUCAACUUGAAAUUGUUUCUUCUGUUUUUUUUUUUUUUAAUCUUUUGGAUUUUUAAAACAAAGAAAAUGAGGAGCAACCAGGGAGAUAAAAAGGGCGCCAAGGCAACUGUGUGUUGGGUUUAGAGCCCAAAAAAAAAGGAGGAUAAGACAUCGUGUUCUUGUGGAGACCAGACCUAUUACGUAACGUCCCCUUCAAUACCACUUGUUCCGUAUCUGGUUUUUUCUUCGUCUUUUACAUAUUUAUCCUGUGAUUUUACAAUAACUAAAUAAUCCCCGCAUAGUUUGCAAUUUUAUUCAUUUGAGCCCUACAGAUUUCAGUAAUAGGUAGAGUUGGCAAAACGGGUCAUCGGGUCGUGUUCGUGUCAUGUCAAAUUUAAGUCGACCCAAACCCGACCCAUUUAAUAAUCGUGUCAAAAUAUUGAGACCUAAAUCCGACACGGAAAAAUAAUCGGGUUACCCAAUAACUCGUUUAAUAUCAAUAUAUUGAACAAAAGUUACAUCAAAUAUUUACACACUAUCAUACAUACAUACAUAAUUUAUCGAUAUUAUAAAAUAUAUAUAUCUACUAAUAUAUUACACAUUUACACUAUUGAGGUUUUAAUUAUAUAUAUAUAUAUAUAUAUACCUACGAUGAUUGUUUAAGCCGCGGUAAACGCUUCUAGAACGCCCUCUGGCAGGAAGGAAGGUACUCAAAGAAAGUGGAGAUGAGGGAAACUCCGCUGGAGUGAGGGGAUUUAUCGGAAUCUCGUUCAGAGUGAGGAGUCAAUGAGGGUUUGCUUGUACUUGUGGUUCUAUUGAUAGGUGUUUGCAAUGGGCUUUCGUCUCAGGUAGUUCAGUCUCCGGGGUUACGCUUAGUUUCAUAUAAAAUAAAUGAAGAAGACAGCUGGACUUCAGAGUGGGAUCCUCCUAUGUUGUCGGCUGUUUGUUUGUCCGCAGCUAUUACAGCUUGUGCUCGAAUAUAUAUGUAUCCAUAUAUUUCCAGAUAUUAUAUAUCAAUAUAUAUAUAUAUUAUUUAUCAAUAUUAUAAAAUCUACAUAUCUAUCAAUUUUUUCACAUUUACACUAUUGAAGCUCUAAAUGUAUUUAAAAUUUUAUAAAUAAAAUAUUAUGUUUAUAUUCACCCUUUUAAAGAAUAAAAAAGAAAAUCAUUACUAAUAUUUGAGUUUUAAUGAUAAGAAUAUGUAAAUUAUUUUAAAAUAGAAAAUAUAAUCGGGUCAUUGAUCGGGUAAAUGGGUCAAGAAUUUUAACUCUAACCCGACACGGAAAAAAAUCGUGUUGACCCGGACCCGACCCAUUUAAUAAUCGUGUUAAAUUUGACGACCCAUAUUCAUUUAUUUAUGUCGUGUUCGUGUCGAGUAAUCGGGUCGUGUCAAAUUUUGCCAGCUCUAGUAAUAGGAAUUAUUAAGGGACAAGAGCGCAAAACAAAAACUCUGUCCACUACUGAUGAUAUAACAACGAACCUUUGUUUUUUUCUUCUUUUUUUUUUACAAAAUAUCAUUAGAGAAAUGAAAAUAUUAACUAACAUCACCCUACUGAUGAUAUAACAACGAACCUUUGUAGUUUCUGCCUGUUAAUAUGAAUUGAUCAGGAGUGUUUCCUCACUUAAAAAUUACGAAUUUACAAAUAUGUAUGUAAGUAUGUAUGUAUGUACGUACGUACGUGAGUAUGUAUGUACAUAUAUGCAUACACCUAUGUAACAUUUACUUAUCCAUCCUUUUGAGUUUAAAACUUAAUACACAUUUUCAUGAAAUUUUUAUUUUAUUAAGUAUACAACUACAGUAAUGUAUAUAUUUUUUAUAUAAGACAUGCCGUCAUAUUAUUCAUAAGUAAAACAAUGUGUUGUAAAUAGUUUAAUUAUUAAAUAUCAUACAAUAUCUUUCAACAACCGGCAAUAGACCUUUACCCAUUUUUCUUUUUCGACCAUUAGAUUCAUUCAGUUUACAUCCAACGGCAGUUUAGGAUGGAGACAAAAAGUGUGGUACGUUACCACAGUGGUAACAUUGGAUUGGGAUUGUAUGUCGUGUUUAAUUUGAAUUGGUUGAUUCCUCUAAUGAAUUAUUUUGAUAAAUUUAGUAGCAGUAUUUGGCGGCAAAAGUAUCAUUAAUUUUUGGAAAUAUGAUUAUGUUAUUAAUUAUUUUAGCAUUCUAAAAAGUCAAUGGUUAUGUUGGAAAUACUCUAAGGUAGAAUAGAGUACAAAUCACAGUCACACAUACAAAAUGAUAAAUAAUAAAAAAUAUAUUAUAUUUUUGAUCAUAUGAUUAUGAAGACGUAUUUUACCUUAAAGAAGUUCUAAUAAGCGAAUUCUUCUAAAACAAUAUAAAAUUUCUUUUUUAUCAUACUCAACCGCUUCAAACUUCUAAGAAGUAGAUAUACAAUGAGUGGAAUACUGAAUUGAGUGCGAGCUGCGGAUAAUAUAUAAAAUUGGGAUACAAGCUUCAAGGAAAGUGUAUUGCUAUUCAAAUGUAGAUUUCAAAUUAAGAAGAUAUGCCAGCAAAUUGUAUAAAAAUGUAUAAAUUGAUCAGUAACAUUAAUUCCAAAUGAUGAAAUGAGUUAUCUUGAUCAAAAGGUCAAGAACCUACCUUACUUCUCUUAGAGAUAACUUGCAUCAACCGUUGUGGUAUUGAUACUUGUCUUCAGCUAGUAAAAGACUAAAAGUGAAAGUUUCACAAUUGAAAUAAAGCUAAGGGAAGAUGCUAUGCUCCAUUUAUUAUUAUUAUUAUUGAUGUGGUCGAGAAGUAAAGCCAUGCAUAUGAUGAAGUAUAAAUAAGAAUGCAAUAGCCCGGAAUUCAUUUACACAAACACUUCAAUAUCCUUUUGAUCACUUUUGCAAACAUCAGUUUGUCUCUUGUAUUCACCAUGGUUGAUGCCAUCGUUUCCUCUCUUGUGGAGCAGCUGACUUCCUUCGCUGCUAAAGAGAUAAUACAACAGGUGAUCGAAGUUACACCCCCCAUAUUAUAAAUACUUCUAAUGAUUUUAAUUGGUUUUGUUUUUAUCGGAAACAUUAACUUUGCUUUAUUUUAUUUAUUUAGGCAUUUUAAAUUUUAAAAUUUGAAUUGAAUUCAAUUAAAAUGUGAUGUAGCUAGUAACCACUUUUUUUAUUUCAUUUAUAUUCUCAAUAACUACCCAUAUUUUGGUAACUUACUGUAACCCCCGUAUCUAAGAAAUGAUUAAAACCCACAAUUUUAACUCCACAUAAAUAUUCCAUGUUGAGCUAAGUUUUUGCAUAACAUUCAAGUUUGUUAAAUAGUCAUUAAUUUAAUGUUUAGUAAAAACUUAUCUCUGAAAAUUUUCAUAAUUUUCUUACAUUCUUUGAGUUUGGUGAGUGACUUCAUAUAAUUUCUUUUCAAUUUAAAUUUUAAUUUGGUUUCUGAUAUAGUCUCUUUACUGAAUUUAUAUCUUUUAUGAUUCUUGGAUUUUGGGCUCCAACUUUUUAGGAUUUGAUAGUCACAUUUUAUGGCAUGCUUAGAUUGAUUUUCAUGAUUUGAGUACUCGUUAAGUGACUGAGAAUUUGACAAAAGUUUGAAAGGAAAUCCGUUUCACGAUUCUUAUGUGGAAGGUUCGUAAAAUCAUGAAAUUUGGAUAGGAUUCGCUAGCAAUAUGUACAAGACUCUUCAUGAAGUUUCAUAAUUUUUCGUUCGGUCUGGGGUGGUACAGGUGAAACUUGUGGUUGGUGUUAAAGAAGAAGUGAAAAGCCUUAUCAGCCACCUUCAAGCCAUUCAAGCUGUGCUCGAUGAUGCAGAGGAAAAGCAAGUGAAGGACAAAGCUGUUAGACAUUGGCUGGGCAGGCUCAAGUAUGCAUCCUACGACAUUGAAGAUGUGUUGGAUGAGUGGAUCACAGCUAGACACAAAUUGCAAAUUGAGGGUGGCGUUGAUGACAAUGCUCUUGCUGCUCCUCAAAAGAAAAAGAAGGUAUGUUUCUGCUUUCCUGCCUCUUGUUUUGGAUUCAAACAAGAAGAAUUUGGUUUCAGACAAGUCUUUCUACGUUAUGACAUUGCCAACAAGAUCAAAGAAAUGAAUAAAGAGCUACAUGAUAUUGCCACUCAAAAAGACAUGUUUAAUCUUGUUAAGAGUGGCAAUAAAAGUGGUGAAAGACCAAGGCGUGUACAGAGUACCUCCUUGAUUGAUGAGGAAGAGAUUUGUGGUAGAGUUGGUGAGAAGAAUGAACUCAUAAGCAAGCUGUUGCGUGAGAGUAGCGAGCAACAAAAAGGCCUCCAUAUGAUCUCAAUUGUUGGUAUGGGAGGCAUAGGGAAAACUACUCUUGCACAACUAGCUUGUAAUGAUGACGUGGUGAAGAGAAAGUUCGACAAAAUUCUGUGGGUGUGUGUAUCAGAAACUUUUGAGGAGUUUAGGGUUGCCAAAGCAAUCGUUGAAGCUUUGGAUGGUCGUGAAUCUCAUUUAGGUGAAUUCCAAUCUCUUCUUAAACAUAUUGAUGAAUCCAUUGCAGGGAAGAGCUUUCUUCUUGUCUUAGAUGACGUGUGGGAUGGAAAUUACUUGAAAUGGGAACCAUUCUAUCGUUGUCUAAAGAAUGGUCUCCAUGGAAGUAAAAUUUUAGUUACCACACGUAGUGGGUCCGUUGCAUCCACGAUGGGAUCCAUAGAUAUUAUUCCCAUUGAGAAAUUAGCUGAAGAGGAAUGUUGGUUGUUGUUUAACAAGAUAGCAUUUUUUGGUAGGCCUAUCGAGGAACGUGAAAAAUUCGAACGAAUUGGGCGAAGAAUUGCUGGCAAGUGCAAAGGUUUACCUCUUGCAACAAAGACAAUAGGUAGUCUCAUGCGUUCUAAACAAACUGAAGAAGAGUGGAAAAGAAUUUUAAAUAGUGAUUUAUGGAAAGUAGAAGAGAUUGAGAAAGAUGUUUUGUCCUCUUUAUUGUUGAGUUACAAUGAUUUGCCAUCUAGAGUAAAAAGAUGUUUUUCAUAUUGUGCUCUCUUUCCAAAAGACUACGAUAUAGAAAAAGACAAACUAAUCACAUUGUGGAUGGCUCAAGGUUAUCUUAGUGCAGAAGAAGAUGAGGAGAUGGAGACUAUAGGUGAAGAGUAUUUUAGCAUCUUAGCUUCUCGCUCUUUCUUUCAAGAGUUUAAGAAAAGUUAUGAUAAUCGGAUUAUAGAGUGUAAGAUGCAUGAUAUGGUACAUGAUUUUGCCCGAUUUGUAAGUCAAAAUGAAUGUUUUUCGAUGGCAAUUAAUGGUAGUGAAGAACCAAACGCCACAAACUCUGUUGAUGAGAAGGUCCGUCAUUUAAUGUUAAUCUUUAGUAUAGAGGCUUCAUUACCUGUUUCCACUCCUAGAGUUAAAAGAAUGCGUACCCUCUUAAUUAACGAUAGUAGAUCUGAUCAAUCAUUAUUAAAUGGUGAGAUCCUAGAAGAAUUGUUUAGGGAAUUGACAAGUUUAAGGGCAUUAGAUUUUGACAAAUUGUACCACUCAAUUUGGUCUUCGACUCUGGAGAUUCCGAGAAACAUAGAAAAGCUGGUACAUUUAAGAUACCUUAAUUUGUCUUCUCAGAAAAUAGUGGAGCUACCGGAGACAUUGUGCGAGUUAUAUAAUCUAGAAAAGUUAGAUAUUAGUUUUUGUUUUGAUCUUAGAGAAUUACCUGAAGGGAUUGGGAAGUUAAUAAACAUGAAGCAUUUACUAAAUUAUGAUACUGAUUCUUUAAGGUACAUGCCAGUAGGGAUUGGGAGAUUAACGGGUCUUAGGACCUUGGAUGAGUUCCACGUGAGUGCAGGAGGAGCUGUUGAUGGUAGGAAAGCAUGUAGGCUUGAAUCUCUUAAAAACUUGGAACACCUUCAAGUAUGUGGUAUACGUAGACUGGGUGAUGUAUCAGAUGUGGGCGAGGCUAAGCGAUUAGAACUUGACAAAAAGAAAUACCUCUUCAGUUUGACCCUUGAGUUUGAUAAGAAGGAGGAAGAAGAAGGAGAAAGAAGGAAGAACGAGGACGAUCAACUUCUUCUUGAAGCCCUGCGACCACCUCUGGAUUUAAAGGAAUUAGAGAUACGGUUCUACCGAGGCAACACUGUUUUCCCCAGCUGGAUGACGUCAUUAACCAACUUAAAGAGUUUAAAACUCUCUUUCUGCGAAAAUUGCGAGCAGCUGCCUCCUUUGGGAAAAUUGCCGUCCCUUGAACAGCUCUUCAUAUCGUACAUGUCGAGUGUGAAAAGAGUGGGUGAUGAAUUUUUGGGGAUAGAAAGUGAUCAUCAUGGCUCAUCUUCAUCUUCAUCGGUUAUUAUUGCCUUCCCCAAAUUGAAAUCACUUUCAAUUGAGUUUCUGUGCGAAUUGGAGGAGUGGGAUUAUGGGAUUACAAGAACGGGAAACACCGUCAUCAACAUCAUGCCACGUCUUUCUUCCUUGACAAUUGCUCUUUGCCCCAAAUUAAAGGCACUGCCCGACCACAUUCAUCAAACGACAACAUUGAAGGAAUUGCACAUUUGGGAUUGCAGGCUUCUGGAAGAACGUUAUUGCAAGGGGGAAGGAGAAGACUGGCCUAAGAUAUCACACAUUCCCAACCUCCAUAUUGGGCAUUGACAAGUAAUUUCUUCUCUUACUCUGAUUUGCUUUGUUGUUGUUUUUAAUCUAAUUAAGAAGCGUAAAUAGCAUUUUGAAUCAAACUCUAUAUCAGAAAUCUGCAAUACUUACUUUCUAAUAUUCUGAUUUUCAUAUCCUAUGAAUAUACGAUUUUUAAUUUGUGAGAUGGGUAACGUUACUGUAAAAGAUUAUUAAUGCAAUAUGAGUAAUUCUUUUGCAGGACAAGUGACCUACAUUUAGUUUGGCUUUGGAGUUGAAUAAUAACCUUUCGGGAACUGGUGUGGACUGGCAAAGGAUGAUGAGAUAGUUUUUUGAGUGAGUAAAUUUUGGGAGCUUGAGUGUAUUGGGAUUUGCAAUUACAAUCAUCGUCUGCCUCAGGUGAUUUCUUCUCCUGCUCUGUCAUUGUUUGUUCUCUAAUUCAAAAGCAUAAAAUAUUUCAAUCAAUUUUUAUGCCAGGAAUAUGCAAAAGUUUCUAAUAUUUUAUUUCCAUCUGUCACAAGAUCAAACUGAAGCAGAACUCAAACAAAAGUAUGCUACUUCUUGCGGAAAUCUUGCCUUCGUUCAAAUUAUGAAACCAUUUCCAUGCAGCAAAUUCAUCCAAAAGUUUGAAUAAGUUUCAUGGUUGGACACUGUUGGCUUCUUUUUCUUCUGGGGUGCAUUUAGGUGCUAUCAAGUGACAGCUGUAAGUAUGAUUGCACUAAGCUGCUGCUGGGAAAUUUGAGGUUUUGAUGGCUGCCCAUGUUAUUUUCAAGAAACUAUUGAUGUAAGAAGCCGUGGUUCUUUUCAUCAGCUUGAACCUGAAACUGUCGCUAUGGAUAACUCAGGUUUUUGUUAUCAACUAUAUCAUCUUUUUCACUAUUUUGAAACUCUUAAGAUUAAACGUUAGUAAAGUUGUUUCAGCUAUUCAAAUGAAAAACUCAUUGAUUUGAGACUUCCUUCAUUAUUGUUUCUAAUUACAAUGCUAACGAUCCAGAUAAAAUAAUAUUUAAUCGGCGAAGGUGUCCCUUGGAAGUACAUCCUUCUUUUUCUUUUAUUAUAUAAAUUCUUGCAAUGAGCUUAGUCAAGAUGUUGUGCUAAUCAUGCCACUGCAUAUAAAUUCUCCAGAAGUUAAAAUCAAUAAAUUUUCUAUUAGCUCUAGUGCUUUGACCUAAAUGCUAUUCUAUAUUCUGAUUACAAUGUUUUAACCUUUAAAUUAACUACCCCUAGGUGUUGGAUUUUCUAGAACUUCAAAAUGAUUAAUGGAGAAAGAUCCCAUUAUCGUUAUUGCUAUAAGAAAUUGAUUUAUGCAUCCAAAGAUACAUUAUAUAUUUCUGUGUCUCUAUUUAUAGAUGACAUUUAAGCAUCCAUAAACCGUCAGACAGAGGAAGGGGGUUCAGUGCAAAGAUUCUGUUGACCUAGGGUUGACUGCAUAAUGUCACUUGUUCGCAAUCUAUUAUUUAUUUUAUAUUUUGAAGAAUUUAAUGGGUAAUCCUAAUUGUUUGUUUUGGCAGGUAUGUGUUGUUUUCUCCUUCUAUCUAACAGUCGUACCUAAAUAGCAUAGUUUCAUCUGUGUUACCAUGUGAUGUACAUAAUUUCACAUUUGCCUCAGAUUAAGCUUAAUUUCCCACAGAAUAGAGCUGUCGCGACUGGACUUAGGUUGAUGUCCAAAGAGGUAAAUUAUUGGCAUGCCUAGAUAAUUUGGCCAUUUCCUAAUUCAUAAGUCUACAUUAAUUUUGAUUUUGAGUUGACUGAUUUCUUUUCAAGGUCUGCUUCCUUAACGGAGUGACCAAUGUUUUUCAACUAAAUUUAUCAUAUGAUGCAGGAAGCAGGGCAGGAUAUGAAAUGAGAAGCUCAUUGGUGGAAGUAUUGCCAGUAACAGAACCCAAAGAAAAUGAAACUAUUUCAAGGCAGCAGUUGGCAGUUGCAAGUGAAUGGAGGCCCUGACAAAAUUCUCAAGCGGUUGCAAUGCAAUUACGAUCAUCCUCAGCCUCAGGUAAUUUCUUCUCCUGCUCUGUUUUUAUUUGUUAUCUAAUUAAAAAGCAUAAAGUAUCUUGAAUCACUUUCUCUAUCUGGAAUAUAUGCAGCAGUUUCUAAAAUCUUCAUAUGAGUGUAAUGAUGGUAAUUUCUGUUUUUUGUCUGUCAUUGAAUGUUAGACAACUUUCAGUGAGACUCUUGAACCGAGACAUUUUUGACAACUGAAGGACAAUUGCUGAAGAGUCGGAAUGGUGCUAGAUUGGGGAAUAAAGACAAAGGAGGUAAAUUAUUUGCAGUUUAUUCAGCAUUAUUUGCUUUGGACCAGCGCCUGAUUCACAAGUCUCCAUAAUUUGGCUUUUGACCAGUUAAUAAAUUUUUAAUUCCAUUGGUGCUAAAUGUACACGUGAAGCAGGCAGAGCAGGACUGUGGAAAUGAGAAGGUUUUUAGUGAAAGCUUAAACUCAGGUAAUUCUAAAAAGUACAUGUUUUUGCUGAUUUAUCUAAAUCAGGAAAUUUUAUUUCCAUCUGUUACAAGAUAAAACAGAAACAGAACACAAAGAAAAAUAUUCUACUUCUUGUGGCAAUCUUGCCUUCAUUCAGACAAUGAAACCAUUUCCUUUCACCAAUUUCUUCCAAAAGUUUGAAUAAGUUUCAUGGGUGGACCUAGUUAGCUUCUUUUUCUUUUGGUGCAUUUAGGUCCUAUCAAGUGACAGCCAUAAGUAUGAUUGCAUUAUUGGGAAAUUUUAGGUUUGGAUGGCUCCCCAUGUUAUUGCCAAGAAAGUCCUCAUGUCAGAAGCUGCGGUUCUUUUCAUCAGCCUGAACCCGAACCUGUCGUUAUGGAUAACUCAGGUUUUUGUCAUCAACUAUAUCAUCUUUUUUACUGUUUUGAAACUCUUAAGAUUAAACUUCAGUAAAGUUGUUUCAGUUAUCCAUGUAAUCAGGCUAAGGAUAUUUAGCAGCUUAUUUAGGCAACUGCCAGAAUUCAGUUUGUUAGCUCGAAACUUGUAUGGUGACAAGGAUACUGGCAAGGAUAGUGAGAUAGUUUUUUGUGUGAGUGAAAUUUGAAAGCUUGGGUGUUCUGGGAUUUGCAAUUGCAAUCAUCCUCUGAGUCAGGUGAUUUCUUCACCUGCUCUGUCUUGAUUUUCUCUCUAAUUGAAAGCAUAAAGUAUUUCAAUCAAAUUCUGUACCAGGAAUACGUAAAAGUUACUAAUAUUUUAUUUCCAUCUGUUUGCAUUGAUAACUCGGCGGCAUAUGUUCUAGUUAAAGAACAAACAGAAACAGAGUUCAGGAAAAAGUUUCUUCGGCCACCAUAUUUGAAAAUGAAACCAUUUCCAGGAAGCAGUUGGCAGCAAAUUCAUAUGGAGUGUAGACAAUGAUGAGCAAAAAGGUGAUUCGCAAUUUCUUUUUUUUUUUAAGUGAAAUUAUUUGUUAGAUUGAAGCUGAUAUUGUAAGAAGGCCAUUGAGCUAACCUAUGUCGCCACUUGCCUAGAUUGCAGGGGGUCAAGACUCAAAAGAAGCACUGAAAUUUAAAAAGCAUGCAAUAGUUCUUUUGCCAUGUGUCAAUUAAUGCAAGUUUGAAUAAGUUUAUUGGCUGAACGAUGUUAGCUUCUUUUCCUUUCGUGCACUUUGGUAUGCUAUCAAGUGACAGCCGUAUGUAUGGCUUGCAUAUAGCUGCUGCUGGGAAAAUUGACGAUUUCAUGGCUGGCCGUGUUAUUGUCUUAAAUUAGUUGUGAUAAGCUGUUGCUUGGAGAUUCUGUUGCCAAGAAUUUGCUCACAUCAGAAGCUGUGGAAUCUGAACCCUUCGAUUCUGUUGCCAAGAAUUUGCUCACAUCAGAAGCUGUGGAAUCUGAACCCUUCGUUAUGUAUCAUCUUUUUCAUUGUUUUAAAACAGUAAACUCUCAGGACACUGAGCAGGCAAAUGUUAUAACUCGGUUUGUUAGCCAAAAACUUGUUGAAGAUUCUUGACAAAGCUGCGUCGAGUGAAUUGUCGGAGCUCUGAGGGUGAGAGAAAUUAGAGGGUGUAUAGGGAUUUGGAUUUGUUAGGAAGUUAUCAUUUUUAUUUGUCCGAUUCAAAACUUGAUAUUCCAAUUAUAUUCAUAAGCUUCUACAGUUAUCUUCAAAAAGACAUUCCAAUUAUAUUCAUAAGCUUCUACAGUUAUCUUCAAAAAGACAAAUGGAAGGCUUUGAACGGCUUGGGUCUGAGUAUUGUAGUUUGAUUUAUUUUGAUGAAAGAACCUUUUGACAUUAAGAUUCUUUCAUGAGUUAAACAUUCUUUUUAAAACCAACUUAUUAAAAAAAAAGUAACGAACAUAUAUUAUUUUGUUAGUGCUUUUUAAAUCAAAUAUAAAAAAGAGAACUGUAAUUCUUAGCAACCAAUUUUUCAUUGAGUACACCUACAACAAAUUAUUAAAAAAUAAAGCGAUAGAAAAUGCCUGAUUUUUCGUACUUUCUAAUUACUUUUGGUCCUAAAAUAUGGCGAUUUGUGUAAUAAUAAGCCCAUGUAUAUCUUUAUGCCAUUAGUUUGAUAAAUAACUAUCAAGGAUAACUUAUUAAGCUAAAAAUAUUUGAAGGAUAAAAUGGGAAAACUAAAAGGGUGGAGUAAUAAAGUUAUUUAAGAUUACAUAGUAAGUUAACUAUAUUCGAGGGAUAAAAUAUUAAAACUUGAAUAGUUAUAUUAAAAAUAUCUCGGCUAUUAUACUAUUAAACCAUAUGCCGUAAUAAUGUUUUUUUUCAAACUUUAAAAAAUUCAGGAUUUUAAAUUAAAACAUGGAUUUCUUUAAGAUGCUAUAUGUGUUUUUACAGUAUUGAUAGUGGGAUUAGUGUGUACCCUUAUAUGAAAGAGUUUUAAUCUGAAUCAUUCAUUUAAUAUAAUAGAUAAUUAAAUAAUUAAUUAAAAUAUAGCAGGUAACUUAUAGGUUGCAGGUAAAAAAUUAAUUUUUUAAUUUUAAAUUAAAAUUAAUUUGGAACAAAACCAUCCACACCCCUAAGGUUUACUUAAAUGAUCAUAUAAAUCCCUUUAGUUUCUACAUAGUUAUACAGACCCUCUUAAUUUCAUAAAUUAUUAUUAUACUUUUAAUUAAAACAACCUAAAUGAAUAUAAAUAUAGUAAUAGGAUAGAAAUAAUAAAUAAAUAUCAGAUGAAACAAAUAAAAUAUUACAAUAAAUACAAUUAAUUAAAUAACAUGUAUGAUGAAAAUUUUAUUCAUAUUAAGUUAUUAUUAGUCUAUCCCGAUGGAUUUACUCAAAUCAAUUAAUCCAAAAUUUAAUUUUAAGAUUGAUAUUAAUAUGGACAUAAUUAAAUAAGAUGUUGUAAUAUAUACUACUUUGAAUGUUAAGUAUAAUUAUCUAAUAUUAUUAGUAUGUGAAAUAGAUUUUAAUAUUAUUAAAGAAUAUGACAAUAUAUAAUUUUGAAUUAAAUUUUUUAGUAUUCAUGAUAUUUUAUAAAUUUUAUGUGAUUUUAUAUAUUAUAUUUUUUAAUUUUAAUGUAUUAUAUAUGAUCAUUUAAGCAAAUUUUGGAGGUGCGGUGGUCUUUUCCCUAUUAAUUUUGUAGCAUAUUUAAAGUGUUAUAUCAUACAUGAUACAUCACACUUUUGUUAAAGUGUUAUGUUAUUAAAAAUUAAACUUUGCAUUUAUAAUAUACUACCAUUUUAAUGUAAAGGUAAUAGAAAAUAUGAAGAUAUUUUUAAGUAGUCAAUUGUAGCUUUCUUUUACAAAAUAGCAGUAUAGAAAUACAAUUGGUAAAAUGUAAUAAAAAUGGUAUGGAAAAAAGUUAGUAGAGGCAAUUAUUCUUGUAGUUGCUAAAACAUAUGAAGUGACACACACACACACACACAUAUCAAGUACUUGUAUGUUCCCCUAACUUUUAUUAAUGGGAAGGAAAUUAAAUUCGUAAUUUUCCCGGUGAAUUAUGAAUUGAUAAAUGAAAUAUAAAUAUUAGUAAAAAUUAAUUUGUCGACUAAAGAAGUAAACCAUAUUUUAUGGGCAUUUAAUACAUUAAUUUAAGGUCAAAUGAGAUAAUAUCACAUGAUAUUUGAUACAAGAGUCCAAUUUUCAACAUUUGCAUAUAGUUUCUAAGCUAGUAAUCUAAUAAAAUAUACCAAAUGAGAAAUUGAAGGCUAUUAUUUAUAUUUCACCAUUGGACAAACACCAUACAUUAGAAUAAAAAAAUCUCACAGUAGAGACGGCAUCUGUUUGCAUGUUUUGAAAAUAGAUUUUGAAAUUAGUUUAAUUACAUGAUAAUUAAAUUAUAUUAUAAAAUUAAGAAUAUGAUUUAAGUACUAUUUUAGCAAUUUUGAGUCUCACAUUGAGUAUUCAAGUUAAUUAAAUGUUGAAACUCUUUUCUAUUUGGCUUGAAAUCACUACUAAAUAAAAUUACAAAAAGUCAAUAAUGAAUGAUGUAGGACACAUAUGUAAAAUAAAUUUUAAAGUGUAAUUAAACAUUCCUAUCAAUAUUAGUUUUGCAUACAUAUUCAUAUAUUUUACCGAAACCAUAUAUAAUUAAAUUUUGUGUAAUUAAGUAAAAUAUAUUAUUCAAGUGAAUUUAUGAGAAUAUUUAAAAUUGUAGGGGUCGUCACUGAAAUUUGCCAAACUUGAGCCAACCGUGCAUGAUCCAAACAGUUUAUUUUAAUAAUUCUCAAUAUGUUAGUCUGUUUGACUGUUGGCAAAAUAAAUUCCUAUCAGCAAUGCAACACAAUUCAAAAUCAUAUCUGCAUACAACGAACAAUAUCUCAUGAAAGAUCAAAUUAUACAUUUUUUACACCAAACCAUAAAUAUCUAAAUUGUCCCUCUUCAACUCACCAAGCUCAUACCUAACAACAGCAAGAUUAAAUGUCAUUUGAUCCAUCUUUUUUAUUAAGCUUUAUCAAUUCUUCUCAUGGUUGCAAUUUUGAAAGCUCGCUUCGCUAUUUCCAUUUGCUUUUAUGCUUUGUUUGAGCUCCAUCUUUUCUCUCCAUCUACAUUUUACACUGUAAAAAAAAUUUUAAAAAAAUUACAAAGCUUCUUAUGCUAGAAUAUGAGCAACAAUAUAAAUAAUAAACAAUAAAGUUAUGAUAGCACAGCAUGCUCAUUAAAGUGCUUCUUUUUUUUUUUUUUCAACAAGAAAUUACUACUGAAUUAAAGAUUUGGCUUUGCAUUAAGGUUUGCCUUCAAUAACUCAACUCCCCACUUGGGUUUUGUCGUUUUCUUAAAAUCUCUGCUCAAUCAAUUUAAAGAUCCUUUUUUUUUUCUUUCCAAAGAUCUAAAAGCAAUGUCUUUUAUUGGUACCCAACAAAAAUGCAAGGUCUGUGAGAAGACAGUUUGUCCAGUUGAGCAGUUAUCUACUGAUGGGGUUGUUUAUCACAAGUCUUGCUUCAAGUGCUCUCACUGCACUGCAAAGGCACACUCAAGCUAAGCAAUUACUCAUCCCUGGAAGGUGUUCUUUACUGUAAGCCUCACUUUGAGCAGCUUUUGAAGGAGUCGAGUAACUUCAACAAGAAUUUCCAAUUACCUGCAAAGUCAGCUGAGAAGUUAACUCCUGAGCUGAAAAGGUCGCCUAGCAAAGUUGACAGCAUGUUCUCUGGGCCCAAUAAAAAUGUGCUUCUUGCAGUAAAACAGUGUGUCCGUGGGAGAAGGUAGCAGCGGAAAACCAAGCCUCUCACAAGACAUGUUUCAAGUGCUCACAUGGUGGUAAUUCCAUUAGCCCGUCAAAUUACGCAGCCCUAGAAGGCAUCUUGUAUUGCAAACAUAAUUUCUCCCAAUUGUUCAAGGAAAAAGGCAGCUACAACCACCUUCUAUCAAAUCUGCUUCCAUGAAGCGUGCUGCAGUCUCUGUUCAAGAAGCUUGAACAUGUUAUGUUAUCUUCCAUAAAUCUUAUUUGGCGUGGGUUUUCUCUGGCUUGAGGGUGUGCUUUCUAUUUUGAUCCCUCUUGUUGUUUUUGCGGGGAACUACCAAACCUUCGGUUCCCUCUGCUUCUUUGGAUCAUCUUUGUUGGGACAAAUUUCAUGUAAUUAGAGAUACUGAUUUAUGGGAGGCAUAAUCCCAUGGUUGUAAAUUGACCAUUUUCUGGCAAUGUUCUUUUUAAAAAGAGAUGAGCAGUUGUUUAACAAAAAAAAUAGCUGGCCUUCAUCAUGGUAUGUUACCAAACUGCUAUGUAUAGCUGCUAACUAUGAGCAUCCGAAAAUAUGGUGCAUCGUGAUUCAUGUCGUGCAAUAUGGCUACCAACGCAUCCUAAAUGGAGUAUUACUCAGUUAGUCAGCAAAAUAAGACAACAGUAAGAUAUUAAAAAAAUAAAAACUACAUUAAUAAGUGGGCAAGAUCAUGCCAGUUUAACUUUUCGCGCGUCGCUGCUGGAGAUAAUCAAAUCGGGGCAGAGAAAAGGAGAAUGGAAUCAGAGGCUAAGAUUAAUAAGUGGGCUUCUGCUUGCUUUGCCCCUCUUUCUUAAACGAUUGGUAGACUGCUGCUUCCACCGAUUAACCGGGUCUUCAACCACUGCUUUUAUUGCCUGCCAUCUUGUUGUUUGUCGAAGGGAUGAAUUCGAGUCGAAAAGAGAAAGCGCGCUGAAAAAGACAAAUCACUAGUGGUUAACUACUGACUCAGCCAAGUGUUGGCUUCACUUGAUUCACCGAUUGAGGUUAUUUUGUCUUCUAUCUAAUGCAGCGAAGAAGCUUUACUGCUUAACAUGCUGCAAUGCAACUUUAUCUUUUGAAGUUCACACUUCAGGGCUGCGCACUUUAUGUAAUCCUAUGAGUAAAAAGAAUUUAUUUUCAAAUGUGAAAAAAGAAAAUGUAAGGUAGUAACUAAAUAUAUUAUAGCAUCAAAGUAAGAUUUGAUAUGAAUUUAGUACAACAAAGAACAUUAAAUCUGUGAUUCCUUGUCUAAUGUCACCAUCGAGCAACAAAUUUAAAAGCCUACCUAUCAAAUACACGAGGCAAUAAACGGAGAAAAAGUUGAAUUACAAGAACAAGUUUACAAUUCUUGUCAAUGGUUAAUGAUUCGUGAAUUGAGAUAGCAUUCAAGAAUCCAAUUUCAAUACAACAACGUAAAAGAUAAACAGAUGAUGAAUUUUAUGAGAUAAAGAAGGAGAUUGUGUUUUAUCGUAUCUCUAUUUUCUUUCCAUUUAAAUUUAAAAUAAGCUUUUCAACCGGUUAUAAUAUUUUUUGAAAUAAUUAAAUAUUUUUAUUAUUAAAAAUAAUGUGUACCGUUGAUUACAUCUAACGCUACAUAUUUCUUACACUAUUAAUACCGUAAAAAAAAUCAUAGAGGGACCCUUAAAACAUUUUCAUUUGAAAUUAUUUGGUGAAGUGAAAAAGUUAAGAAAGAAAUAGUUGUCCCUUUGGUCAUUUCACAAAAAUGAAAGCCCCAUAUAACAUGGACUUGAAUGGAAGCCCAAUUGUUGUGUUUGAUUUCAAGCUUUAUCGGACCUUUGGACCUGGAUACUUUACUGCGGCCUCUAAGCGCUACAAAUUUUUUUUUUGGGAUAAAAGGCGCUUCAAUGAAAAAGCACUUUAAAACUUUGGAUUUUGCCAAAACUUCAAAGCGGUUGGUCCAGUUACGGUGUUAUGCUAACGGGUUUAAAGGUUCCGAUCCAAUGAGUUAGGGUGGAAUAUGAAUAUAUAAAUCCUAGUCAUGUAAGGACUAGGAUUUGUUUGUUCAUAUCAAGAAAAAAAAUCUGAAAAUUUGAUGAUCAGAAGAUAAAAACACUUAAACACGUUUAUUACAGAGAAACAAACGACAACAUGAUGCUAGUAGUAAUUUUAUUUUUCUUUUAUUGUGUAACGUGGACCAAAAAAAAGGAAAUGAAUUUAAUAAAACCGUCAUUCCGCAAUAAUAAUGUACCAGCCUGGUUUUUAUAAUCCAUACCAUCCUGAUAUAAUUAAACACCAUUAAUAAUGUACCAGCCUUUAAAUAGUAAUUAAUUUAUUUAUCUAAUUCACCAAAUGUCAUUUCCGGUACAUAUCUCCUGGUAUCAAGAAGAGGCAGAACCCAAAGAAACGUUUCUUGUAUCUUCAUAUUUGUGCGAAUUCAUCCUUUCAUUGAGAAUAACCAUUUCCAGGCGGCAGUUGGCAAUCAAUUCAUGCGCAAGUCGAUGCUAUUCAUAGAUAUUAAAGACAAUGAUGAACCAAAGGUGAUAAAUCAUAAAUGCAUAAUUACCAAACCUCCAUCCUUCUCUCAUUAUGAUUUGAUUUUAAAUGAAUUAUUGCUUGGUAACAUUAUUUCCAACCAUUGCAAGAUUAUUAUUAUUUUUUUUUGGGGAGAAAUUUCAAUUGAAAGUGAAACCUUUAGACAUUUACCUAAUGAAGUUAGUUAAUGGGGAGGGUUGGAAAAAUUCCCAAGCCGUUGCACAGCAAUUACGAUCAUCCUCGGCCUCAGGUAAUUUCUUCUCCUGCAUUUUUGUUAUUUGCUAUCAAGUGACAUUCGUAAGUAUGAUUGUAUUAAGCUGCUGCUGGGAAAUAUAAGGUUUUGAUGGCUGCCCAUGCUAUUGUCAGAAGCUGCGGUUCUUUUCAUCAGCCUGAACCUGGACCUGUCGCCAUGGAUAACUGAGGUUUUUUUUUUUUUAAAUCAACUACGUCAUCUUUUCCACUGUUUUGAAACUCUUAAGAUUAAACUUUAGUAAAGUUGUUUUAGUUAUCCAUGUAAUCAGGCUGAGGAUACUUAGCUGCCUAUUUAGGCAAAUGUCAGACUUUAGUUUGUUCGCUGGGAACUGGUGUGGUGACAGCGUCCUGGCAAAGGAUGAUGAGAUAGUUUUUUGAUUGAGUAAAUUUUGGGGGCUUGAGUAUAUUGGGAUUUGCAAUUACAAUUAUCCUCUGCCUCAGGUGAUUUCUUCUCCUGCCCUGUCGUUGUUUGUUCUCUAAUUCAAAAUUAUAAAAUAUUUCAUCAAAUUUUAUGCCGGGAAUAUGCAAAAGUUUCUAAUAUUUUAUUUCCAUCUGUUUGUCUUGAUAACUUUGCAGCAUAUGUACUAGUUAAAGAACAAAUCGAAACAGAGUUCAGUUAAAAGUUUCUUCUGCCGUCAUAUUUGAAAAAUGAACCCAUUUCCAGGAAGCAAUGGGCAGCAAAUUCAUAUAAAGCGUAGACAAUGAUGAGCAAACAGGUGAUUCACAUUAAUGAAAUUAAUUGUUUGGUUGGAGCGGACAUUGUUAGAAGGCUAUUGAGCUAACCUAUGUCACUACUUGCCUAGAUUACAGGGGGUCAAAACUCAAAAGCGGCAUUGAAUUUUAAAAGGCAUCCAAUAAUUCUUGUGGCCAUAUAUCAAUUCAUGUAUGUUUGAAUGUAAUUAUUGGUGAAGGGGUUUCACUUCCCGUCUCUAAAUAAAAAUACUGAUUCUUUAAGGUACCUGCCACUAGGGAUUGCGAGAUUAAUGAGUCUUUGGACAUUGGAAGAGCUCCUUGUGAGUGGAGGAGGAGGUGUUGAUGGUAGCAAAGCAUGUGGGCAGUGGGCUUGAAUCUCUAAAAAACUUGGAACUCCUCCAAGCGUAAGUAUACGUAUACUGGGAAAUUUGUUAGAUGUGGAUGAGGCUAAGAGAUUAGAGCUUGACAAAAUGAAAUACCUCUUUCAUUGAGACUUAAAUUUGAUGGGGAAGAAGAAAAAGAAGAGGGAAGGAGGAAGAAUGAGGAUAAUCAACUUGUUCUUGAAGCCUUGCAACCACCUCUGAAUUUGAAGGAAUUAGAGAUUUGGUCAUACAGAGGCAACAUUGUUUCCCCCCGGAUGAUGCAAAAAUUGAAGGAAUUUACCAAUCUAAGGAGUUUGACACUCUUUAAAACUGCAAAAAUUGAGAGCAGUUGCCUCCUUUGGGAAAAUUGUGAUCCUUUGAAAAUCUCAGCAUAUUGUACAUGGAGAGUGUGAAAACAGUGGGUAAUGAAUUUCUGGGAAUAGAAAGUCAUCUUCAUGACUCAUCUCCAUCUUUAUCAGUUAUUAUUGCCUUCCCCAAAUUGAAAUCACUUUCAGUUGAGGGAUUGAUGGAAUUGGAGGAGUGGGAUUAUGGGAUUAAAAGAACAGGAAACACCUUCACCAACAUUAUGCCACGUCUUUCUUCCUUGGAAAUUAGUGUGGGGUUAUGGGAUCGCACAACCACGUUGAAGGUAUUGCAGAUUGUGGCAUGUGGUACUCUAAGAAGACGUUGCAGACAGGGGAGAGCAGAAGACUGGCCUAAGUUCUCUCACAUUCUAGACAUCAUGAUUGUGUGAAAAGAGGCCCUUGACAAAAUUCUCUAGGCGGCUACAUGGAGUACAAUCAUAAAAUGCUAAUGUGGCCACCCUGGUUCUUAAUUAAGGUUGUGAAAUAUUAUUGUAAAAGAUGAUUAAUUCAAUUUGAGUCAUUCGUUUGCUUUGAUAAUGAUAGUAAUUUUAUAUUUUGACAAUUUGCAAGGUGAGAAUGGUGCUGAUUGGUGAUACAGGAUACGGUUCAAACACCAUUGAAUAAAGCUACGGACAUGGUGGCUCAACUUAGCUAUUGCUGUCAAAAUUGGUAAGUUGGCUUGUCAAUGUAUUGAUGCUUUUGUUUUCUCUCAACCCUAAUUACCUUACCUUCAUUUAGUUUGGCUUUGGAGUUGAGUAAUAACUUUCAAGGUUCUCAAACAGAGCAGGACAACCGAAAAAAAAAGCUUAAUUUGCUACUGAUCACGUGUUACCAAUUAUUAAGGUAAUUCUCGUUUACUUGCUUCUACACUAUAGAGUACGUGUUCUGGCUGGUUUAUCUAAUUCAUCAAAUGUUAUUUCCUUAUUGUUCCAUUGAUAUAUUUGUUAGAAAGUGAAACCAUUUCCAGGCAGCAGUUGGCAGUGAAUUCAUGCAAAUGUUGAUGCCAUUCAUAGAUAUUGAAGACAAUGAUGAGCCAAAGGUGAUAAAUCAUUAAUGCAUAGUUACCAAAACCUCCAUCCUUCUCUCAUUGUAAUUUGAUUUGAAAUGAAUAAUUUCUAGGUAAUUGAAGCCAAUAUUGUUAGAAACGGUGUUGAGCUACCCAAGCUAAGAAGUUGGCUGCCAAAAAAUGCAGGGGAUCAAAAGAAGCAUUGCAUUUGAAAAGGAAUGAGAUUCUGGUUGCUACAUGUCAAUUCGUAGAAGUUUCAAUAAAUUUAAUGGUUCAAGAUUUUAGUUUCUGUUUAAAUUUGUGCUACUGCAGUGCUGCAGUGCUGCUACUGGGAAAUUUAAAUCCCAUAUUAGACUUUCCUCACAUAAGAAGCUGUGGAUCUUCGGACAUCAGGUUUUUUCACAGUUCUGAAACUCUCAGGAUUAAACUCUAUUAAAGUUGUUGUAGUUGUCUACGUUCUCAGGUCAAGGAUUCUAAGCUGCCGAUUAAGGCAAAAUGUCAGAAUUCCCCUAUUAUUUUUUUUUUCAUGUAAAAUUAUGUUGUUGUCUUCGCCCAUGAAUCUUAGCUAAAUUCUGAACCAAUUGUUUGCUAUUAUAAAUUUCAUUGUUAAAUAUUAAUUGUGAUGUUGGUGUUGAGUUUCUUUUAAAGUCAGAGAAGCCUGACGAUUGAGUUCCAUGGGAUUCUGAGAAGCAGUAAUAUUUUGAACAAGUGAAGGUUCUUCGUUUUUACAGUAUGUGCAGAUGUCUAAGAGGCAGGAUUUUUAUUUCUGUAAUGCUAAAUUUCGCAAAACAAUAAAAAUAAAUAAAUGCAUGACAGUGACUUCAAGAAUUUAGAUUAUUGAAUUUGGUCAUUUUAAAAUUGUUGGAAUGUUGAACUUAAGUAAUUUUUAUAAACCAGAGCUCAGAAAUGUAGAAUAUAAAUAUUGGAGAUUUGGACUUCAAUCAUUAGACUUGAAGCUAAAGAGGUAAGCCAUUAAUUAUAUCAAAGGAUUUGGAAAAUGGAGGGAUUGGAAAAAGGAAACAUUUUCAUAAACUUCAAGAGGAACGUCACAGAAAGGGGUAAAGAGAAGAGUAGCCUAAGAUAUUAAAGACAAUGUUGAGCCAAAGGAAACAUAAAUCCCAACCAUUGCAUGUGAACAUGAUCACAAUAAGGUCAAAAACCAUUUUUUUGAGAAUUUUCAAUUGAAAGUGAAACCUUUUGACAUUUACCUAGUAAAGUUAGUUAAACGAGAGAAAUAAAGGGGAAAAGAAAAGUUGACUCAAGUCAAUACAGAAUAAUUAGUUCAAUCUGGAGUAACUAAAACAGAGCCACUAUAUUUUCAAAAAUAUCUGCAUUCAUCACCUUCUCCUCCAGCUAGUGAGCUACACACGAAUCCUUUCCUUUUAGCAUUUUUGCAGCAUCAAUUUCUCCCCUCGUUUGUCAUCAAUUUCUCCCUUCGUUUCACCAAUACCAUGGCUGAUGCAAUCGUUUCCCCUCUCUUGGAGCAGCUGAUUAUCUUUGCUGCUGAAGAGUUGAAACAACAGGGGAAGCUGGUGAGUGUUGGAUGAGUGGAUCACAGCAUGCGCCAAAUCGCAAAAUAGAUCAAUGCUCUUGGUGCUCCUUAUCUGAAGAAGAAGGUGCAAAUUGGGAGCUGCAUUUCACUGUCAUAACAUUUAUUGUAAUUUCAUUUGGAGAUAUGUAAUAUCUGUUGUCCAGAUACAUAUCAUACACCAGUUGCUAUGUAAUUUCGUUUAGGUUCAUUUUUGUUUCUUAAGAGUUUGUAAAAAGAAUGGAAAGAUUUUAAAAUAUAAAUUUCAUAUCUGUUUAUUACUGUUGUUUGGUCUAAUUUCUUAUGUAGAAUUUUCAGAAUCUGUAGGACAUUAGUUUAUAAUUUUGAGAUUUUGCAGCCAUAAAAAAAAUUUUUUUUUUUUGCCAUUUUAUUUUGCUCCUUUAUCUAUGUGCAUGUUGACUGGCUGCAGUGAGUGAAAAUUUACCUAUAUAUGCUGGCUAUUCUUGGACAAUAUUAGAGAAAAUAAUCAUAUUAUUUCGCGUGAUGUGAACUUCCAUAACUUAUCAAUUGAAUUGCUGUAAAAUAUUAAAUAGUUUUAUUUUUCUUUUAUCGUGUAACUUGGACCAAAAAAGGAAAUGAGUUUAACACGACCCUCAAUAUAACCUCCAUUUCAGCACAAUACAUGUUAAUUGUUCCCCAAGGACUUCUCCUGUUUCCCAUUCCCACCUCCAUGCUCUCGAGAGGAAUUUAGCACCCAUCAAUUUUUAUUUUUGAAAACUCGUAAUGGUCUGAUAAAAUUAAACAACAUCAAUAAUGUUACCAGUCUUUAAAUAGUAAUUAAUUUAUUUAAUUUGCCACCUAAAAGAAUCCUGCUGGAAAUAGAGGUUAAAAAUUUUAUUAGAUCUGCUUACCUUUGUUCAUUCAGCAAAAACACUUACAAUUCACAGCUAGAGAAUCUAUCCAUUGACAAUUGUGGAUUAAAAUUAUAACACCUGAAUUCAAACAUAUCCUUAUGAAGUUAUGAAUUUGUUCAUACUUCAAAUGAUUUUUUUUUCCAAGCUAAUAAAGCAACCACUUUGAUCAAACGACGACGUUGAAGGAAUUACGUAUUUUCAAUGUCCUUUUCCAGACAGAUGUUGGAGAGAGGGAAAGGAGAAGACUGGCCUAAUUAAGAUAUCUCACAAAGAUUAUUGAGUUAAAAUGUUAUUGUAAAAGAUGUUUAAUACAAUAAUAGUAAUUCUUUUGCAUUGUUAUAAUGAGGCUGGUGGGUUUCCUCAGAGGAUGGAUAUGGCUCGCUAGCAUGCAUUUGGGAAGAUGCUAAUUAUCGGCCAUAAAAAGUCAGGGGGUUGUGGCUCUUCCGUCGCCCAGAAAUUCCUAAACUCAUAUAUCAAACUUCAGAUGAACUUGGGCAUUAUGUAAAUAUGUAUUUUUGAGAAUUAAACUAGUGCGUUCGAAAAAUUUUGAGCCAUUGUAAUCAUUUUAUUUUGCUAAGAGAAAAUUUUACUUUGUUUCGCUUUGCCUUUUGUUUUUUCUGUGAUAAUAUGAUUCAUACGAAUGUGAUUACACACUAUCAUGCAUCUAUUUUCAUUUGCUUGUCAUGAAUGGUCAACAUGCUCGAAAUAUUUACUUAGGUUGGAAAUAUUUGAAUCCACUAAAAUACUAUACAAACCCAUUUUAAAAUUAAAAAAAUGAUUAUCAUAAUACUCGUGAAGAUAACACGAUAUCAUACAUAAAAUAAAAUAUUUCGCAAAAAAGAUAAGAUACAAAUCUUGAGUAAAUAGGUACAAAAAAUAUUUUAGUGGGUUAAGUAGCACUAAUGCCCCCUUAUCAAAAAAUAAAUAAAAAUAACUAGUCUGAUUGGGUAUACCGUUUAUAUAUAUGUACAUAUUCUUGAUAAUGUGUAAUGUACAUUAUAGACAAAGAUUUUGAAAGCAAUAUUUUUUAAAAAGUCGAGAGAAUAGGAAAAGUCUAAAUCAAUUUUCUAAUCUCUACCUCCUUUAUGAUUUAAACUUUAGUGUUUAGUGUCGCGAGCCACUCAAAUUUUCUAAUCAAAGAGACUAAAUUGCACGAAAUUGUGCUAGCUUAUUUGAUUCUAGAAAUUUCUACUACACUGUAACACACUCUCACGUAGGGAUGGCAAUGGGGAGGGGAGGGGAGGGGACCAAUCUCCCCAUAUCCAUCCCCGAUAUUUUACAUAUGUCCCCGUCCCCGUCAGAAUUGCUUGAGAGAAUCCCCAUCCCCUCCUCGAAUAAUAACAGGGGAUCCCCGAGGGUCCCCGGUCCCCGAAUAACUAAUAAUCUAAUACAUUUUUUUAUUUUCGAUUUUAAAUUAAUCAUAUUAAAAUAAACUCAUACCGCUAUUGUAAGCUCGUAACCAAUUUUGACAGCACAUUAAGGCCUCCAAUGUGCUUGGAUGAAGUCUGUUAUGGUAUGGGCUCACAACUCUACCACUAGUGUUAAAAGCUGAUUCAGAAGCAACUGUUGUAAUUGGAAUUGCCAAAAUAUCUCUAGCAAUUCGAGCUAAUGUAGGAUACCUAUUAGCAUUUGUCUUCCACCAACUCAAAAUAUUAAAAUCUUCCAUCCGAGGUAUAACUUUCUCAUCCAAAUAUGAAUCUAAUUCAUCUGCAACAACUGCACAAUCUCCAUUGUUUACAUAAUCAUCAAAACCUAUCAUCCAUUUGGUUGCUUUCUUAUAAGAAUCCCCUGUAGAUCUAGUAGAAGAACUACUACCAGUAUAAUCAAAGCAAUAAACAGUUGGUGAAAACUUCAAUUAAUACUCUUCAACUAAUUCCCGGCAAAGGAUGACCACUUUCCCAACAUACAACUAUUUUGAUAUUUAUUAUUUUUAACAAUAUUUAUAAUUUUGUUAUUUAUUUAUUAGUAAUUUUAAAAAUAAAAAUAAAAUUAAAAAUUAAAAUGGGGAAAUGGGUAGGGGAUGGGGAUUCCACCUCAUCCCCGUCCCCUCCCCGAAUAAAAAAUUGGGUAAAAAAUUUUCCCCGUCCCCUCCCCGAAAAAAAAAUUGGGUAUAAAAUUAUCCCCGUACCCUCCCCGAAUGGGGAAAAUCCCCGAGGGUAUCCGUCCCCGUGGGGAUUUUUGCCAUCCCUACUCUCACGCUUGUACAUACCUCGAAAUUCUCUAGAAUUUACUAGAGUAGUGUUGCAUGUAGCUUGUACAUAGGUUUUUCUGGAACACUCCAGGCAUUACUAAGCAUGAGAGCCUUGAGAACUCUCUAGCCAUAAAACAUUCUAGGGUAAGCCUACCCUAAAAAUAGGGCAUGAUGCUUGCCACUUGAGCAUACAACAAGUAAGAACAAAUCAAGCAUACUUGUGAGCUCUCAAACUCUCUUAUACACACUUUUAUGAAUAAUAUAUUCUCUCUUUGGCUAUAUUGCUCUCUCUUCUCUCUAGUUUUUUUCGCAAGCAUCAAACCUUAGUUAGUCGAAAAAUUCAAGGCUUACUUUAUAGCUAUCUCGUAAAAGUUGUUUAAGUACCAUAGAGAUUUGCUGUGCAAAAUACUCAUCACAUGACAUUAGCUAAAUAAAAUUGUUUGAAAGCCACUUACCCAAACUAUUAAACGAAUAUUGACUUUUGUCUUAAUUUUCUAUCUCCUACGAUAAAUUUUAUAGUUAAAAAUUGAAAAAAAUUAAUAACUAUUAGAUAGAGCAUUCUUUAUUGUUAAAAGAAAUCUAUAUAGAUAGAUAGAUGGUAAUAUAAAAACUUACUUAUUGUAGUAUAAUGUUUUUAGUUUUUUGAAACACAGAUUCUCACUUUUUAAAGAUAAAAUUCAAAGAAAACAAGUUAAAUGUUGUAGAAAAUCUUCCAGCCAUACAAGAAAUUGUGAUGGCUAAAUGCAAACCUAACUAAAGUAUUAGUUGUUUUAUUACAAUCUCCAAAAAGAUGAGCAAUUCCAAAAUCUUUUUUUGUGACAAUAAACACUACACGUCAGUAAUUAUCCAGGUCAAAAGCAAGCUACUCUAUUAAAAAAAAAAAAAACUUGCAGUGAAUUCGAAGAUAAACCAAUUUUACUAGCAAGUUGGAUACAAAAGAGUAGGGCUUCGGCCUCAAUUACUCAGUGUACCAACAACUCAAUCUCGGUGAGUUAAAAUCAACUUCCAUCAGUCUUUUAUUUGUUGAUAGAUCGAUUAAGGUACCAAAAAGAAUAAUUAAAGAUGUAUUAGUUCAAGUUAAUAAAUUCAUAUAUCUUGUGGAUUUUAUUAUUUUGGAAACUGAACCAAUUGCUAAUGAAUGCAAACAAAUUCCUGUUACAUUGGGUCGUCCAUUUUUAACUACUGCUAAUACAUUGAUUAAUUGCUGGAAUGGAGUAAUGAAUUUAUCUUUCGGCAACAUGACAUUGGAACUUGAUGUGUUCAACAUAUGUAAACAACCUCACCACCAGGAAGAUGAUGAUAAUGAGAAUUAGGAGAUUGAUUUCAUCGAGCCAAUCAUUGAGGAACACAUUCAGAAUAAGAAUUUUACAAAUUCUGUGGAAAUUUAUUCUUCUUGUUCUUUUGAAUCGAGUAAAGAAUUAAAUUAUGAUACUGCUAACAUAUAACCUACAAUUGAUUCUAUGCAGGUACAUGCUGACAAUGGCCAAUCAAACUUUAAAGAUACAGAACAACCUGAAGAACCAAACGAAGAGCAAGUACCAGAGCUCAAAUUAAAGCCCUUACUGGAAGAAUUGAAGUAUGUCUAUCUUGGAGAACAACAGAUUUAUCCUGUGGUAAUUUUUUUCCCAACUCACGCUUGAUCAAGAAGGUAAGUUGUUGUCUGUACUAAAAAGGCAUAAAACUGCAUUUGGCUGGACUUUAAAAGACAUAAAAAACAAUAAUUCUUUAAUCUGCACACACCGAAUACACUUAGAGGAAAAUACCAAAACAACCCAUCAACAUCGACAUUAUAUGUGUAAACAUUAAAUACCAAAAUCAACCCCAAAAACUAUAAAUAAAAUAUCAUGAUUAAAAUGAAGUUUUUUUUUAGAUAUUCGUUGUAGUAUCUCUUUAGAUCGCAAACAAGAGAUAAAAUAAAUAAAUAUUUGCUAUGUAAAUAAAAAUAAAUAAUUUUUUUUAACUGAAAAAUAUUCUCAAAAACUAAAUAGUUCAAACUUUUUUUAACAUCAUGUGUUUCUAGGGUUGGGCAUUCAGUUCGGUUUUUACCGAACCGAACAACUAAAUUAAAUCGAAAUUACCUGUUCGGUUCAAUUGAAUAGACAAAAACCGAAGAGUUUAUAUUUUCAUGAACUGAAUGAUUUGUGUUUCAGUUGAGUUCGGUUCGAUUCUGGACCUGAACCGAACCGAACCGAUCCGUGAAUCGUAAACUGCCCACCCUUACGUAGUAGUUUCCGUUAACCGACGUUGUAUUGCUCGUAUAAAAUUGUUCAAAUGUUCAAAUCACAGUCUCCCGCUCUCAGCUCAGUCAGAGUUUCCAGGUCCAGAGACUUCCCGCUGACUGAGAACUUUUUCGUAGCAGGUCUACAAAUAAUGGAGUAGAGCUGAUUUUAUGAUUAAUUUAUUUCCUUUUUCAAUUUCUCUUGAUUGCGAUUUAAUCUGGAAAGUUAAACGUGAAUUGUUUAGUGCGGAUUAAAUGUUCGACGAAUUUCCCACAAGAGUAUUAAGUUCAAGAGAAAAAAAGAAAACAAUUGAGCGUGAGCGUGAGCGAGAAUGGUGUUUGGGCAAGUGGUGAUUGGUCCGCCCGGCUCGGGAAAGACCACUUACUGCAAUGGCAUGUCUCAGUUUCUCAGCCUUGUUGGCAGGUAACUUCGUUUCUUGAUUUCAAGCAGCUUUAUCUUCGAUGACCAAAAAUAUUGAUUUGGGCUUUGCCAUUAAAUGAAUGUAAGAGCAGUAGGGAAUAACUGAGUUAUAGGAUUAGCUUUAAGUGAACAUUGAUGGUAAUGUGAAGGUUGUAUGUGUUCAGUGGCAAGCUGUAUGCCAAUUUGGUCUAUAUGGUUGCUUAGGUAGUAACUUAUUAAUUUUUAGGCAGGAAGGUUGCAGUCAUCAAUUUAGUUCCUGCUAAUGAUAGUUUGCCGCAUCCUUUGUCAUUGAACUUUCUUACAAAUGCUGUGGUUUGUUGUAGUAUAAUUAGUUCAAUUGGAAAUUUCCUUGAUGUUAAUAUAGAAAUGAGUGUGCUGUGAAUAUUGAGGACCUCAUUAGACUAAGUGAUGUGAUGAUGGAGUAUUCACUUGGUCCCAAUGGAGGUUAGUCAGCCUAUUGUUGUUUACUCUUUCUUGCUUUAUCACGCAAUGAUAUUCCUUUGCUUUACAACAAAUUUCAUGAAAUUAACUUCAAUCAAGUGGCAAUGUUCAUACGCUGUUGAGAUUUUAUGGACAAUGAUUUGGUAGAAUUUAUAUGCCGUCUUCUUUCUUUUUGCAGUGAUAUGCUUGUAUUCAAUGAGCUUGUACUUAUUCUAUGGUUUCUAAAGUAGGUGUUUUUAUGAUAAACUAGGUCUUGUGUAUUGUAUGGACUAUCUAGAGAAGAAUAUUGACUGGCUGCAGUCGAAAUUGGAACUACUUUUGAAAGGUAAGUAGAGGCCAUUUUCCUUCAUUCUAAUGCCAAUAAUGCUGUCAUGAGACUCAUAAAAAUUGUUAAAACGUUAAUGUUUUUGGUAUUUUGCAGAUCGUUAUCUUCUGUUUGAUUUUCCUGGCCAAGUUGAAUUAUUUUUUCUUCAUUCCAAUGCCAAGACUGUUAUAAUGAGACUCAUAAAUAAGUUAAAUCUCAGGGUAUUGUUACAUCUUACAUCUAUGAAGGGACUCAAAGAGUUGAGAUGAAUUCAUCUUUGUUAUUUUGAUGCCAGAAUUGUGCAAUUCUCAGUUUGUUCCUUUCACAUGCAGUUGACUGCAGUGCAUCUAGUUGAUGUGCAUCUUUGCAGUGACCCCAGGAAGUAUGUUAGUGCUUUGCUUCUCUCAUUGUCUACGAUGCUACAUCUGGAACUUCCCCAUGUCAAUGUCUUGUCUAAUCGAUCUGAUUGAGAAUCAUGGAAAGCUAGGUGUGGUUUUAAGUGUAGCUCUCCUGCUUGUUUGUUUAGUUUGAAAUAUCAGAUAUUGUCACAAGAUCCUAUUUGCUACAUUUCCUCACCAAUCAAUUAUUUUGGGUCUGUUGCAGCUUUUAAUCUCGAGUACUAUACAGAUGUGCAAGAUUUGUCAUAUUUACAGCAUGCUCUCGGUCAGGACCCUCGUUCUGCUAAGUACAGGUUUGAAUUCUAGCUGAAUCAAUGAUGCAAAUUAUGUCCAUUGUUAUUUCUGCUGUUGUUUCUAUCAUUUUCAAUUGUUACUUCCCCUUUCCAUCUACUACCACACUACAAUACCCACACAAAUGUUGUGAAAUUUGUCAAUGGAAAAAAAACAGUUCCUCUUUUAUUUUGAUCAGACUCAAUGAAUAAGUGGUUAAAAUGUGCCUGUCCUAGAAAUAUAGAUGUGUGGUUUCGUAAAAUUUUCUUGAUCUUAAGAAAGAGUUAUCUCGAAAAGAAGAUAACAUGGAGAAUUCAACAACUAUACAGUCAUAUUGAUGUCUGUCAACUUGGGUCAUAUGGUGUCGUUUGGAUGGAGAUGUUAGGUCCCAGAUGGUAAACUUGUUAUCGAAUUCCAGUCUACUUCAUUCAUGCUUUGAUGACAUAUACGGUGCAGCUUCUUAUCUAAGACCUGCAUAUGUUCAAUCAUCAUUCUGUUCUGUAUUUGGCUGCCAUUCUUUUCAAUGAAUUCAAACCACUUCUGAAUACUUGCAAAUUCAUCCAGUGUUGUCAUUGAGAUGCCAAUAUGAAAGGAAGCCAUAAUUGCCCUUGAUAGUAUGCUUAUUGAUUGCCUCUUGCCUCACUCAGCCUCAUGAAUCUGCUUGUAUGGUGUUCUUGUAAUUUCAUUUGGAGAUUAGUAAUAUCUGUUGUUCAAAUGUAUUUUAUAUACCAGCAGUUAAUAAUUCUGCUUGCAGAAAGCUUACAAAGGAGCUGUGUGAUGUAAUUUUUCAACCUUAGAUAUCCAGGUCAUCAGUUUCUCUUGAAUUCUUUCUUGAAUUUCUUUGAAUUAUUUGUGAAUAAGAUCUUAGUUGGCUGCUUCUCUUCAGGAUAAGGAAAGUGUGGCAAAACUCGUGAAGCUGAUAUAUAAAAGCAAUGGGUACAUCUUUGCUGGCAUGGAUGCCAGUGCAGUUGAAUUCAGCAAGAUUGCCGUUCGCGAUGUUGAUUGGGAUUAUUUCGGAUAUCCUUCUUUUCACCUAUUUUCAAUGUUGUUAUUCUCAUAUUCAUAAAAUUUUUUGGUUAUUUAAUUAUGGUUCAUCAUAUGCAUCUGCAUCUUCUAACUUGUUCGUUUGAGAAACUAAUUUUGCCGUUAGGUAGGCUUCGAGCUUGAUGAGUUGAUUCAUGCUUUUUUCAUAAAUGUACCAAAAUCAUGGAAACUUCUUUUUCCCAGAUAUUGUAUCCACACUUUUUCCAUGUAAUUGGGUCAGACAAGUUUUGCUUAACAAAGAUAUCUACAGUAGCCGAAGUGCAGGAGAAGUACAUUAAGGAUGAUGAUGAUGUUAACUAAAAUGAGACGUGAAGAUAUGUGGUGUGCGAACCGUAAGCCUGCCUCUUAAUUUUGUGCAUGUUUACUUGCUUGUGAUUCACGUUUGUUAAUCUAUUUUGCUCUCUUGCAGGAGUUAUAAAGUUUUCAAUCAAUCAAACAUUUAACUUAAGUCCUUACCUCUUGCUGCAAAGACAAUGGGAAGUCUCAUGAGCUCUAAAAAAACUGAAGAAGAGUGGAAAAUAAUUUUAAAUAGUGAUUUAUGGAAGGUAAAAGAGAUCGAGAAAGGUGUUCUAACCCCUUUGUGGUUGAGUUAUAAUGAUUUGCCGUCCAGAGGAAAAAGAUGUUUCUCGUAUUGUGCUGUCUUUCCAAAAGACUACAAUAUAAAAAAAGACAAAUUAAUUACUUUGUGGAUGGCUCAAGGUUAUCUUAGUGCAGAAGCAGCAGAACAAGAUGAGGAGUUGGAGACUAUAGGUGAAGAGUAUUUUGGCAUCUUAGCUUCUCGCUCUUUCUUUCAAGAGUUUCAGAAACGUUAUGAUAAUCGUAUUAUAGCGUGCAAGAUGCAUGAUAUGGUACAUGAUUUUGCCCAAUUUGUUAGUCAAAAUGAAUGUUUUUCGUUGGAAGUUAAUGGUAGUGAGGAACUAACCGUCACAAACUCUACAAACUCUCUUGAUGAGAAGGUCCGUCAUUUAAUGUUAAUCUUUAGUAAAGGGACUUCAUUACCUGUUUCCACUCGUAGAGUUAAAAGAAUGCGUACCCUCUUAAUUAACGAUAGUAGAUCUGAUCAUUCAUUAUUAAAUGGUGAGAUCCUAGAAGAAUUAUUUAGGGAAUUGACAAGUUUAAGGGCAUUAGAUUUUGGCAAAUCGUAUAACUCAAGUUGGUCUUCGACUGUGGAGAUUCCGAGAACCAUAGAAAAGCUGGUACAUUUAAGAUACCUUAAUUUGUUUUAUCAGGGAAUAAAGAAACUACCGGAGACAUUAUGCGAGUUGUAUAAUCUAGAAAAGUUAGAUAUUAGUUUAUGUUUUAAUCUUAAAGAAUUACCUGAAGGGAUUGGGAAGUUAAUAAACAUGAAGCAUUUACGAAAUAGAGGUACUAGUUCUUUAAGGUACAUGCCAGUAGGGAUUGGGAGAUUAACGGGUCUCAGGACCUUGGAUGAGUUCCACGUGAGUGGAGGAAAGCGUGUAGGCUUGAAUCUCUUAAAAAAUUGGAACACCUUCAAGUAUGUGGUAUACGUAGACUGGGUGAUGUAUCAGAUGUGGGCGAGGCUAAGCGAUUAGAACUUGACAAAAAGAAAUACCUCUUCAGUUUGACCCUUGAGUUUGAUAAGAAGGAGGAAGAAGAAGGAGAAAGGAGGAAGAACGAGGACGAUCAAGUUCUUCUUGAAGCCCUACAACCACCUCUCAAUUUAAAGGAAUUAGAGAUAGAGUACUACCGAGGCAACACUGUUUUCCCCAGCUGGAUGACGUCAUUAACCAACUUAAAGAGUUUAGAUCUCUCUUCCUGCGAAAAUUGGGAGCAGCUGCCUCCUUUGGGAAAAUUGCCAUCCCUUGAAGCACUCAGCCUAUGGGACAUGAAGUGUGUGGAAAGAGUGGGUGAUGAAUUUUUGGGGAUAGAAAGUGAUCAUCAUGGCUCAUCUUCAUCGGUUAUUAUUGCCUUCCCCAAAUUGAAAUCACUUUCAAUUGAGGUUCUGCGCGAAUUGGAGGAGUGGGAUUAUGGGAUUACAAGAACGGGAAACACCGUCAUCAACAUCAUGCCACGUCUUUCUUCCUUGACAAUUGCACUUUGCCCCAAAUUAAAGGCACUGCCCGACCACUUUCAUCAAACGACAACAUUGAAGGAAUUGCACAUUUGGGAUUGCAGGCUUCUGGAAGAACGUUAUUGCAAGGGGGAAGGAGAAGACUGGCCUAAGAUAUCACACAUUCCCAACCUCCAUAUUGGGCUUUGACAAGUAAUUUCUUCUCUUACUCUGAUUUGCUUUGUUGUUGUUUUUAAUCUAAUUAAGAAGCGUAAAUAGCAUUUUGAAUCAAACUCUAUAUCAGAAAUCUGCAAUACUUACUUUCUAAUAUUCUGAUUUUCAUAUCCUAUGAAUAUACGAUUUUUAAUUUGUGAGAUGGGUAACGUUACUGUAAAAGAUUAUUAAUGCAAUAUGAGUAAUUCUUUUGCAGGACAAGUGACCUACAUUUAGUUUGGCUUUGGAGUUGAAUAAUAACCUUUCGAGGUCCCGACAACCAAAAAACGAAGCUUAAUUUGCCACAGAUUGCACGUAUUGCCAUUAUUGACAAUUUUCUGCACAAGCUUAGGUUGAUGUCAAAAGAGGUAAAUUAUUGGCAUGCCUGACUAUUUUGACCAUUACACGAUUCAUAAGUUUACAUUAAUUUUGAUUUUGAGUUGAGUGAUUAGUUUUCUAGGUUUGCUUACUUUAACUGGGUGACCAAUUUCUUGUAACUAAAUGUAUGAUGUGAAGCAGAACUCAAACAAAAGUAUGCUACUUCUUGCGGAAAUCUUGCCUUUGUUCAGAUUAUGAAACCAUUUCCAUGCAGCAAAUUCAUCCAAAAGUUUGAAUAAGUUUCACGGUUGGACACUGUUGGUUUCUUUUUCUUCUGGGGUGCAUUUAGGUGCUAUCAAGUGACAGCUGUAAGUAUGAUUGCACUAAGCUGCCGCUGGGAAAUUUGAGGUUUUGAUGGCUGCCCAUGUUAUUUUCAAGAAACUAUUGAUGUAAGAAGCUGUGGUUCUUUUCAUCAGCUUGAACCUGAAACUGUCGCUAUGGAUAACUCAGGUUUUUGUUAUCAACUAUAUCAUCUUUUUCACUAUUUUGAAACUCUUAAGAUUAAACUUUAGUAAAGUUGUUUCAGCUUUUCAAAUGAAAAACUCAUUGAUUUGAGACUUCCUUCAUUAUUGUUUCUAAUUACAAUGCUAACGAUCCAGAUAAGAUAAUAUUUAAUCGGCGAAGGUGUCCCUUGGAAGUACAUCCUUCUUUUUCUUUUAUUAUACAAAUUCUUGCAAUGAGCUUAGUGAAGCUGUUGUGCUAAUCAUGCCACUGCAUAAUUUGGCCCCUAAUGUGGGUACUCUGUUACAUUGUUCUGCAAAUUCUCCAGAAGUUAAAAUCAAUAAAUUUUCUAUUAGCUCUAGUGCUUUGACCUAAAUGCUAUUCUAUAUUCUGAUUACAAUGUUUUACCUUUAAAUUAACUACCCCUAGAUGUUGGAUUUUCUAGAACUUCAAAAUGAUUAAUGGAGAAAGAUCCCAUUAUCGUUAUUGCUAUAAAAAAUUGAUUUAUGCAUCCAAAGAUACAUUAUAUAUUUCUGUGUCUCUAUUUAUAGAUGACAUUUAAGCAUCCAUAAACCGUCAGACAGAGGAAGGGGGUUCAGUGCAAAGAUUCUGUUGACCUAGGGUUGACUGCAUAAUGUCACUUGUUCGCAAUCUAUUAUUCUUUUCAAGGUCUGCUUCCUUAACGGAGCGACCAAUGUUUUUCAACUAAAUUUAUCAUAUGAUGCAGGAAGCAGGGCAGGAUAUGAAAUGUGAAGCUCAUUGGUGGAAGUAUUGCCAGUAACAGAACCCAAAGAAAAUGAAACUAUUUCAAGGCAGCAGUUGGCAGUUGCAAGUGAAUGGAGGCCCUUGACAAAAUUCUCAAGCGGUUGCAAUGCAAUUACGAUCAUCCUCAGCCUCAGGUAAUUUCUUCUCCUGCUUUGUAUUUAUUUGUUAUCUAAUUAGGAACCGUAAAGUAUCUUGAAUCAUUUUCUGUAUCUGGAAUAUAUGCAAGAGUUUCUAAAAUUUUGAUAUGAGUGUAAUGAUGGUAAUUUCUGUUUUCUGUCUGUCAUCAAAUGUUAGAAAACUUUCAUUGAGACCCUUGAACCGAGUCAUUUUUGACAAGUGAAGUGCUGAAGAGUGAAGAGUAAGAAUGGUGCUAGAUUGGGGAAUAAAGCAAAAGGAGGUAAAUUAUUGGCAGCUUCUUCAACCUUAUUUUCUUUGGACCAGUGCCUAAUUCACAAGUCUCCAUAAUUCGGCUUUUGACCAGUUGAUAGAUAAAAUUUUAAUUUCAUUGGUGCUAAUGUACCCGUGAGGCAGGCAGAGAAGGACUGUGGAAAAGAGAAGGUUUUUAGUGAAAGCUUAAACUCAGGUAAUUCUAAAAAUUAUAUGUUUUGGCUGAUUUAUCUAAAUCAGGAAAUUUUAUUUCCAUCUGUUACAAUAAAACAGAAACAGAACACAAAGAAAAAUAUUCUACUUCUUGUGGCAAUCUUGCCUUCAUUCAGACUAUGAAACCAUUUCCUUUCACCAAUUUCUUCCAAAAGUUUGAACACAUUUCAUGGUUGGACAUAGUUAGCUUCUUUUUCUUUUGGUGCAUUUAGGUGCUAUCAAGUGACAGCCGUAAGUAUGAUUGCAUUAUUGGGAAAUUUUAGGUUUUGAUGGCUCCCCAUGUUAUUGCCAAGAAAUUUUAAGUCCUCGUGUCAGAAGCUGCGUUUCUUUUCAUCAGCCUGAACCCGAACCUGUCACUAUGGAUAACUGAGGUUUUUGUCAUCAACUAUAUCAUCUUUUUCACUGUUUUGAAACUCUUAAGAUUAAACUUCAGUAAAGUUGUUUCAGUUAUCCAUGUAAUCAGGCUAAGGAUAUUUAGCAGCUUAUUUAGGCAACUGCCAGAAUUCAGUUUGUUCGCUCGAAACUUGUAUGGUGACAAGGAUACUGGCAAGGAUAGUGAGAUAGUUUUUUGUGUGAGUGAAUUUUGAAAGCUUGGGUGUUCUGGGAUUUGCAAUUGCAAUCAUCCUCUGCUUUAGGUGAUUUCUUCUCCUGUUCUGUCUUUAUUUUCUCUCUAAUUGAAAGCAUUUCAAUCAAAUUCUGUACCAGGAAUACGAAAAAUUUACCAAUAUUUUAUUUCCAUCUGUUUGCAUUGAUAACUUGGCCGCAUAUGUACUAGUUAAAGAACAAACAGAAGCAGAGUUCAGGAAAAAGUUUCUUCGGCCACCAUAUUUGAAAAUGAAACCAUUUCCAGGAAGCAGUUGGCAGCAAAUUCAUACAAAGUAUAGACAAUGAUGAACAAAAAGGUGAUUCGCAAUUUCAUUUUUUUAAAAUGAAAUUAUUUGUUAAGUUGGAGCUGAUAUUGUUAGAAGGCCAUUGAGCUAACCUCUGACACUGCUUGCCUAGAUUGCAGGAGGUCAAGACUCAAAAGAUGCACUGAAUUUUAAAAGGCAUGCAAUAAUUCUUAUGGCCAUUUGUCAAUGGUGGAAUGCUUUUAGCUUCUUUUCCUUUUGUGCAUUUUGGGGUUCUAUCAAGCGACAGCCGUAUGUAUGGAUGGAUAUAGCUGCUGCGUUGAUUUCUAAUGCAUUGUAUGAUGUUAUAGCAACUAUCCAUCUGGUCAAUGUUUCAAAAGAAUAAGACAGGGAAAAAGAGAAAGCAAGUGGCCAAUCAAGUUGCAUCAACCAAAUUGUUGUUAAACAAGUAAAACAAAGAAAGAGAGUUAAGGAAGCUGACCUUGUAGUAGGGGAGCUGAAGAAAGGCUGCCAGUGAAUGUAAGAGAAAAUAAAAUGCAAGAAAUGGUGAAGUGCAGCUUUUCAUGUCAACUUGAAAUUGAUUUUUCUGUUUGUUUUUUUUUUUUUGUAAUCUUUUGGAUUUUUCAAACAAAGAAAAUGAGGAGCAACCAGGGAGAUAAAAAGGGCGCCAAGGCAACUGUGUGUUGGGUUUAGAGCCAAAAAUAAAUAAAUAAAUAAAUAAGACAUCGUGUUCUUGUGGAGACCAGACCUAUUACGUAACGUCCCCUUCAAUACCACUUGUUCCGUAUCUGGUUUUCUCUUCGUCGUUUACAUAUUUAUCCUGUGAUUUUACAAUAACUAAAUAAUCCCCGCAUAGUUUGCAAUUUUAUUCAUUUGGGCCCUACAGAUUUCAGUAAUAGGAAUUAUUAAGGGACAAGAGCGCAAAACAGAAACUCUGUCCACUACUGAUGAUAUAAUAACGAACCUUUGUUUUUUUUUUUUAAAAAAAAAAAGAGUAACAAAAUAUCAUUAGACAAAUGAAAAUAUUAUCUAACAUCACCUAUUCACCUUACUGAUGAUAUGAAAAUAUGUAUGUAUGUAUGUAUGUAUGUACAUAUAUACAUACACCUAUGUAACAUUUACUUAUACAUUCUUUUGAGUUUAAAUCUUAAUACAACUACAUACAACCACAUCAAUGUAUAUAUUUUUUACAUAAGACAUGCCGUCCUAUUAUUCAUAAGUAAACAAUGUGCCGUAAAUAGUAUUCUGUGUUUUCUCAAAGUUGACUUUUCGUCUUUUAUUUUCAGACGCAGACGCUAUGUCAUUUUGUAAUCGUCCGAACAUAUACAGAGCAGAAUUGGUGUUAUCUGAUUUUGUGAUGCAAUAAGAUUUGCACUUCCUGUGCAUUCAAUGGAAUCAUGCCACGCUAGUAGACAAUAUGCUAGUUUGAACAAACUUGUUUGAAUGGCAAAAACGACAUGACCUGCUGUAGUAUUAAUUCUUUCCCGAACCAACGGGUGAUUUGCUACGUUGGAUCAUGAAAAUUAACCAAAAUAAAAAUUCUUAAGGAAUUAGUUAGUUAAUUGAUUGAUCGAAUUUAAUCUAAAUUUGAAAAUGAUAAGAUAAAUUUAAAUUUAUUAUUAUUAUUAUUAUUAUUAUUUUAAAGUGGGUGGGUUUAUACAAUUUGAGCGGUGGAAAUAUCACUGCUGAAUUAUUAAAUAUACAGUGUAAAAUUUUGACCUUUAAAAUAUUCCCUUUUUUUUUUUAUUUAGCACUAUAAGUUUAAAAAUUUAACAUUUUACCUCAAUAAUUAAAUACUUUUAACUUUAAUCUUCAAAUAUUUACCCUACAACAUUUGGACCUAAAUUUUUAAUCCGACUCGGCCCCUGACCCAAGUGGGAAGAAGAUCAGGCUUAUAAGUUAUAACUAUCACCAACAUAACAUCUUCUGGAAAAUAAUAAGAUUACUCACCUGCAAUUAUGUGAUCAAACUAAUGGUAAGCAAAAUAGAACAGCGUUAUUUCAGUCCCCUUUCAGUUUCUUUAUCAUUUUUCUUUUCCUAUUUAUAAGCUUAAUUCGGUUCAAAAUCGGCUAAUUCACUUUGAUUUCACUUUUCUUUCUUUCGGUUCAAAAAAAUUGAACCCAUUGGCUGUCAAUUCAAUUUUGUUGAAAACCAACUUUGCCUGAAUUUAAGUAAUAAUAGAGGAAAAAAAAAGAGUACUUAGCAGAAGAGAUUUCUCAUUUUUUUCUCAUUCAAACUUCUAAAAUAAAAGAAAAAAAAACAAGAGUAAUUGUUAAUUAUCAAAAUUUUGUUUAUACUAUUCCACCAAGAAAAUUAUACAAAAAAAAAAAUUUUAAAAAUUGGAGAAGAAAUAUGAGGUGAAAUACGUGGAUGGCUUAGACUAAUAAUGUGAACAAAUUCCUCUUGGAAGCAUGUCAUUGUUCAUCCGGACAACACGCGGCGAUGAGAUUCGAGAAUAAAAGGAUAGGAAUCAACUGUAACCUCAUAAACAAAUGGCCUUGGAGUUGUAACCAAAGCUUUUAAUUAUUGAUCAUUAAGAUCGAUAUAAAGUAUCACGAAAUGAUGUGUACGACGACAAUAUCAAUAGCGUAGUGUGAAGACCUGGCUGUAAACACAAGGCUCGGCAGAUUAAUUAAACAAGAGUAUCCGAAUUUUCUAUGAUAAUCUCUAGGAAACGAUCAGCUAUAAUGUACGAAAUUAAAAUAUUGCAUAUAUUUUUGAAUUUUUGAACUCAUGCAUUAAUUUAAAAAAUUAUAUCGUAUUAUAAUUUAUUCACAAAAGAAAGAAAAAUUCACUAAUCAAGUGAAAUCGUAUUCUUAUUGAAAUGAAUUCCAGUAAUUGGAUAAAUAUAAGUAUUUCUUCCGUUGUAAUUUUUGUUUAACAGAAAAUCUAUUUGAGAUUUUGUGAGAAGAAACUCAACAAUAAAGUUUGAUAGACUUUGUGGAUAUUAAGAGUUUGACAAGUAAUUGAAAUCUGAAGUUUACUGAAAUUUACGAGCAAACAAACUGAAAUCCGAAGUUUACUGAAGUUUACUAUCAAGAGUUUCAAAACAGUGAAAAAGAUGAUAUAGUUGAUGACAAAAACCUGAGUUAUCCAUAGCGACAAGUAACAUACUGAAGUAAGCCGUUGGGAGCUGGCCUGUUCAUGGGCUAUUUUUCUCUGAUGAUCUGCAUUUUUCUUCCUUUUAAAGUGAACCUUGACUCGUAUCAAACCUGUCAAAAGAACAGUUCAUCAACUGAGCUGAGAUUUGCUUUCCUUUUUCAAAACCCACCUGAGAUAUUGUAAUUCCCAAAUUUCUCUCUCUCAGCUACACGAGCAAGCAGCCGCUUUUUCACUUCAUCGAAGAAGGUAAGCGAUUUAUCUAUUUCGUCCGAUUGAUUUCUUGUUUCGUUUUCAGUGUUCGGGUAAAUUAUUGGCAUGCCUGACUUUUUGACCAUUACAUGAUUCAUAAAUUUCUAUUAAUUUUGAUUUUGAGUUGACUGGUUACUUUUAUAGGUUUGUUUACUUUGACUAGGUGACCAAUUUCUUGUAACUAAAUUUAUGACGUGAUGCAGGAAGCUCGGCAGGAUAUGAAAUGAGAAUCUUAUUAGUGGAAGGAUUGCCAGUAACAGAACCCAAAGAAAAUGAAACCAUUUCAAGGCAGCAGUUGGCAGUUGGGAGUGGAUGGAGGCCCCUGACAAAACUUCAGUAAACUUCAGAUUUCAGUUUGUUUGCUCGAAACUUGCAUGGUGACAAGGAUACUGGCAAGGAUAAUGAGAUAGUUUUUGUGUGAAUGAAAUUACGAUCAUCCUCAGCCUUAGUUGUUAUUUGUUACCUAAUUAAGAAGCAUAAAGUAUCCUGAAUCAUUUUCGUUGUCUGGAACAUAUGAGUGUAAUGAUUGUAAUUUCUGUUUUCUGUCUGUCAUCGAAUGUAAGACAACUUUAUUAAGAUUCUUGAACCGAGUCAUUUUUGACAAUUGAAGGACAAGUGCUGAAGAGUGGGAAUGCAAAAAGUUUUGUUGUUUCUAGCCUUGUUUUCUUUGAACCAGCGCCUGAUGAUAUAACAGAAACAAGGCUAGAAACAACAAAAACUCUGUCCACUACUGAUGAUAUAACAACGAACCUUUGUUUUUUUCUUUUUUCUUUUUUUUUUUAAAAAAAGUAACAAAAUAUCAUUAGAGAAAUGAAAAUAUUAUCUAACAUCACCCUACUGAUGAUAUGAAAAUAUGUAUGUAUGUAUGUAUGUAUAUACGUAUGUAUGUACAUAUAUACAUACACCUAUGUAACAUUUAAUUAUACAUUCUUUUGAGUUUAAAUCUUAAUACACAUUUUCAUGAAAUUUUUAUUUUAUUAAGUAUACAACUACAUACAACUACAUUAAUGUAUAUAUUUUUUACAUAAGACAUGCCGUCCUAUUAUUCAUAAGUCAACAAUGUGUUGUAAAUAGUGUUCGUGUCUCAAAGUUGACUUUUCGUCUUUUAUUUUCAGACGCAGACGAUAUGUCAUUUUAUACACAGCAGAAUUGGUGUUAUCUGAUUUUGUGAUGCAAUAAGAUUUGCACUUCCUGUGCACUCAAUGGAAUCAUUUCUUUGUAACUAAUUGGGUGCUGGAAUGGUGGUCAAAUCUCGAACGAAGACAGAUCUAUCAAACUCCAGAAUUGGUGUUAUCUGAUUAAUUGAUUGAUCGAAUUUUAUCUAAAUUUGAAAAUGAUAAGAUAAUUUUGAAUUUAUUAUUAUAAUUAUUAUUUUAAAGUGGGGUGGGUUUAUACAAUUUGAGCGGUGGAAAUAUCACUACUGAAUUAUUAAAUAUACAGUGUAAAAUUUUGACCUUUAAAAUAUUCCCUUUUUUUUUUAUUUAGCAUCUAUAAAUUUAAAAAUUUAACAUUGUACCUCAAUAAUUAAAUACAUUUAACUUUAAUCUUCAAAUAGUUACCCUACAACAUUUGGACCUAAAUUUUUAAUCCGAUUCGGCCCCUGAUCCAAGUGGGAAGAAGAUCAGGCUUAUAACUAUCACCAACGUAACAUCUUCUGGAAAAUAAUAAGAUUAUUCACCUGCAAUUAUGUGAUCAAACUAACGGUAACCAAAAUAGAACAGCGUUAUUUGAGUCCCCUUUCAGUUUCUUUAUCAUUUUUCUUUUCCUAUUUAUAAGCUUAAUUCGGUUCAAAAUUGGCUAAUUCACUUUAAUAAGUUUAUUGGUUUGAACGCUGUUAGCUUCUUUUCCUUUCGUGCAUUUUGGUAUGCAACAGUUCUUGCCUAUGACACUGCUUGCCUAGAUUGCAGAAGGUCAAGGCUCAAAAGAAGCACUGAAUUUUAAAAGGCAUGCAACAGUUCUUGUGCCAUAUGUCAAUUCAUGCAAGUUUGAAUAAGUUUUUUGGUAUGCUAUCAAGUGACAGCCGUAUGUAUGGUUUGCAUAUAGCUGCUGCUGGGAAAUGUGAGGAUUUCAUGGCUGGCCGUGUUAUUGUCUUAAAUUAGAUGUGAUAAGCUGUUGCUUGGUGAUUCUGUUGCCAAGAAUUUGCUCACAUCAGAAGCUGUGGAACCUGAACCCUUCUCUAGAUAUCAUCUUUUUCAUUGUUUUAAAACUCUCAGGAUUAAACUUGAGUAAUUUUGUUCGGUUGUCUAUAUAAUCAUGUAUUGAGUAAACUCUCAGGAUACUGAGCAGGCAAAUGCCAUAACUCGGUUUGUUCUUCAAAAACUUGUUUAAGAUUCUUGACAAAGCUGCAUGAAGUGAAUCUUGGGAGCUUUGAGGGUGAGAGAAAUUAGAGGGUGUAUAGGGAUUUGGGCUUAUUAGGAAGUUAUAUAUGUAUUUCGUCACUUAUCAUUAUCAUUUUUUUUUUCACAGAAAACCUUCUGAUGGUGCUAAAUUUUCAAACACCGGUCCGAUUCAAAACUUCAUAUUCCAAUUAUAUUCAUAAGACAAAUGGAACACUUUGAACGGCUUGUGUCCGAGCAUUGUAGUUUGAUUUAUUUUGAUGACAGUACCUUUUGACAUUGAGAUUCUUUCAUGAUUUAAACAUUCUUUUAAAAACUAAAUUAUUAAAAAAAAAGUAACUAACAUAUAUUAUUUUAUUAGUGCUUUUUAAAUCAAAUAUACAUAGGAGAACUGUAAUUCUUAGCAAUCAAUUUUCCACUAAAUACACCUGCAACAAACUAUUAAUAGCAAAGUGAUAGAAAAUACCUGAUUUUUCAUACUUUCUAAUUUCUUUUGGUCCUAAAAUAUGGGCAUUUGUGUAAUAAUUAGCCCAUGUGGAUCUCUAUGCCAUGAGUUUGAUAAGUAGCUAUCAAGGAUCACUUAUUAAGCUAAAAAUAUUUGGAGGACAAAAUUGUAAAACUAAAAGGGUGGAGCAAAUAUGGCUAUCUAGGAUUAAAUAGUAAGUCAACUAUAUUUAAAGGAUAAAAUAUUAAAACUUGAAAUGUGAUAUUAAAAAUAUCUCAACUAUUAUGUUAUUAAACCAUAUGUUGUAAUAGUUUAUUUUUUAAGCUUCAAAAUGUUCAGGAUUUUAGAUUGAAACAUUUUCAUUUGAAAUUAUUUGGUGCAGUCACAAGUUAAGAAAGAAAAAGUUGUCCCAUUGGUCAUUUCACAAAAAUGAAAGCCCUGUAUAACAUGGGCUUGAAUGGAAGCCCAAUUGUUUGUGUUUGAUUAAUUGAUUUCAAGCUUUAUCGAACCUUUGUACCUGGAUACUUUACUGCGGCCUCUAAGCGCUAUAAAUUUUUUUGGGGAUAAACGGCGCUUCAAUGAGGUCAUCUCCGAUGCUUAACACCAUUUUGGUGUAAUACCAACAUUAAAAAUAUACAUUUUUCACACUAAAUUACUAUUUCAUCUCCAACCCAUUUACACCAAAAAAAAUAUUUUUCUUUUUAUUCUUUUAAUUCUCAAGAAUUAAUUCAAUUAACACAAUAAAUACUACUAUUAACAUAGAUAAUUAAGUAAUAAGUAAUUUUAUCGAUUAACAAAAAAAUAUAGAAAAUUAUUAAAUUUGCAUUUAAUUAACUAAAUUAGUACAUUAUGAAAAUUAAACAUUACAUUAAUAUAGAAAAAUACAAUAACAAUAAUAAUAAUUUUAUAUCUAAUAUUUUGAUGAUAUUGGAGGAUCUAAUAAUGAUCUUCCAGAUUAUUAAAUAAUUGUUCUAAUUUAUACUAGUAGUAGUAGCUUUUUUAAUUUGUGUUAAUUUAAUUUUGUAAUAUGUAAUAUAGUAAUUAAUGUUACUAGCAUUUUAUUAUUAUUAUUAAUUUUUGUGUUGAAUAUUUUUUAUUUAAAAUAUUAGUAUAAUAUUCAAAAAUUAAAAAAUGAAAUAAAAAUAAUAACAAAAAUAAUAAUAAUAAUAACUUAAAAUAUUAUAUAAAAUAGGACAUAUAUGUAAAUAAGAAAAAGUAAUAAAGAUAUUUAAGAGCUUUUUUUCCUAGCACCAAAUGAAUAGUGUUACACCAUAUUUGGUGCAAUACUAUUCACAACACCAUUUUGUUGUUGGUUUUGGUGUUACAUUGGAGAAGCAUUUUACACCAAAAAUAGUGUAAAAGGUGGUUUGGUGUUAGUUUUGGUGUCACAUUGGAGAUGGCCUGGAAAAGCACUUGAAAACUUUGGAUUUUUGGUUCGUCCAGUUACGGUGUUAUGCUAACGGGGUUAAAGGUUCCGAUCCAAUGAGUUAGGAUCCGAAGGUUACUGAAGUUUACUAUCAAGAGUUUCAAAACAGUGAAAAAGAUGAUAUAGUUGAUGACAAAAACCUGAGUUAUCCAUAGCGACAAGUAACAUACUGUUUAUUACAGAGAAACAAACGACAACAUGAUACUAGUAGUAGUUAUUCUUUUCAUCCGAUAUAUUACAUGGUAAUAUCACUACUCGUUCCACUAGUUUCAUGUACACUGUCGACCAGCAACAUGAUAAUUUCGUGCCAGUUCAUUUUGGUUUGUUGGAAAAAGCAGUGUAUUUCUUAGAACUUGAAAAUAAUAAAAAUAUUUUAAAAUAUAAAUUGCAUAUUUGUUUAUUACCAUUCUUUGGUCUAUUUCUUCUGUAGACUUUUCAGAAUCUGUAGGACGUUAGUUUAUAACUUUGGGAUUUUGUAGCCCUAAUUUUUUUUUUUGGCAUUUUAUUUUGCUGCUUUAUCUAUGUGCAUGUUAACUAAAUUAAGCUAAUCUAGAAUUAAUAGAGAGGGAUAUUUAUCUAUUUUGUUUAACCUUUACCACUCUAGGCAUUGUACUACAUGUGAGCUUGUGAUGCUUGCAUUUUAUUGAUGUUGAUGAUUCGUUGAAUGUUUUAUUUUUUGAUUUUUUAAGUUUUCCAGAGUCAUGUUUGUGUCUACGAAGAAAUUGUAAAGGCUGUGCACGAAGCACUUGUCAUUCUUUAGACUUUAUUGAUUAUAUUUUUGUCAGAUUUGCGUGUAUAUUCACAUAUGUUUUAUUUUUUCAUUUUGUAGGACAUUUUUACAUGCCAUAUUAUCACGACUCUUCUGUGUCUGAAUAAGAAGAAAGCAUAAUGCGACCCUCCAACAGCUUAAUCUAUGGAAUUAUCGUGUUUUGUAAGUUCUGGUCCAAUGGCGUUUUGGCACAUCAUAUGAUAGACCACUAUAUUGCGUUGCUUUACAAAAGAUUAAUAUUUUUAAAAUUAUUAACUCAUGAUAUGAUAGUCCAGGUUUUCGAGGACCACUAUAUUGUAUGGAUUUAAAAAAAAUUAAUAUUUUUUAAUAUUAAUAUUCUAAAUUAUAUUCAGUUAAAAUAUUAAAUAUUAAAUACAUUCUUAACAUUAAUAUUCUUAGAUGAAAUUCUUUUGCUGACUUAAGAAUAAAGUAUUAAAUAAUUUUAUUUUUCUUUUAUUUUGUAACGUGGACCCAAAAAAAAAAGGAAAUGAAUUUAAUAAAACCUUCAUUCCGCCAACAUGCAUGUUAAUUGUUUCCAAAUUCCAACCUCCGUACUCUCUUGAGGAGUUUCCCAUUCAUCAAUUAUUAUUUUUUAUAAUCCAUACCAUCCUGAUAUAAUUAAACACCAUUAAUAAUGUACCAGCCUUUAAAUAGUAAUUAAUUUAUUUAUCUAAUUCACCAAAUGUUUUUUUCCGGUACAUAUCUCCAUUGGUAUCAAGAAGAAGCAGAACCCAAAGAAAUGUUUCUUGCAUCUUCAUAUUUGUGCGAAUUCAUCCUUUCAUUGAGAAUAACCAUUUCCAGGCAGCAGUUGGCAAUCAAUUCAUGCGCAUGUCGAUGCUACUCAUAGAUAUUAAAGACAAUGAUGAACCAAAGGUAAUAAAUCAUAAAUGCAUAAUUACCAAACCUCCAUCCUUCUCUCAUUAUGACUUGAUUUUAAAUGAAUUAUUGCUUGGUAACAUUAUUUCCAACCAUUGCAAGAUUUUUUUUUGGAGAAAUUUCAAUUGAAAGUAAAACCUUUAGACAUUUACCUAAUGAAGUUAGUUAAUCGGGAGGGUGGAAAAAAAAAAGUUGACGCAAGUCAAUACACAAUAAUUAAUUAAAUCCGGAGUCACUAAAACAGAGCCACGACUUUUUCAAAAAUAUCUGCAUUCAUCACUUUCUCCAGCAACUAGUCAGCUACACACGAAUCAAUUUCUCUCCUCGUUUGUCAUCCAAAAUUAUUCACCAAUACCAUGGCUGAUGCAAUCGUUUCCCCGCUCUUGGAGCAGCUGAUUUCCUUCGCUGCUGAAGAGAUAAAACAACAGGUGAUCGAAGUUACACCCCUCAUAUUACAAAUACUUCCAAUGAUUUUAAUUGGUUUUGUUUUUAUCAAAAACAUUAUAUAUUUUUGCUUUUUUUUAUUUAUCUGAUAAUUUUAUAUUUUGAAAUUUGAAUUGAAUUUAAUUAAAAGGUGAUGUAGUAACCACUUAUUUUUAUUUUAUUUCAUUUAUAUUCUCAAUAACUACUCAUAUUUUGGUAACUUACUAUAACUUCCAUAUCUAAGAAAUGAUCCAAACCCACAAUUUUAACUAUGUAUAAAUAUUCAACGUUGAGCUAAGGUUUUGCAGAACAUUCAAGUUUAUCAAAUAGUCAUUAAUUUAAUGUUUUAGUAAAACCUCAACUCAUCACUGAAUCCCAUAGCUAUUACUUAGACACUAUGAAAAAUUUCAUAGUUUUCUUACAUUCUUUCAGUUUGGUAAGUGAUUUCAUAUAAUUUCUUUUCAAGUUAAAUUUUAAUUUGGUUUCUGAUAUAGUCUCUUUGCCGAAUUGUAUCUUUUAUGAUUCUUGGAUUUUGGGCUCCAACUUUUUAGGAUUUGAUAGUCACAUUUUAUGCCAUGCUCAGAUUGAUUUUCAUGAUUUUUAGUACCCGUUAAGUGACGUACAAUUUGACAAAAGUUUGAAAGGAAAUAUGUUUCAGAAUUCUGUUUUAAUUGACCUUUUAGUGGAAUUAGGAUGCUUAUAACUUAAUGUGGAUGGUUCGUAAAAUCAUGAAAUUUGGAUAGGAUUCACUAGCAAUAUGUACAAGACUCCCCAUAAAGUUUCAUAAUUUUUCAUUCGGUCUGGGGUGGUACAGGUGAAACUUGUGGUUGGUGUUGAAAAAGAAGUGAAAAGCCUUACCAGCCAUCUUCAAGCCAUUCAAGUUGUGCUCGAUGAUGCAGAGGAAAAGCAAGUGAAGGAAAAAGCUGUUAGUCUUUGGCUGGGUAGGCUCAAGUAUGCAUCCUACGACAUUGAAGAUGUGUUGGAUGAGUGGAUAACAACAAGACGCAAAUUGCAAAUUGAGGGUGGCGUUGAUGAAAAUGCUCUUGUUGUUCCUCAUAAGAAAAAGAAGGUAUGUCUCUGCUUUCCCGGCUCUUGUUUUGGAUUCAAACAAGAAGAAUUUGGUUUCAAACAGGUCUUUCUCCGUCAUGACAUUGCCGACAAGAUCAAAGAAAUCAAUGAAGAGCUACAUGAUAUUGCCGCUCAAAAAGACAUGUUUGAUCUUGUUAAGAGUGGCAAUAAAAGUAGUGAAAGACCAAGGCGUGUACAGAGUACCUCCUUGAUUGAUGAGGAAGAGAUUUGUGGCAGAGUUGGUGAGAGGAAUGAACUCUUAAGCAAGCUGUUGUGUGAGAGUAGCGAGCAACAAAAAGGCCUUCAUAUCAUCUCAAUCGUUGGUAUGGGAGGCAUAGGGAAAACAACUCUUGCACAACUAGCUUGUAAUCAUGACGAGGUGAAGAGAAAGUUCGACAAAAUUCUGUGGGUGUGUGUAUCAGAAACUUUUGAGGAGUUUAGGGUUGCCAAAGCGAUCGUUGAAGUUUUGGAUGGUCGUGAAUCUCAUUUAGCUGAAUUCCAUUCUCUUCUUCAACAUAUUUAUGAAUCCAUUGCAGGGAAGAGCUUUCUUCUUGUCUUAGAUGACGUGUGGGAUGGAAAUUACUUGAAAUGGGAACCAUUCUACCAUUGUCUAAAGAAUGGUCUCCAUGGAAGUAAAAUUUUAGUUACCACACGUAAAGGGUCAGUCGCAUCCAUGAUGGGAUCCAUAGAUAUUAUCUCCGUUAAGGAGUUAGCUGAAGAGGAAUGUUGGUUGUUGUUUAACAAGAUAGCAUUUUUUGAUCGGUCCAUCGAGGAACGUGAAAAAUUAGAACAAAUUGGGCAAAGAAUUGCAGGCAAGUGCAAAGGUUUACCUCUUGCAGCAAAGACAAUAGGGAGUCUCAUGCGUUCUAAACAAACUGAAGAAGAGUGGAAAAGAAUUUUAAAUAGUGAUUUAUGGAAAGUAGAAGAGAUUGAGAAAGAUGUUUUGUCCUCUUUAUUGUUGAGUUAUAAUGAUUUGCCAUCUAGAGUAAAAAGAUGUUUUUCAUAUUGUGCUGUCUUUCCAAAAGACUACAAUAUAGAAAAAGACAAACUAAUCACGUUAUGGAUGGCUCAAGGUUAUCUUAGUGCAGAAGAAGAUGAAGAGAUGGAGACAGUAGGUGAAGAGUAUUUUGGCAUCUUAGCUUCUCGCUCAUUUUUUCAAGAGUUUAAGAAAAGUUAUGAUAAUCGGAUUAUAGAGUGUAAGAUGCAUGAUAUGGUACAUGAUUUUGCCCGAUUUGUAAGUCAAAAUGAAUGUUUUUCGAUGGCAAUUAAUGGUAGUGAAGAACCAAACGCCACAAACUCUCUUGAUGAGAAGGUCCGUCAUUUAAUGUUAAUCUUUAGUAUAGAGGCUUCAUUACCUGUUUCCACUUGUAGAGUUAAAAGAAUUCGUAGCCUCUUAAUUAACGAUAGUAGAUCUGAUCAUUCAUUAUUAAAUGGUGAGAUCCUAGAAGAAUUAUUUAGGGAAUUGACAAGUUUAAGGGCAUUAGAUUUUUGCAAAUCGUAUAACGCAAGCUGGUCUUCGACUCUGGAGAUUCCGAGAAACAUAGAAAAGCUGGUACAUUUAAGAUACCUUAAUUUGUCUUAUCAGGGAAUAAAGAAACUACCGGAGACAUUAUGCGAGUUGUAUAAUCUAGAAAAGUUAGAUAUUAGUUAUUGUUAUAAGCUAGAAGAAGUACCUGAAGGGAUUGGGAAGUUAAUAAACAUGAAGCAUUUACGAAAUAGAGGUACUAGUUCUUUAAGGUACAUGCCGGUAGGGAUUGGGAGAUUAACGGGUCUUAGGACCUUGGGUGAGUUCCACGUGAGUGCAGGAGGAGGUGUUGAUGGUAGGAAAGCAUGUAGGCUUGAAUCUCUUUAAAACUUGGAACACCUUCAAGUAUGUGGUAUAUGUAGACUGGGUGAUGUAUCAGAUGUGGGCGAGGCUAAGCGAUUAGAACUUGACAAAAAGAAAUACCUCUUCAGUUUGACCCUUGAGUUUGAUAAGACGGAAAGAGGAGGAGAAAGGAGGAAGAACGAGGACGAUCAACUUCUUCUUGAAGCCUUGCGACCACCCCUGGAUUUAAAGGAAUUAGAGAUACGGUACUACCGAGGCAACACUGUUUUCCCCAGCUGGAUGGCGUCAUUAACCAACUUAAAGAGUUUACAUCUCCAUAGGUGCGAAAAUUGCGAGCAGCUGCCUCCUUUGGGAAAAUUGCCGUCCCUUGAAAAUCUCUACAUAUGGCGCAUGGAGAGUGUGAAGAGAGUGGGUGAUGAAUUUUUGGGGAUAGAAAGUGAUCAUCAUGACUCAUCGUCAUCUUCAUCAGUUACUAUUGCCUUCCCCAAAUUGAAAUCACUCACAAUUUAUUCGAUGCUGGAAUUGGAGGAGUGGGAUUAUGAGAUUACAAGAACAGGAAACACCGUCAUCAACAUCAUGCCACGUCUUUCUUCCUUGACAAUUGUUGAUUGCACCAAAUUAAAGGCACUGCCCGACCACAUUCAUCAAACGACAACGUUGAAGGAAUUGAGCAUUUUUAUGUGUUGGCUUCUGAACAAACGUUACCGCAAGGGGAAAGGAGAAGACUGGCCUAAAAUAUCACACAUUCCCAACCUCCAUAUUGGGCUUUGACAAGUAAUUUCUUCUCUCACUCUGAUUUGCUUUGUUGUUGUUUUUGUUGAAAAGUUAAAAAGUUUGGUUGGAAAAGAAAAGUGAGCCACAUGCAUUGCUUUUGUUUUUCAAAGUCGGCACCAAAUUGCAAACUGUAUUUGGCAUUUGACAAUCCUGCACCAAAUGAAGAAAAAUGCAAAAGUUAGCAAAAUUUGUCAAAUUGACAGAGAUGGAGAUUGAUAAAUUGCAGAGGGAUUAGGUGGAAUAGUGCAUGCUUGAAGCCUAUAAAUUGAAGCCAUUUCUUCAUUCUAAAUAAUCCCAAAAUUGUUAAACUUAUAAGUUUCUAAGCUUUUGAGAGAAGUGAGAGAAGUGUGUCUGUGGAAUUUAUUUUUCCUGCAGAGUGUGAGAGUACUUGGUAUAUUUGGGUUUCUGGGAAGUGAGAUUCGUUACUCAAAUAUUGUAUUCUAUUAAUUGUUAAAUAAACAAUUAUUCUUUCUUACCUCCGUGGAUGUAGGUUUAAUUACCGAACCACGUAAAAUCUUGUGUCCUUUAUUUUUCAGUAAUUAUUUGGUGCGCUUGAUUCCGCAUUCCGCGCACAACAGUUUUUAAUCUAAUUAAGAAGCGAAAAUAGCAUUUUGAAUCAAACUCUAUAUCAGAAAUCUGCAAUACUUACUUUCUAAUAUUCUGAUUUUCAUAUCCUAUGAAUAUACGAUUUUUAAUUUGUGAGAUGGGUAACGUUACUGUAAAAGAUUAUUAAUGCAAUAUGAGUAAUUCUUUUGCAGGACAAGUGACCUACAUUUAGUUUGGCUUUGGAGUUGAAUAAUAACCUUUCGAGGUCCCGACAACCAAAAAACAAAGCUUAAUUUGCCACAGAUUGAACGUAUUGCCAUUAUUGACAAUUUUCUGCACAAGUGUGACUGAACUUAGGUUGAUGUCAAAAGAGGUAAAUUAUUGGCAUGCCUCACUAUUUUGACCAUUACAUGAUUCAUAAGUUUACAUUAAUUUUGAUUUUGAGUUGAGUGAUUAGUUUUCUAGGUUUGCUUACUUUAACUGGGUGACCAAUUUCUUGUAACUAAAUGUAUGAUGUGAUGCAGGAAGCAGGGCAGGAUAUGAAAAGAGAAGCUUAUUAGAGGAAGGAUUGCCAGUAACAGAAUCCAAAGAAAAAGAAACCAUUUCGAGGCAGCUGUUGGCAGUUGGCAGUGAAUGGAGCCCCUUGAAAAAAUUCCCAAGCCGUUGCACUGCAAUUACGAUCAUCCUCGGCCUCAGGUAAUUUCUUCUCCUGCAUUUUUGUUAUUUGCUAUCAAGUGACUAUUUUAAGUAUGAUUGCAUUAAGCUGCUGCUGGGAAAUUUGAGGUUUUGAUGACUGCCCAUGCUAUUGUCAGAAGCUGCGGUUCUUUUCAUCAGCCUGAACCUGGACCUGCCGCUAUGGAUAACUCAGGUUUUUUUUUUUUUUUAAUCAACUGCCAUCUUUUCCACUGUUUAGAAACUCUUAAGAUUAAACUUUAGUAAAGUUGUUUUAGUUAUCCAUGUAAUCAGGCUGAGGAUACUUAGCUGCCUAUUUAAGCAAAUGUCAGAAUUUAGUUUGUUCGCUGGGAACUGGUGUGGACUGGCAAAGGAUGAUGAGAUAGUUUUUUGAGUGAGUAAAUUUUGGGAGCUUGAGUGUAUUGGGAUUUGCAAUUACAAUCAUCGUCUGCCUCAGGUGAUUUCUUCUCCUGCUCUAUCAUUGUUUGUUCUCUAAUUCAAAAGCAUAAAAUAUUUCAAUCAAUUUUUAUGCCAGGAAUAUGCAAAAGUUUCUAAUAUUUUAUUUCCAUCUGUUACAAGAUCAAACUGAAGUAGAACUCAAACAAAAGUAUGCUACUUCUUGCGGAAAUCUUGCCUUUGUUCAGAUUAUGAAACCAUUUCCAUGCAGCAAAUUCAUCCAAAAGUUUGAAUAAGUUUCAUGGUUGGACACUGUUGGCUUCUUUUUCUUCUGGGGUGCAUUUAGGUGCUAUCAAGUGACAGCUGUAAGUAUGAUUGCACUAAGCUGCCGCUGGGAAAUUUGAGGUUUUGAUGGCUGCCCAUGUUAUUUUCAAGAAACUAUUGAUGUAAGAAGCUGUGGUUCUUUUCAUCAGCUUGAACCUGAAACUGUCGCUAUGGAUAACUCAGGUUUUUGUUAUCAACUAUAUCAUCUUUUUCACUAUUUUGAAACUCUUAAGAUUAAACUUUAGUAAAGUUGUUUCAGCUAUUCAAAUGAAAAACUCAUUGAUUUGAGACUUCCUUCAUUAUUGUUUCUAAUUACAAUGCUAACGAUCUAGAUAAAAUAAUAUUUAAUCGGCGCAGGUGUCCCUUGGAAGUACAUCCAACUUUUUCUUUUAUUAUAUAAAUUCUUGCAAUGAGCUUAGUGAAGCUGUUGUGCUAAUCAUGCCACUGCAUAAUUUGGCCCCUAAUGUGGGUACUCUGUUACAUUGUUCUGCAAAUUCUCCAGAAGUUAAAAUCAAUAAAUUUUCUAUUAGCUCUAGUGCUUUGACCUAAAUGCUAUUCUAUAUUUUGAUUACAAUGUUUUAACCUUUAAAUUAACUACCCCUAGAUGUUGGAUUUUCUAGAACUUCAAAAUGAUUAAUGGAGAAAGAUCCCAUUAUCGUUAUUGCUAUAAGAAAUUGAUUUAUGCAUCCAAAGAUACAUUAUAUAUUUCUGUGUCUCUAUUUGUAGAUGACAUUUAAGCAUCCAUAAACCGUCAGACAGAGGAAGGGUGAUGGGUGUCGAAGCCAACAAAAAUAAAUUCCUACUCUAAAUAAAUUGUGUAUAGUGAUUGAGCAGGGUCGUGUCCACAGAGAUCGGUAAUUAAUUAAAUCCUUUUGAAACGUAAAACAUAAAAUGGGGGAAUUGUUGACAAUAAUAAAAAUCAAAUUAAAAUAACAAGAAUGCAAAUUAAAGUUGUAAUUCAAAUUAGAGAAAGCUCUGGUUGAAGGAAUUAACUCAGCUUGAUUCGACUACUGAUCAUUGAUUCAAAUAUAGAUUAUUAUUACUCAUGAAUAGACCGGUUAUAGCUACUGAGACCCUCUAAUAGCCAAUCUCUCCUUAACUAGUCGAUAACCAAGGUACGACCAUUGGUUAUUUCCCUAAUCAAUAGACAACCCUAGAUACGAUCAUAGAAUUUAAUCAAUUGACAGCCUGAAAAACCAGAGAGACCCAAAUCCUAAUCAACACAUAUGAUGAUUCAUUUAAAUUAGAUUGUUUAUUCUCACAACACAACUCUCUGCUAUGUUAUUUGUCACAAACAUUAAAUUCUUCAUACGAUGAAUCCUUUAAUUGACAAUAGAUUAAGUUGAUAAUUAAAUAGUGGCCAAUUACCUAAUUAACAAACAUAAUCAUGAAAAUAAUUCAGAGAAUAAACAAAUACCCAAAAAGUAAUAAAACAAUUAAAGCACAAGAAAGAUCUCACAGUAGUGAUGAAUCAAAGCUUCAUUAACCUUCAACCAGAAAAAUAGGUUUAGCUCUUCAUAGAGAGAAGAGAAAAAUUAGAUCUAGGGUUUCUUUCUUUUUCUCCAAUCCAAAAAUCCCCCUUUUUCACAAUAGAUUCCUCCCUUAAAUACUUUCUCUCUCUUCUCUUUUAGAAUUCUAUUUAAAAUAAAAUCCUAAUAUCUGAAAUAUUAAAUUCGUAAUUACAAAAAUAACCAAAAAUACAAAACACGUUAAACUAAAAACUGCAGGUCCGCAGUUGACAGCACGCGCCCACGCCUUAUCAACAAAGUUCUUCUGACGCUCAUAAUUUCUCCAAGAGAACAAUCAUCCUUAAACAUCAUCUUAUAGCUCAAUUUUAUCAUCAAUCAAUAGAAUUGCACCUACAAAAGUAAAACACAAGUAAAUCACUAUUAUUAAGUGCAAAACAUUGAUAUUAAGGGAAGUAAAUAAUGCAAAACUAGUGCAUAAAUUGCACUCUAACAAAGGGGGUUCAGUGCAAAGAUUCUGUUGACCUAGGGUUGACUGCAUAAUGUCACUUGUUCGCAAUCUAUUAUUUAUUUUAUAUUUUGAAGAAUUUAAUGGGUAAUCCUAAUUGUUUGUUUUGGCAGGUAUGUGUUGUUAUCUCCUUCUAUCUAACAGUCGUACCUAAAUAGCAUAGUUUCAUCUGUGUUACCAUGUGAUGUACAUAAUUUCACAUUUGCCUCAGAUUAAGCUUAAUUUCCCACAAAAUAGAGCUGUCGCGACUGGACUUAGGUUGAUGUCCAAAGAGGUAAAUUAUUGGCAUGCCUAGAUAAUUUGGCCAUUUCCUAAUUCAUAAGUCUACAUUAUUUUUGAUUUUGAGUUGACUGAUUUCUUUUCAAGGUCUGCUUCCUUAACGGAGUGACCAAUGUUUUUCAACUAAAUUUAUCAUAUGAUGCAGGAAGCAGGGCAGGAUAUGAAAUGAGAUCUCAUUGGUGGAAGUAUUGCCAGUAGCAGAACCCAAUGAAAAUGAAACUAUUUCAAGGCAGCAGUUGGCAGUUGCAAGUAAAUGGAGGCCCUUGACAAAAUUCUCAAGCGGUUGCAAUGCAAUUACGAUCAUCCUCAGCCUCAGGUAAUUUCUUCUCCUGCUUUGUAUUUAUUUGUUAUCUAAUUAGGAAGCGUAAAGUAUCUUGAAUCAUUUUCUGUAUCUGGAAUAUAUGCAAGAGUUUCUAAAAUUUUGAUAUGAGUGUAAUGAUGGUAAUUUCUGUUUUCUGUCUGUCAUCAAAUGUUAGAAAACUUUCAUUGAGACCCUUGAACCGAGUCAUUUUUGACAAGUGAAGGACAAUUGCUGAAGAGUGGGAAUGGUGCUAGAUUGGGGAAUAAAGACAAAGGAGGUAAAUUAUUUGCAGUUUAUUCAGCAUUAUUUGCUUUGGACCACCGCCUGAUUCACAAGUCUCCAUAAUUUGGCUUUUGAGCAGUUGUUAAUAAAUUUUUAAUUCCAUUGGUGCUAAAUGUGCACGUGAAGCAGGCAGAGCAGGACUGUGGAAAUGAGAAGGUUUUUAGUGAAAGCUUAAACUCAGGUAAUUCUAAAAAGUACAUGUUUUUGCUGAUUUAUCUAAAUCAGGAAGUUUUAUUUCCAUCUGUUACAAGAUAAAACAGAAACAGAACACAAAGAAAAAUAUUCUACUUCUUCUGGCAAUCUUGCCUUCAUUCAGACAAUGAAACCAUUUCCUUUCACCAAUUUCUUCCAAAAGUUUGAAUAAGUUUCAUGGUUGGACAUAGUUAGCUUCUUUUUCUUUUGGUGCAUUUAGGUCCUAUCAAGUGACAGCCAUAAGUAUGAUUGCAUUAUUGGGAAAUUUUAGGUUUGGAUGGCUCCCCAUGUUAUUGCCAAGAAAGUCCUCAUGUCAGAAGCUGCGGUUCUUUUCAUCAGCCUGAACCCGAACCUGUCGUUAUGGAUAACUCAGGUUUUUGUCAUCAACUAUAUCAUCUUUUUUACUGUUUUGAAACUCUUAAGAUUAAACUUCAGUAAAGUUGUUUCAGUUAUCCAUGUAAGCAGGCUAAGGAUAUUUAGCAGCUUAUUUAGGCAACUGCCAGAAUUGAGUUUGUUUGCUCGAAACUUGUAUGGUGACAAGGAUACUGGCAAGGAUAGUGAGAUAGUUUUUUGUGUGAGUGAAAUUUGAAAGCUUGGGUGUUCUGGGAUUUGCAAUUGCAAUCAUCCUCUGAGUCAGGUGAUUUCUUCUCCUGCUCUGUCUUGAUUUUCUCUCUAAUUGAAAGCAUAAAGUAUUUCAAUCAAAUUCUGUACCAGGAAUACGUAAAAGUUACUAAUAUUUUAUUUCCAUCUGUUCGCAUUGAUAACUCGGCGGCAUAUGUGUUGUGCGCGGAAUGCGGAAUCAAGCGCGCCAAAUAAUUAUAGAAAAAUAAAGGACACAAGAAUUACGUGGUUCGGUAAUUAAACCUACAUCCACGGAGGCAAGAAAGAAUAAUUGUUUAUUUAACAACUAAUAGAGUACAAUAUUUGAGUAACGAAUCUCACUUCCCAGAAACCCAAAUAUACCAAGUACUCUCACACUCUGCAGGAAAUAUAAAUUCCCCAGACACACUUCUCUCACUUCUCUCAAAAGCUUAGAAACUUAUAAGCUUAACAAUUUUGGGAUUAUUUCAAAUGAACAAUUUCCCUUCUAUAUAUAGGAACCGUAGCUCACCUACCACUUCCAAUUUGGCUACAACUUGCCGAAUUGAUAAAUUGAAUUUAGAAUGGAAAAUCAAUUUGGUGAGCAACAAAAUCAACAAGUUUGAAAAAUCAAUUGGCUUCUAGAAAAACAUCACAUUUUUCCUCCAUACAAUUUCAACAAAAUCGUCCCACCAACCAUGUCUUUUGAAAUUUGCAUGCCAUUCUUUGACUUGUUGUGCGCGGAAUGCGGAAUCAAGCUCACCAAAAAUUACUGCAAAAAUAAAGGACACAAGAAUUUACGUGGUUCGGUAAUUAAACCUACAUCCACGGAGGCAAGAAAGAAUAAUUGUUUAUUUAACAAUUAAUAGAAUACAAUAUUUGAGUAACGAAUCUCACUUCCCAGAAACCCAAAUAUACCCAGUACUCUCACACUCUGCAGGAAAGAUAAAUUCCCCAGACACACUUCUCUCACUUCUCUCAAAAGCUUAGAAACUUAUAAGCUUAACAAUUUUGCGAUUAUUUCAAAUGAACAAUUUCCCUUCUAUAUAUAGGAACCGUAGCUCACCUACCACUUCCAAUUUGGCUACAACUUGCCGAAUUGAUAAAUUGAAUUUAGAAUGGAAAAUCAAUUUGGUGAGCAACAAAAUCAACAAGUUUGAAAAAUCAAUUGGCUUCUAGAAAAACAUCACAUUUUUCCUCCAUACAAUUUCAACAAAAUCGUCCCACCAACCAUGUCUUUUGAAAUUUGCAUGCCAUUCUUUGACUUUUCAACAAUUCUCCACCUCGGCGAAAAUUUUCCAAAUCUGAGCCGACUACCAACUAACCAUCCCCAAAGUGAUCCUUCAAUAAGGAUCCAGAAUGGCUGUGUCGAUUCGACUGCCUACGUACCCAAACUGUCUUGAUUUUCUCUCUAAUUGAAAGCAUAAAGUAUUUCAAUCAAAUUCUGUACCAGGAAUACGUAAAAGUUACUAAUAUUUUAUUUCCAUCUGUUCGCAUUGAUAACUCGGCGGCAUAUGUGUUGUGCGCGGAAUGCGGAAUCAAGCGCGCCAAAUAAUUAUAGAAAAAUAAAGGACACAAGAAUUACGUGGUUCGGGAAGCAGUUGGCAGCAAAUUCAUAUGGAGUGUAGACAAUGAUGAGCAAAAAGGUGAUUCUCAAUUUCUUUUUUUUUUAAAGUGAAAUUAUUUGUUAGAUUGAAGCUGAUAUUGUAAGAAGGCCAUUGAGCUAACCUAUGUCGCCACUUGCCUAGAUUGCAGGGGGUCAAGACUCAAAAGAAGCACUGAAAUUUAAAAAGCAUGCAAUAGUUCUUUUGCCAUGUAUCAAUUAAUGCAAGUUUGAAUAAAAUUAACAUAUAUCAAGACACAACUAGAAACAUCAUACUUUCGUGUAAGUUCAUUUCAGAAUAUUUCUUAGAGUUUGUAUAAAAUGAAAAGAUUUUAAAAUAUAAAUUUAAUAUUUGUUUAUUACCGUUGUUUGGUCUAAUUUCCUCGGGAGAAUUUUCAGAAUUUAUAGGACAUUAGUUUAUAAUUUUGAAAUUUUGUAACCUAAAUGUUUUUUUUUUUCGGUUACCAUUUUGUUUUCCUGCUUUAUCUACGUGUAUGUUGACUAAAACUAAUCUAUUUUGUUAAACCUUUACCACUUUAGACAUUGCACUAAAUAUGAGUUCGUGAUGCUUGCAUUUUAUUGAUGCUGAUGAUUCGUUGAAUGUUUUAUGUUUUUGAUUUUUAAGUAUUCCGGAUCGAAGUUUGUGUCUACGCGGAAAUUGUAAAGGCAGCAUAUAAAGUACUCGUCGUUCUUUAGAUUUUAUUGAGUACACUUUUUUCACAUUUAGCGUAUGCUAUACACUACUGAUUUGCGCAUUGACAUAUAACUUAUUUUAUCAUUUUGAAUGAAUUGCACGGCGAGGCUUAUCAACUUUGGAUGAAUCCUCCAAUUGUCACAGUCCAAGACUGGCUGCAGUGAGUGAAAAUUUACCCAUAUAUAUGCUGGCUAUUUUUAUUGGCGACGAAUUCGUUGUAGUUGGUCCAUCUUGCUAUUCUCGGACAAUAUUAGAGAAAAUAAUCAUAUUAUUUCGCGUGAUGUGACCUUCCAUAACUUAUCAAUUGAAUUACUGUAAAAUUAUUGUGUAAGUUUAGGCCCAAUGGCACUUUAGUUCAUCACAUGAUAGCCUGGAUUUAAAUGGAAAACUAUAUUGCAUUGCUUCAAAAAAAUAAAUUAAUGUUUUUAAUAUGAAUAUUUUUAACUAUAUUCAGUUAAAAUAAUAUAUUCUUAAUAUUAAUAUUCAUAGAUGAAAUUCUUUUGCGGAUUUAAGAAUAAAAUAUCAAAUAGUUUUAUUUUUCUUUUGUUGUGUAACUUGGACCGAAAAAGAAAAUGAGCUUAACAUGACCCUCCUUCCGGCACUAUGCAUGUUUUUCUUGUAUUGAUGACAGUGCUCUUGGUGCUUCUCAUCUGCUUCUUGCUUUGGUUUCAAACAAGUCUUUCUCCGUCAAGACAUUUAUUGUAAUUUCAUUUGGAGACAUCUGUCGUUCAAAUAUAUUUCAUAUUCAAGCUGUUGAUAAUUCUGCUUGAGAAAGCCUACAAAGCAGCUGUGUGAUGUAAUGGAAGACUAUAUAUGCAAGCGGUCAUCAGUUUCUCUUGAAUUCUUUCUUGAGUUUCUUUGAAUUAUUUGUGAAUGAGUUCUUAAUCGGCUGCUGCUCUUCAGGAAAAGGAAAGUUUUGCAAACUGGUGAAGCUGAUCGAUAAAAGCAAUGUACCAUCUUUGCUGGCAUGGAUCGAUGCCAGUGAGUAGCUCAUUGGUGGAAGUAUUGCCAGUAACAGAACCCAAAGCAAAUGAAACUAUUUCAAGGCAGCAGUUGGCGCUUGCAAGUGAAUGGAGGCCAUUGACAAAAUUCUCAAGUGGUUGCGAUGCAAUUACGAUCAUCCUCAGCCUCAUGUAAAUUCUUCUCCUGCUUUGUUUUUAUUUGUUAUCUAAUUAAGAAGCACAAAGUAUCUUCAAUCAUUUUCUGUAUCUGGAAUAUAUGCAACAGUUUCUAAAAUUUUGAAACGAGUGUAAGGAUGGUAAUUUCUGUUUUCUGCCUGUCAUCCAAUGUUAGACAACUUUCAUUGAGACUCUUGAACAGAGUCAUCUUUGCUGGCAUGGAUCGAUGCCAGUGAGUUUUUUUAUUUGUCAACCUUUUUAAUAAUGCAUAUGUGUUUCUUCAACUUGAAGCGGCAUAUAAGACGAAAGAAGUGAUCUUUAUCCAAUUGCUCCAAAUUAUUUGCAAAUUACUGAACACGAAUGCUGAUGAAUAAACUGAUGGCUCUAUGUAUGUAUGCACAUGCAUGGAGAAAUUUUAAGUCAGACAUUGACUCGUGGUACCAAAUCAUUAAAUAAUCUUGAAAUCAAAGUAAUAAUUAAAUACAAAUAAAUUGCUCGAAUUGUACAUAUAUCUGAAUCAUGUAGUGAAGAAAAUACAACAACAACAGCCAAUGGCUCAAAUUCCCUAUCAACUUCUAGUCUCAACACUUUUGAGUGUCAGAAGCAUUACUCUGCUACUAGUUAACAAACAUAUAAUUAGUAAUUUGCCAUUCACUUCCCUUUUAGGCCUAACACAUUUUCUAUAAAAGAGCCACAGAGUGAACUCAGCAGGAAACACUCAAUUUCAACCUACGUAGGACCAGGAAUUUCAACCAAAAAAAAAGUGUGCAAUUGCUUAUCCUAUCCUAUUGCUACUAGAAAGAAAGUGAACAAUUAAUUUCAGUGAAUAAAUUAAAAAAAAAAUUACUUCUGCAGAUACUCAAGCUAAGAACACAUUAACCCAUUAAAGACUCCAAAUUGCAUCAAACAAAUUGUUGUUAAACAAGUAAAACAAAGAAAGAGAGUUAAGGAAGCUGACCAAGUAGUAGGGGAGCUGAAGAAAGACUGCCAGUGAAUGUAAGAGAAAAUAAAAUGCAAGAAAUGGUGAAGUGCAGCUUUUCAUGUCAACUUGAAAUUGAGUUUUCUGUUUUUUUUUUUUUUUUUAAUCUUUUGGAUUUUUCAAACAAAGAAAAUGAGGAGCAACCAGGGAGAUAAAAAGGGCGCCAAGGCAACUGUGUGUUGGGUUUAGAGCCAAAAAAAAAAAGAAUAAGACAUCGUGUUCUUGUGGAGACCAGACCUAUUACGUAACGUCCCCUUCAAUACCACUAGUUCCGUAUCUGGUUUUUUCUUCGUCUUUUACAUAGUUUGCAAUUUUAUUCAUUUGAGCCCUACAGAUGAUAUAAGGGACAAGAGCGCAAAACAGAAACUCUGUCCACUACUGAUGAUAUAACAACGAACCGGGGUUUUUAAUUAAAUACCCUUUAAUAGUUUCAAAAUUAUUUAAAUACCUCCUCCCUUUUUAGUUUUCAUGGAUACCCUAACAAAAUUAUUUAAAAAUGGUUCAAUUUUAUUCUACUCUCAGGAAUUAAGUGUUGGAUAGACUAGAAAAUUCUGAGUACAAAGCAUCGCUUGUUUUCGUUGGUUUUUUUUUUGCAUUCCAGUAGAAAGGUUGUGUACAAUUGAAUCUGAUAACUAUGGCAGGAGGUAAGUUUUCUAACUUGCGCAUGAUGAAUAUAGUCUUUUAUUUCUUCCAUUGUAAUUUUUGUUUAAUAGAAAAUCUAUUUGAGAUUUUGUGAGAAGAAACUCAACAAUAAAGUUUGAUAGACUUUGUGGAUAUUAAGAGUUUGACAAGUAAUUGAAAUCUGAAGUUUACUGAAGUUUACGAGCAAACAAACUGAAAUCCGAAGUUUACUGAAGUUUACUAUCAAGAGUUUCAAAACAGUGAAAAAGAUGAUAUGGUUGAUGACAAAAACCUGAGUUAUCCAUAGCGACAAGUAACAUACUGAAGUAAGCCGUGGGGAGCUGGCCUGUUCAUGGGCUAUUUUUCUCUGAUGAUCUGCAUUUUUCUUCCUUUUAAGUGAACCUUGACUCGUAUCAAACCUGUCAAAAGAACAGUUCAUCAACUGAGCUGAGAUUUGCUUUCCUUUUUCAAAACCCACCUGAGAUAUUGUAAUUCCCAAAUUUCUCUCUCUCAGCUACACGAGCAAGCAGCCGCUUUUUCACUUCAUCGACGAAGGUAAGCGAUAAUAUCUAUUUCGUCCGAUUGAUUUCUUGUUUCCUUUUCAGUGUUCGGGUAAAUUAUUGGCAUGCCUGACUUUUUGACCAUUACAUGAUUCAUAAAUUUAUAUUAAUUUUGAUUUUGAGUUGACCGGUUACUUUUAUUGGUUUGCUUACUUUGACUAGGUGACCGAUUUCUUGUAACUAAAUUUAUGACGUGAUGCAGGAAGCUGGGCAGGAUAUGAAAUGAGAAUCUUAUUAGUGGAAGGAUUGCCAGUAACAGAACCCAAAGAAAAUGAAACCAUUUCAAGGCAGCAGUUGGCAGUUGGGAGUGAAUGGAGGCCCCUGACAAAACUUCAGUAAACUUCAGAUUUCAGUUUGUUUGCUCGAAACUUGCAUGGUGACAAGGAUACUGGCAAGGAUAAUGAGAUAGUUUUUGUGUGAAUGAAAUUACGAUCAUCCUCAGACUCAGGUAAUUUCUUCUCCUGCUUAGUUGUUAUUUGUUACCUAAUUAAGAAGCAUAAAGUAUCUUGAAUCAUUUUCGUUGUCUGGAAUAUAUGCAACAGUUUUUAAAAUUUUGAUAUCAGUGUAAUGAUUGUAAUUUCUGUUUUCUGUCUGUCAUCGAAUGUAAGACAACUUUAUUAAGAUUCUUGAACCGAGUCAUUUUUGACAAUUGAAGAACAAGUGCUGAAGAGUGGGAAUGCAAAAAGUUUUGUUGUUUUUAGCCUUGUUUUCUUUGAACCAGCGCCUGAUUCACAAGAGUUCAUUAAUUUGGCUUUUGAUCAGCUGAUUGAUAAAUGUUCAAUUUCUUUGGUGAUAAAUGUAUAUGUGAAGCAGGCAGCAGGGCAUGACUGUGGAAAAGAGAAGAUUUUAGUGAAAGCUGAGACUCAGAUAAUUCUACGCGUUUUGGCUGAUUUAUAUAAUUCGUGAAAUUUUAUUUCCAUCUGUUACAAGAUCAAACUGCAAUUAGCAAUUUAACAUUCCCUUAAAACCACUAGCUACAUUUCAUCUUUGCACAAUUACACUUAAAAUUCCACUAAAAGAAACUCUUGAGUUGCUCGCAAGCUAUAUGUCAUUAUCCAUUGAAUUCUUACCACAUACAUCUCACCUUUCAAUCAAUCACAUAAUAAUCAAUAUACAUAUUGUAAGAAUUCAACAAAUGGAGAACAUAAUAUACUAUAAAAGCAUCCAAAAUUUUUCCAUCUCAAAUUAUUACUAAACUUCUUGAACAAGUUGAAGAUUGGGGGGAAAAAGUGCAAGAAGGAAAAGCAUUAUUCUACUAGUUUCUAGGUUUCUCAUUUGAACAGAAAGAUUAAAUAAGAUAUUUGUGUAUGGCUGUAGUACUACACGGUAUCUGCUAGAAAGCAAAAUACCUUCUGCUGAUUGCACAUUGGAAUGGGAAUAAGUUGGUAAAUAUAUAAGUUACAUAAAUUAUUUUGGAUAAUUCUGCUGGUGAAUUAAUUAUCUUAAAAUCACCCUUUUAUUUUUUAAAAAAUCUUAAGUUAUUUUUCAUAUAUCUUAGGAAGACAAACAAACUUUCAUCAACUCUCCUUUUUUAGCUUUUCCCUUCAAUAAUGUUAGAAAUUCUAACAUUUGAGUCCUGCUUGAGCUUAAUACUAUUUAUCACUCAUUUAUUAGAUGAUGAAUUUUUUAAAUUAUAAAGUUAUUUGACUACCAUUCAAUGAAUGAAUGUCACAUCAUUUAAAACUCAAAGAAAAGUAUUCUACUUCUUGCGGCAAUCAUGCCUUCAUUCAGACUAUGAACCAUUUCCUUUCACCAAAUUCUUCAUAAACAUUGAAUAAGUUUCAUGGUUGGACAUAGUUAGCUUCUGUUUCUUUUGGUGCAUUUAGGUGCUAUCAAGUGACGGCCGUAAGUAUGAUUGCAUUAUUGGGAAUUUUACGAUUUGAUGGUUCCCCACGUUAUUGCCAAGAAAGUUCUCAUGUCGGAAGCAGCGGUUCUUUUCAUCAGCCUGAACCCGAACCUGUCGCUAUGGAUAACUCAGGUUUUUGUCAUCAACUAUAUCAUCUUUUUCACUGUUUUGAAACUCUUAAUAUUAAACUUACAGUAAACUUCAGAUUUCAGUUUGUUUGCUCGAAACUUGUAUGGUGACAAGGAUACUGGCAAGGAUAAUAAGGUAGUUUUUUGUGUGAGUGGAUUUUGAGAGCUUGUGUGUAUAGGGAUUUGCAAUUACAAUCAUCCUCUGCCUCAGGUGAUUUCUUCUCCUGCUCUGUCUUUAUUUGCUCUCUAAUUGAAAAGCAUAAAGUAUUUCAAUCAAAUUCUGUACCAGGAAUAUGUAAAAGUUCCUAAUAUUUUAUUUUCAUUUGUUUGCAUUGAUAACUUGACGGCAUAUGUACUAGUUAAAGAACAAACAGAAUCAGAGCUCAAGAAAAAGUUUUUUCUGCCAUCAUAUUUGAAAAUGAAGUCAUUUGCAGGAAGCGGUUGGCAGCAAAUUCAUACAAAGUGUAGACAAUGAUGAGCAAAAAAGGUGAUUCACAGUUUGAUUUUUUUUUAAUAAUGAAAAUAAUUUGGUAGGUUGAAGCUGAUAUUGUAAGAGGGCCAUUGAGCUAACCUAUGUCGCUACUUGCCAAGAUUGCAGGGCGUUAAGACUCAAAAGAAGCACUGAAUUUUAAAAGGCAUGCAAUAGUUCUUGUGCCAUAUGUCAAUUCAUGCAAGUUGGAAUAAGUUUAUUGGUUUGAACGCUGUUAGCUCCUUUUCCUUUCGUGCAUUUUGGUAUGCUAUCAAGUGACAGCCGUAUGUAUGGUUUGCAUAUAGCUGCUGCUGGGAAAUGUGAGGAUUUCAUGGCUGGCCGUGUUAUUGUUUUAAAUUAGAUGUGAUAAGCUGUUGCUUGGAGAUUCUGUUGCCAAGACUUUGCUCACAUCAGAAGCUGUGGAACCUCAACCCUUCUCUAGAUAUCAUCUUUUUCAUUGUUUUAAAACUCUCAGGAUUAAACUUGAGUAAAUUUGUUCGGUUGUCUAUAUAAUCAUGUAUUGAGUAAACUCUCAGGAUACCGAGCAGGCAAAUGCCAUAACUCGGUUUGUUCUUCAAAAACUUGUUUAAGAUUCUUGACAAAGCUGCAUGAAGUGAAUCUUGGGAGCUUUGAGGGUGAGAGAAAUUAGAGGGUGUAUAGGGAUUUGGGUUUAUUAGUAAGUUAUAUAUGUAUUUCGUCACUUAUCAUUAUCAUUUUUAUUUUCACAGAAAACCUUCUGAUGGUGCUAAAUUUUCAAACACCGGUCCGAUUCAAAACUUCAUAUUCCAAUUAUAUUCAUAAGACAAAUGGAACACUUUGAACGGCUAGUGUCCGAGCAUUGUAGUUUGAUUUAUUUUGAUGAAAGUACCUUUUGACAUUGAGAUUCUUUCAUGAUUUAAACAUUCUUUUUUAAACCAAAUUAUUAAAAAAAGUAACUAACAUAUAUUAUUUUAUUAGUGCUUUUUAAAUCAAAUAUACAUAGGAGAACUGUAAUUCUUAGCAAUCAAUUUUUCACUAAAUACACCUGCAAUAAACUAUUAAUAACAAAGUGAUAGAAAAUACCUGAUUUUUCAUACUUUCUAAUUUCUUGUGGUCCUAAAAUAUGGGCAUUUGUGUAAUAAUUAGCCCAUGUGGAUCUCUAUGCCAUGAGUUUGAUAAAUAGCUAUCAAGGAUCACUUAUUAAGCUGAAAAUAUUUGGAGGACAAAAUUGUAAAACUAAAAGGGUAGAGCAAAUAUGGCUAUCUAGGAUUAAAUAGUAAGUCAACUAUAUUUAAAGGAUAAAAUGUUAAAACUUGAACUGUGAUAUUAAAAAUAUCUCAACUAUUACAUUAUUAAACCAUAUGUUCUAAUAGUUUUUUUUUAAGCUUCAAAAUGUUCAGGAUUUUAGAUUGAAACAUUUUCAUUUGAAAUUAUUUGGUGCAGUCACAAGUUAAGAAAGAAAAAGUUGUCCCAUUGGUCAUUUCACAAAAAUGAAAGCCCUGUAUAACAUGGACUUGAAUGGAAGCCCAAUUGUUUGUGUUUGAUUAAUUGAUUUCAAGCUUUAUCGGAUCUUUGGACCUGGAUACUUUACCGCGGCCUCUAAGCGCUAUAAUUUUUUUUUUUUUGGGAUAAACGGCGCUUCAAUGAGGGCAUUUCCAAUACUUAACACUAUUUUGGUGUAACACCAACACUAAAAAUGUACAUUUUUCACACUAAAUUACUAUUUAAUCUCCAACCCAUUUGAUCUACCAUGAUUGUGACUCCCACUGGGGCCACGUUCUGUUGAUCACCCUCUCGUCACCGAUAGCGCCUCCGCUUGUGGCGAACUUGCUUGUCUAUUUUCCCUAUUUUUCCGCUUACUCUCCUCAUUUAAUACGGAGGCUGCAACAUCAUCGAAAACUAGACUGUCCACUGAAUUGUAGUUUGUCAGGUUGACGAUGAGUUGUUCAUACGAAUCUUAUAGACUUUGAAGUAGAAGCUCUGCAUGUACAUUAUCCUCUAUAUUAUGACCCAACGUUGUGAGUUGUGAAAAUAGAGUCUUCAAGGUGUUGAUGUGGUCGGUCACCAUUGUAGAUUCCACCAUUCGAAGAGUAUAAAGUCUCCUCUUCAAAAAGAUUUUGUUGUGUAGUGACUUGGCCUCGUACAAUUUUGUAAGAGUAUCUCAUAUUUCCUUUGCUGUAUUUUUCUCUGCCACACUGGAUAAUACUCCAUCCGCAAGUGCCAAGUGUAGAUCAGAAAUAGCGUUGCCAUCUAUCUCAUUCCACUUGUCAUCAGUUAUCUCCAUGGGCCUUUCUCCAAUUGCUGCCAAACAAUUAUUUUUCCUCAAUACAACUUUCAUCUUCAUUUUCCACAAUGAAAAAUUAUUUCCGUUAAACUUCUCAAUUUCAUAUUUUGCUGCCAUUUUUUUGAUAAAUACCGCACACAAGUUAGUGUAUCACCUUGAAUAGUUGUCGGUAUGUGUGAGAAUGCACACCAGGAAAGUUCCCAGGAAAGACUGGAGGGGUCACACUGGUCCACUUAAAACUCAGACUCCUUAAGCACUUAUCGCGUUUGUAACAGAACUUUCCUAGACAUGUACAAAACCACACAGUUGCUUUUACUUACACCACUAUUUCCUACUUUGCAGUGCAAAAGUUCUUGGAUCGCUCCCAUCGUUUCUCGUGAACAGUACCAUAUACGUGAACAGUGCCACAUACAUGAAUAGUACCGUAUACGUGAACAGUACCGUAUACGUGAAUACUACCCUUUACGUGAACAGUACUUGACUCCAAAAAAUUCAACCAAUAGCUUUGAUACCACUGUUAGGAAAUUGGUAGGUGAAGCAGACACGCAGCUAAAAUAAAAUUGGAAGAAAAUAAAGAACAAGUACAAAGUGGACACCAAGAAAUUACGUGGUUCGGCUUUUAGCCUACGUUCACGGGCGAAGAUAGAAGGAAAAUAUUAUACUAGUGAUAUGAAGAUUACAAGUAUUGUAAUAUUUUGGCUCACUAUCCAAAACCCCAAUACACUCAAUCUCUCACUCAAUAAACUCUCAGGAGCUUUAUUAUUUUAAGCUCUUAAAAUCUCUCAAGCUUUCUCCUUAUUAUUCUCUCACAAAUUGUAUGCUAAAAUUAGGGUGGGAAGCCCUCUUUAUAUAUCCAAGAUUUUGGCUCUUUUUUUUUUAUAUAACAAGUCAACACGGCACCAUUAAGAAUGGCGAGCCAUGUUGAAUGGCAUGGCACCGCCCAUCUAGAUGGCCGGUGCCAACCAUGACUUUAACAUUCUAUCACUUGGAGAUUUGAUUGAGAAUCAAUCAAUCUCCACAUCAUCCUUUCUACUUCGCCAUAAUCAUGUUGCCUACGUUUUUACUAGGCCACAAGAGGAUCUACUCCAGUUAAACUUAUCAAUAUUGAUUGGCUUAGUCAAAACAUCUGCUAGGUUCUCCUUCGUAUGGAUUUUUGCAAAUUGACACUUCCAUCUUCCACUACUUCUCGAACGAAGUGAUACUGAACUCCUAUGUGCUUUGUCUUGGAAUGAAAGGCUGGAUUCCUUGCAAUGUGCAAGGCACUCUGACUGUCACAAAACACAGGAAUUUUCUGUUGUUUGUGCCCGAGCUCCUCCAAUAAUCUUUGUAUCCAAAUAGCUUCCUUGCAAGCUUGUAUAGCUGCCAUGUAUUCUGCUUCUGUUGUAGAUAAAGCCAGAACGGUCUGCAGUUUCCAAACCCAACUUACAACUCCUCAUGCAAAUGUAAACACAUAACUAGUAGUGGAUUUCCUUUUAUCAAGGUCUCCUGCAAAAUCUGAAUCCACAUAGCCCCUGACAGUAAACUCUGAUCCUCAAUAACAUAAUACAACAUCUGAGGUUCCUCUUAUGUAUCUCAGAAUCCUCUUCACAGCUAUCCAAUGCUGUCCACCAGGAUUCACCAUGUAUCGACUGAUUGCUCCCACUGCUUGUGCAAUGUCUGAUCUUGUACAUAUCAUAGCGAACAUCAAACUUCCCACUGCUGAUGCAUACGGUACUUGAGACAUCUCCUUCCUCUCUGCUUCAUUGCUAGGACACAUACUUGAGGAUAAUUUGAAAUUAACAGGAAGUGGGGUAGAAAUUGACUUACAAUCUUGCAUGUUGAAGCGCCACAAGAUUUUCUUCAAGUAGUUAUUCUCAGAAAGCCAAAUCUUUCUGUUAUUUCUGUCUCAGUGAAUUUGCAUCCCUAGAAUCUUGUUUGCUGGUCCCAAGUCCUUCAUUUCAAACUCCCUAGCCAACAGUGCCUUCACUUCUUGGAUUCGAUCUUUGUCGGGGCCUGCUACCAACAUGUCAUCCACAUAUAACAACAAAAUAAUGAAAUCAUUAUCUUCAAACCUUUUGUAAUAUGCACAAUGGUCUGAACUGAGUCUGUUAUAUCCAAGACUCAUGAUGAAGGAAUCAAAUCUCUUAUACCAACACCUCGGCGCCUGUUUGACACCGUAUAGAGAUUUGUUCAACCUACAAACCAAGUUUUCCUUUUCUGUUUCUGCAAAACCUUCUGGUUUGAGCAUAUAAAUUUUCUCUUCAAGUUCUCCAUGAAGAAAUACAGUUUUCACAUCUAACUGCUCUAGAUGUAGGUCAAAUAUAGCACACAUUGCCAAGACUACUCUGACUGUUGUGAGUCGAACCACCGGAGAAAAUAUCUCGUUGAAGUCAAUACCUUCUUUCUGAGCAUAUCCUUUCACCACCAAUCUUGCACGAUACCGCUCCACUUGAUCAUUGCCAUCACGUUUGAUCUUGUAGACCCAUUUGUUUCCAAUGACUUUUCUUCCAUGUGGUAGUGGUACAAGUUCCCAUGUCUUAUUUUUAUGUAGAGCUUCAAUUUCUUCCUGCAUUGCUGUCAUCCACAAAGCAACAUUUGAACUUUCUAAAGCUUCAUGGAAAGUUGAUGGCUCUCCAUCCUCUGUUAGAAGACAGUAUGCAACAUGGAUCUCUGUGACAUACUCCGAGUGCCACGCUGGCGAUCGUCUCUCACCAAUUGACCAAAGAACUUCUGGAGUCUCAGACUCGACUGGUUCUUGUUCCUCGUGCUCUGGUGCUGCUUUAGAAGAAUCUGAAUCUUCUAGAUUAUUUCCACAUAUACCGGCACAGUUUCUGACUUUUCUUUUACAGUGUCAUCAUCUCCAUCUUUCCUUUACAGUUGAUCUUCUACAAAAAUAACAUCUCUGUUGAUGACGAUCUUGUGGGCAGUGGGGUCCCACAAACGAUACCCCUUUACUCCAUUAGCAUAUCCCAAGAAGAUACAUCUUCUAGAUUUUGGAUCCAGCUUUGUUCUUUCUUACGGAUUGUACAUCACAUACACAGGACAUCCAAAUGCAUGUAAGUAGGAAUAAUCAGCUGGCUUUCCAGUCCACAUCUCCACGUUGUCUUCAGCCCAAUAGCUGUAGAUGACGACUGAUUUACUAUAUAACAAGCAGUUUUGGCUGCUUCUUCCCAAAAUGAAUUGGGUAGACCAGCAGUCCUCAACAUAGCUCUUAUUCUUUUGUAAGAGUUUUGUUCAUCUACUCCGCCACUCCAUUUUGUUGAGGAGUGUAUGCUACCGUGAACUGUCUAUGAAUACCUUCUUACUUACAGAAAGCAAGAAACUCACCGUCUGUAUACUCUCCACCAUUAUCUGUCCUCAAGCACUUGACCCUUUUACCAGAUUCAAGUUCCACCCGCGCUUUGUAUUCUUUAAAUACUGGAAAUAUAAUUGACUUUUUCAUAAUUGGAUACACCCAACAUCUCCUGGAAUAAUCAUCAAUGAAAGUCACCAUAUACUUUGCACCUCCCAUGGAUAUAUCCAGUGAUUCCCAAACAUCAGAAUGAAUCAAGUCUAAAAUGCAUUUACUUCUAGCAAUAGAUUUACUGAAUUUUAAUCUAUGCUGCUUACUUGUAACACAAUGCUCGCAAAAUGGUAAACUUACCGAUUUAAGCCCCGGAAGUAAUUUUCACUCAGAGAGAAUCUUCAAACAUUCUGACAUGUGACCAAAUUUGAGAUGCCACAUCAUCGUUGACUCUUCUCCAUUUGAUACGAGACACGCAUUAGCCUCCUAUAGUGUUUCUCCUUUAAGCAUGAAUAGAUUAGCACCGAUCUUUUCUGCCUUCAUCAAUACAAGCGCUCUUUUAACAAUUUUCGUAAUUUCAUUCUCCAUAUGAGUUUUAUACCCAUGACUAUCCAUUUGUCCCAAAGACAAUAGAUUUUUAUUCAGGUCAUUGACAUGUCGUACCUCCCCAAUUGUGCGAAUUGUACCAUCAAAAUUUUUAUUUUGAUAGUGUCAAUACCAGCGAUCUCCAAGGUAUGAUCAUUACCCAUAUAUAUAGAUCCUCCUGAGAUAUGUUCAUAUGUGUGGAACCAUUCUCUCCGAGAGGUCAUGUGCCAGGUAGCUCCUGAGUCUAUAAUCCAGACAUCAGAUAGUCGUUUUCUACCUUCUAAAACAGUUGUUGCCUCGCUUUAGAGAAUUUCACCAUUAUCUGAAGUACUUGCUACACACCCUUGAGCAUUUGAUGACUCAGGUUAUUUGCCCUCUCUUCUCUUCUGGUUACUCCAACACUUUUUCUUGACGUGCCCUUUCUUGCCACAGUUGUAGCAUUUAACAUUCUUCUUACUUCUGGAUUUUGAUCUACCAUGAUUAUGACUUCUACUGGGGUCACGUUCUGUUGAUCUCCCUCUCGUCACCAAUAGCGUCUCCGCUUGCUGCGAACUUGCUUGUCUGCUUUCAUUAUUUUUCCGCUUACUCUCCUCAUUUAAUACGGAGGUUGCAACAUCGUCGAAAACUAGACCGUCCGCUGGAUUGUUGUUUGUUAGGUUGAUGAUGAGUUGAUCAUACGAAUCUGGUAGACUUUGAAGUAGAAGCUCUGCAUGUACAUUAUCCUCUAUAUUAUGAUCCAACGUUGUGAGUUGCGAAAAUAGAGUCUUCAAGGUGUUGAUGUGGUCGGUCACCAUUGUAGAUUCCACCAUUCGAAGAGUAUAAAGUCUCUUCUUCAAGAAGAUUUUGUUGUGUAGUGACUUGGCCUCGUACAAUUUUGUAAGAGUAUCUCAUAUUUCCUUCGCUGUAUUUUUUUCUGCCAUACUGGAUAAUACUCCAUCCGCAAGUGCCAAGUGUAGAUAAAAAAUAGCGUUGCCAUCUAUCUCAUUCCAUUUGUCAUCAGUUAUCUCCAUGGGCUUUUCUCCAAUUGCUGCAAAACAAUUAUUUUUCCUCAAUACAGCUUUCAUCUUCAUUUUCCACAACAAAAAAUUAUUUCCGUUAAACUUUUCAAUUCCAUACUUUGCCGUCAUUUUGUUCAUAAAUACCGCACACAAGUUAGUGUACCACCUUGAAUAGUUGUCAGUAUGUGUGAGAAUGCACACUAGGAAAGUUCUCAGGAAAGACUGGAGGGGUCACACUGGUCCCACUUAAAACCCAAACUCCUUAAGCUCUUAUCGCCUUUGUGACAGAACUUUCCUAGACAUGUACAGAAUCACACAGUUGCUUUACUCACACCACUAUUCCCUGCUUUGCACCGCAAAAUUCUUGGAUCGCUUCCACCGUUUCUCGUGAACAGUAUCGUAUACGUGAACAAUGUCGUACAUGUGAAUAGUAUCAUACAUGUGAAUAGUAUCGUAUACGUGAACAGUACCGUAUACAUGAAUACUACCCUUUACGUUAAGAAAUUGGUGGGUGAAGCAGACACGCAGCUAAAAUAAAAUUGGAAGAAAAUAAAGAACAAGCACAAAGUGGACACCAAGAAAUUACGUGGUUCGACUUUUAACCUACGUCCACGGGCGAAGACGGAAGAAAAAUAUGAUACUAGUGAUAUGAAUAUUACAAGUAUUGUAAUAUUUUAAUUUACUACCCAGAACCCCAAUACACUCAAUCUCUCACUCACUAGACUCUCAGGAGCUUUAUUAUUUUAAGCUCUUAAAAUCUCUCAAGCUCUCCUUAUUAUUCUCUCACAAAUUGGAUGCUAAAAUGAGGUGGGAAGCCCUCUUUAUAUAGCCAAAAUUUUGGCUCCUUUUUUUUUUUUAUAACAAGUCAACACGGCACCACCAAGAAUGGUGGGCCGUGUUGAAUGGCAUGGCACCGCCCAUCUAGAUGGCCGGUGCCAACCAUGACUUUAACAUUAUAGUCCAAGUUUUCGAGGACCACUAUAUUGUAUUGAUUUAAAAAAAACUAAUAUUUUUAAUAUUAAUAUUCUAAAUUAUAUUCAGUUAAAAUAUUAAAUAUUAAAAACAUUCUUAAUAUUAAUAUUCUUAGAUGAAAUUAUUUUGCUGACUUAAGAAUAAAAUAUUAAAUAAUUUUAUUUUUCUUUUAUUGUGUAACGUGGACCAAAAAAAAGGAAAUGAAUUUAAUAAAACCUUCAUUCAAAACCUUCAUUCCGCCACCAUGCAUGCAUGUUAAUUGUUUCCAAAUUCCAACCUCCGUACUCUCUUGAGGAGUUUCCCAUUCAUCAAUUAUUAUUUUUUAUAAUCCAUACCAUCCUGAUAUAAUUAAACACCAUUAAUAAUGUACCAGCCUUUAAAUAGUAAUUAAUUUAUUUAGUUGGCCACCUAAAAGAAUCCUGCAGGAAAUAGAGGUUAAAAAUUUUAUUAAAUUUGCUUACCGCUGUAUCAUUAUAUAUAUAAAGAGUGAAAUCUAAAUGAAAUUUUUUAUCAUCCAUUCAGCAAACACUUAUAAUUCACAAAUAGUGAAUCUAUGCAUUGACAAUGUGGAUUAAGAAUUAUAACACAUGAAUUCAAACAUACCCUUGUGAAGUUAAGAAUAAGUUCAUACUUCAAAUGAUUUUUUAGCUAAUAAAGCAAUCAGUUUCAUUAAACGACAGCGUUGAAGGAAUUGUGCAAUUUUUUACGUUCUUUUCUAGACAGACGUUACAGAAAUGGGGUAAGUAGAGGGCUGGCCUCAGAUAUCUCACAAUUGUUAGUGAGAUAAAAUGUUAUUGUAAAAGGCGUUUAAUAGAAUAAUAUUAAUUCUUUUGCAUUGUUAUAAAAAUAUUUUUUUCUUUUGACAGUUCUGCAGGACAAGUGAUCAGAGCUCAAUGAAUAUAGCCGUGGAGGCACAGCAGAGCAGGAUUAUGAAAAAGAGAAGCUUAUUACAGGUCAUUCAAGUUUACUUGCUUUUAUAUAAUAAGUGUUUUGGCCGAUUUAUCUAAUUCACCAAAUGUUUUUUCCGGUACAUAUCUCCAUUGGUAUCAAGAAGAGGCAGAACCCAAAGAAACGUUUCUUGCAUCUUCAUAUUUGUGCGCAUUCAUCCUUUCAUUGAGAAUAACCAUUUCCAGGCAGCAGUUGCCAAUCAAUUCGCACGUCGAUGCUAUUCAUAGAUAUUAAAGACAAUGAUGAACCAAAGGUGAUAAAUCAUAAAUGCAUAAUUACCAAACCUCCAUCCUUCUCUCAUUAUGAUUUGAUUUUAAAUGAAUUAUUGCUUGGUAACAUUAUUUCCAACCAUUGCAAGACCUUUUUUUUUUUUUGGGAGAAAUUUCAAUUGAAAGUGAAACCUUUAGACAUUUACCUAAUGAAGUUAGUUAAUCGGGAGGGUGGAAAAAAAAAAGUUGACGCAAGUCAAUACACAAUAAUGAUUAAUUAAAUCCGGAGUGACUAAAACAGAGCCACUACUUUUUCAAAAAUAUCUGCAUUCAUCACUUUCUCCAGCAGCUAGUCAGCUACACACGAAUCAAUUUCUCUCCUCGUUUGUCAUCCAAAAUUAUUCACCAAUACCAUGGCUGAUGCAAUCGUUUCCACUAUCUUGGAGCAGCUGAUUUCCUUCGCUGCUGAAGAGAUAAAACAACAGGUGAUCGAAGUUACACCCCUCAUAUUACAAAUACUUCCAAUGAUUUUAAUUGGUUUUGUUUUUAUCAAAAACAUUAUAUAUUUUUGCUUUUUUUUAUUUAUCUGAUAAUUUUAUAUUUUGAAAUUUGAAUUGAAUUUAAUUAAAAGGUGAUGUAGUAACCACUCAUUUUUAUUUUAUUUCAUUUAUAUUCUCGAUAACUAACCAUAUUUUGGUAACUUAAUAUAACUCUCGUACAUAAGAAAUGAUCCAAACCCACAAUUUUAACUCUGUAUAAAUAUUCAACGUUGAGUCAUUAAUUCUCAACUCAGCACUGAAUCCCAUAGCUAUUACUUAGACUCUAUGAAAAAUUUCAUAGUUUUCUUACAUUCUUUGAGUUUGGUAAGUGAUUUCGUAUAAUUUCUUUUCAAGUUAAAUUUUAAUUUGGUUUAUGAUAUAGUCUCUGUGCCGAAUUGUAUCUUUUAUGAUUCUUGGAUUUUGGGCUCCAACUUUUUAGGAUUUGAUAGUCACAUUUUAUGCCAUGCUCAGAUUGAUUUUCAUGAUUUUAACUACCCGUUAAGUGGCUUACAAUUUGACAAAAGUUUGAAAGGAAAUAUGUUUCAGGAUUCUGUUUUAAUUGACCUUUAAGUAGAAAUAGGAUGCUUAUAACUUAAUGUGGAUGGUUUGUAAAAUCAUGAAAUUCGGAUAGGAUUCACUAGAAAUAUGUACAAGACUCUCCAUAAAGUUUCAUAAUUUUUCAUUCGGUAUGGGGUGGUACAGGUGAAACUUGUGGUUGGUGUUGAAAAAGAAGUGAAAAGCAAGUUGUGCUCGAUGAUGCAGAGGAAAAGCAAGUGAAGGACAAAGCUGUUAGUCUUUGGCUGGGUAGACUCAAGUACGCAUCCUACGACAUUGAAGAUGUGUUGGAUGAGUGGAUCACAGCAAGACGCAAAUUGCAAAUUGAGGGUGGCGUUGAUGAAAAUGCUCUUGUUGUUCCUCAUAAGAAAAAGAAGGUAUGUCUCUACUUUCCCGGCUCUUGUUUUGGAUUCAAACAAGAAGAAUUUGGUUUCAAACAAGUCUUUCUCCGUCAUGACAUUGCCGACAAGAUCAAAGAAAUCAAUGAAGAGCUACAUGAUAUUGCCGCUCAAAAAGACAUGUUUGAUCUUGUUAAGAGUGGCAAUAAAAGUAGUGAAAGACCAAGGCGUGUACAGAGUACCUCCUUGAUUGAUGAAGAAGAGAUUUGUGGCAGAGUUGGUGAGAGGAAUGAACUCUUAAGCAAGCUGUUGUGUGAGAGUAGCGAGCAACAAAAAGGCCUUCAUAUCAUCUCAAUCGUUGGUAUGGGAGGCAUAGGGAAAACAACUCUUGCACAACUAGCUUGUAAUCAUGACGAGGUGAAGAGAAAGUUCGACAAAAUUCUGUGGGUGUGUGUAUCAGAAACUUUUGAGGAGUUUAGGGUUGCCAAAGCGAUCGUUGAAGUUUUGGAUGGUCGUGAAUCUCAUUUAGCUGAAUUCCAUUCUCUUCUUAUAAGUAUUGAUAAAUCUAUUGCGGGAAAGAGAUUUCUUCUUGUCUUAGAUGACGUAUGGGACGGAGAUUACAUUAAGUGGGAACCGUUCUACCGUUCCCUAAAGAAUGGUCUCCAAGGAAGUAAAAUUUUGGUUACUACACGUAAGGAGUCAAUUGCGUUUAUGAUGGGAUCCAUUGAUAUUAUCUCUAUCAAGGGAUUGGCCGAAGAAGAAUGUUGGUCGUUGUUUAAGCGGUUAGCAUUUUUCGGUCGAUCCAUUGAGGAAUGUGGAAGAUUGGAACAAAUUGGACAAAGAAUUGCAGGAAAGUGUAAAGGCUUACCUCUUGCAGCAAAGGUAAUAGGGAGUCUCAUGCGUUCUAAAAAAACUGAAGAAGAGUGGCAAAGAAUCUUAAAUAGUGAGCUAUGGAAAAUAGAAGAGAUCGAGAAAGGUGUUCUAACUCCUUUGUGGUUGAGUUAUAACGAUUUGUCAUCUCGAGUAAAAAGAUGUUUUUUAUAUUGUGCUGUCUUUCCAAAAGACUACAAUAUAAAAAAAGACAAACUAAUUACAUUAUGGAUGGCUCAAGGUUAUCUUAAUGCAGAACAAAAUGAAGAGAUGAAGACAAUAGGUGAAGAGUAUUUUGGCAUCUUAGCUUCUCGCUCUUUCUUUCAGGAGUUUACGAAAAGUUAUGAUAAUCGUAUUAUAUGGUGCAAGAUGCAUGAUAUGGUGCAUGAUUUUGCCCGAUUUGUAAGUCAAAAUGAAUGUUUUUCGAUGGAAAUUAACGGCAGUGAGGAACCAAACGCCACAAACUCUCCUCAUGGGAAGCUUCGUCAUUUAAUGUUAAUCAUUGGUGAAGGGGCUUCAUUUCCUGUCUCCACUUGUAGAGUCAAAAGAAUGCGAAGCCUCUUAAUUGAUAGUAGCAGAUUUGAUUAUCAGUCGUUAAAUGGUGAGAUCCUAGAAGAAUUAUUGAGGGAAUUGACAAGUUUAAGGGCAUUCGAUUUUUGCAGAUCGGACCACACACGAUUGGGUUUCACUCUAGAGAUUCCAAGAAAUAUAAAAAAGCUGAUACAUUUAAGAUACCUUAAUUUGUCUGGUCAGAAAAUAGAGAAGCUACCGGAGGCAUUGUGCGAGCUAUAUAAUCUAGAGAAGUUAGAUAUUUGUGGUUGUUGGUGUCUUAAAGAAUUACCUGAAGGGAUUGGGAAGUUAAUAAACAUGAAGCAUUUACUAAAUAGAAAUACCGAUUCUGUAAGGUACAUGCCAGUAGGGAUUGCGAGAUUAAAGAGUCUUCAGACAUUGGAAGAGGUCAGUGUGAGUGGAAGAGGAUGUCUUGAUGGUAGGAAAGCAUGUAGGCUCGAAUCUCUUAAAAACUUGGAACACCUUCAAAUAUGCGGUAUACGUGGACUGGGUGAUGUAUCAGACGUGGGCGAGGCUAAGCGAUUAGAACUUGACAAAAAUAAAUACCUCUUCAGUUUGACCCUUUGGUUUGAUAAGAAGGAGGAAGAAGGAGAAAGGAGGAAGAACGAGGACGAUCAACUUCUUCUUGAAGCCCUGCAACCACCUCUGGAUUUAAAGAAAUUAACGAUAUGGUCAUACAGAGGCAACACUGUUUUCCCCAGCUGGAUGAUGUCAUUAACCAAUUUAAGGAGUUUAGGUCUCUGUUACUGCAAAAAUUGUGAGCAGCUGCCUCCUUUGGGAAAAUUGCCAUCCCUUGAAACGCUCCACAUAUUGGGCAUGAAUAGUGUGAAAAGAGCGGGUAAUGAAUUUUGGGGUAUAGAAAGUAAUCACCAUGACUCAUCUUCAUCUUCAUUUUCAUCAGUUAUUAUUGCCUACCCCAAAUUAAUAUCACUUUCAAUUCAUUGUCUGACGGAAUUGGAGGAGUGGGAUUAUGGGAUUACUAGAACGGGAAACACGUUCAUCAACAUCAUGCCACGUCUUUCUUCCUUGCGAAUUACUAUGUGCCCCAAACUAAAGGCACUGCCCGACCACAUUCAUCAAACGACAACACUGAAGGACUUGACCGUUGGGUGGAACUCUGAUCUUCUGCAAGAACGUUACAGCGAGGGUAUAGGAGAAGACUGGCCUAAGAUAUCUCACAUUCCCAACGUCAGGAUUUGGCAAGACGUAAUUUCUUCUCCUACUCUGAUUUGCUUUGUUGUUGUUUUUAAUCUAAUUAAGACGCAUAAAUAGCAUUUUGAUUUUGAGUUGACAAUUUUCUGGACCAGUGAUCAAGGGUGAGAAUGGCGCUAGGAUAUUGAAUAAGGCACUGAACUUAGGCUGAUGUCAAAAGAGGUAAAUUAUUGACAUGUGUAGCUAAUUUGACCGUUUCCUGAUUCAUAAGUCUACAUUAAUUUUGAUUUUGAGUUGAGUGAUUACAUUUUAAGGUUUGCUUACUUAACAGGGCCAGGACAUGAAAUGAGAAGCUUAUUAGUGGCAGUUGGCAGUGAAUGGAGGACCUUGACUAAAUUCUCAAGCGGUUGCACUGCAGUUACGCUCAUCCUAAGCCUCCUGUAAUUUCUUCUCCUGCAUUUUUGUAAUUUGCUAUCUAAUUAAGGAGCGUAAACUAUUUUGAAUCGACUUCUAUAUCAGGAAUAUAUGCAACAUUUUCUAAAAGUUUGAUAUGAGUGUAAUGAUGGUAAUUUCUCUUUUUUGUCUGUCAUCGAAAUGUAAGAUAACAUUCAUUAAGACUCUUGAGAGUCGUUUUUGGCAAUUGCAGGACAAGUGAUGAAGAGUGAGAAUGGUGCUAGAUUGGGGAUUAAAGCAAAAGGAGGUAAAUUAUUGGCAGAGAAUUGUGAGAGCUUGAGUGUACUGGGAUUUGCAAUUACAAUCAUCCUCUGCUUCAGGUGAUUUCUUCUCCUGCUCUGUCGUUGUUUGUAUCUCAAUCAAAUUCUAUAACUGGAAUAUGCAAAAGUUUCGAAUUUUUUAUUUCUAUCUGCUUGCAUUGAUAACAUCACGGCAUAUGCACUAGUUAAAGAACAAACAGAAACAGAGCUCCGGAAAAAGUUUCUUCUGCCAUCACAUUUGAAAAUUCAUGUAAAAUGUAGACAGUAAUCAGCAAAAAGGUGAUUCACAAUUUCAUUUUUUUUAUGAAAUUGAUUGUUAGGUUGGAGUUGCUAAAAGGCCAUUGGGCUAACCUAUGUCGUUACUUACCUAGAUCAAGACUCAAAACAAGCAUUGAAUUUUAAAAGGCAUGCAAUAAUUUUUGUGGCCAUAUGUCAAGUCAGGUAAGUUUGAAUAUAAUUAUUGUUGAAGGGGUUUUAUUUUCGGUGUCCAAAUAGAGAUACUGAUUCUUUAAGGUAAUGCCAGUAGGAAUUGCAAGAUUAACAAGUCUUCGGACAUUGCGAGAGUUCCAUUGAGUGGUGGAUGAGGUGUUGAUGGUAGCAAAGCAUGUGGUAUGCGUAGACUGGAAAACAUGUAAGAUGUGGGCGAGGCUAAGAGAUUAGAGAUUGACCAAAUGAAAUACCUCUUUAGUUUGAGGCUUAAAUUUGAUGGUGAAGAAGAAGGAAGGAGGAAGAAUGAGGAUGAUCAACAUCAGCUUGUUCUUGAAACCUUGCAACCACCUCUGACUUUGAAGGAAUUAGAGAUAUGGUCAUACAGAGGCAACACUGUUUCUGCAAGUAGUCCUCUCUUUUCUUUUUAUUAUAUUUUAUUUAGUUAUUAUUUAUUAUUUAUUUUUUGGUUUACUCUGCUUCUUCUUUUUACGUUUCUCAAAUUUUGAAUUUCAUUACUUUUGAACAUACGACAGUCUGUUAUGUGGCGACCCUGGUUUUUAAUUAAGGUUGUAAAAUAUUAUUGUAAAAGAUGAUUUAUUCAAUUUGAGUAAUUCGUUUGCUUUGAUAAUGAUAGCAAUUUUUUAUUUUGACAAUUUGCAAGGUGAGAAUGGUGCUGAUUGGUGAUUCAGGAUAUGGUUCAAACACCAUUGAAUAAAGCUAUGGACAUGGUGGCUCAACUUAGCUAGAUUGGUAUCAAAAUUGGUAAGUUGGCUUGUCAAUGUACCGAUGCUUUUGUUUUCUCUCAACCCUAAUUACCUUAACUUCAUUUAGUUUGGCUUUGGAGUUGAGUAAUAACUUAUUGUUCAAAUGUUAUUUCCUUAUUGUUCUAAUUCAUCAAAUGUUAUUUCCUUAUUGUUCCAUUGAUAUAUUUGUUGCAUAUCAAGCAGAAACAGAACCCAAAGAAAAUGAAACCAUUUCCAGGCAGCAGUUGGCAGUGAAUUCAUGCAAAUGUUGAUGCCAUUCAUAGAUGUUGAAGACAAUGUUGAGCCAAAGGCGAUAAAUCAUUAAUGCAUAAUUCCCAAAACCUCCAUCCUUCUCUCAUUGUAAUUUGAUUUGAAAUGAAUAAUUGCUAGGUAAUUGAAGCCAAUGUUGUUAAAGACCGUGUUGAGCUACCCAAGCUAAGAAGUUACUUGCCAAAAAAUGCAGGGGAUCAAAAGAAGCAUUGCAUUUGAAAAGGCAUGAGAUUCUGGUGGCUACAUGUCAACUCAUAUAUGUUUGAAUAAGUUUGAUCGUUCAAGAUUGUUAGCUUCUGUUUAAAUUUGUGCUACUGCGGUGCUACAAUGCUGCUACUGGGAAAUUUGAAUCCCAUAUUAGACUUUCCUCACAUCAGAAGCUGUGGAUCUUCGGACAUCAGGUUUUUUCACAGUUCUGAAACACUCAGGAUUAAACUCUAUUAAAGUGUUGUAGUUAUCUUGUUGUCAGAAUUCCCAUAUUAUUAUCUUUUUCAUGUAAAAUUAUCUUGUUGUCUUCGCCCAUGAAUCUAAGCUAAAAUUUGAACCAAUUGUUUGCCAUUAUAAAUUUCAUUGUUAAAUGUUAAUUAUGAUGUUGGCGUUGAGUUUCUUUUAAAGUCAUAGAAGCCUGACGAUUGAGUUCCAUGGGAUUCUGAGAAGCAGUAAUAUUUGAACAAGUGAAGGUUCUUCUCUUUUAAUUAUGUUCUGCACUUUUACAGUUUGGCUUUGGAGUUGAGUAAUAACCUUUCGAGGUCGCGGCUAUAAAAAGGCGAUGCUCAAUUUGCCACAGAUUACAUGUAUUGCCAUCAUUGACAAUUUUCUGGAUAAGUGAUGAAGGGUGAGAGUGGUGCUAGACUUCAGCCCUCCAGAAUAUUGAAUAAAGCUGUCAAAAGAGGUAAAUUAUUGGCAUGCCUGUUAGUGAAUUGGAUAAAGCUGGAGCAGAGCAUGAUGUUGCUGUAUAGCUGGAGCAGAGCAUGUUGUUGCUGUGUAGCUGGUUGUAGCAGAUCAACUCACUGAGCUGACCUGUCAAAGCUGGAGCAGAGCAGAGCAGAGCGGAUAAAGCUGGAGCAGAGCAGAGCGGAUAAAGCUGGAGCAGAGCAGAGCAUGAUGUUGCUGUAUAGCUGGAGCAGAGCAUGCUGUUGCUGUGUAGCUGGAGCAGAGCAUGCUGUUGCUGUGUAGCUGGUUGUAGCAGAUCAACUCACUGAGCUGACCUGUCAAAGUUAGUUAGCUGGUUGAGCUGAUGUGUAAAGUUAGUUAUGCAGCAAAUGGUUAUGUGAUGUAACAAACUCGUGUGUGUAGUGAAGAUUGUAGCUUAGUAUAAAUGUCAAUCAGUAUUCAUUAAGUUGAAAUAUCUGAGGAUAAUAAAAAGGUUCUUUAGAGUUCUCUUUCAUUUUCUUUUACUUUCUUGCUUGCCAAACAAUAUAGAACUAAGUUUCUUUCAUGGUAUCAGAGCCAUAAAUGGCAAAUACAGUUCAAAACAACAACUCUUUUAGUUUUGUUACGCCUGUAAAGCUAGAUCAAAACAACUAUAUUUUGUGGCGCACACAAAUUCUAGCUUCGAUCAAAGGAAAUGGUUUGGAAGGUUUUAUCAAUGGUGAUCGAGAAUGUCCUGAGCAGUUUCUUUCUUCUGGCAACAACAAUGGAGCUGAAAUCUUAACUGAAUCUGGAUCCAGAUCUGUUACUGAAUCUGGAUCCAGAUCUGUUACUGAAUCUGGAUCCAGAUCUGUUAAUCCAGAGUUCGUAGCUUGGAUGAAGGCUGAUCAACUUCUGCUGAGUUGGAUGAUGUCAUCGAUACAACAAAAUCUGCUUGCUACUAUGAUUGACUCAACAACCUCAAAACAGCUUUGGGAGACUCUUGCUAGUAUGUUUAUCUCUCAAUCACAGGCUAGAAUUCAAACACUUAGAAUGCAGAUUCAAACUAUUAAGAAAGGUGCAAUGCAUAUGUCUGAUUACUUUGUAAAAGUAAAACGUAUAGCUGAUACUUUAGCUCUAGCUGGAAAACCUGUUGAGUUAAAUGAUCUUGUGAUGCAUGUAUUAACUGGUCUUGAUUCAUCAGAUUAUGAAUCUUUAGUCACUGCUGUGUUAGCUCGAGGUGAAAAGAUAACAUUAGAUGAACUAUAUUCUUUGCUGUUAAAUCAUGAAAAUAGAGUUGAGCAAAAGAAAGGAAAAAUUGCUGGUGAUGUGAUGCAUAACAUGACAGCAAAUAUUGUUCAGAAGAACUCAUAUGCUAGAAAGAAUAAUGGAAAUUUUCAGAAACAGUAUGGAAAUAACUCUGGAGGUGGUAAUAAUUCUGGAUAUGGAUAUGGUCAGUUUAAUAAUAAUAGUAAUUUCUCUGAAGUUGUUUGCCAAAUUUGCUUCAUACCUGGUCAUGCAGCCUAUAAAUGCAGAAAUAGGUACAACUCAUCUUUUGUUCCACAUAGGAACCAUGGUAGAGGUAAUAUGAAUGGUGGCGGAGGUUUUAAUCAAGGGCAAUAUGGUCGAGGAAGAGCCUUUAAUGGUAAUAGUGGAAGAGGUUUUGGAGGUUUUGGUUCAAAUGCUGGUUUUGGACAAAAUGUUGGUUUUGGUAAUGCCCCCAGGGGUUUUGGCUAUCAAGGAAAUAUAGUAUAUCCAGAGAGCAACCCAUCUGCUUAUUUCUCAUUCAACCCUGGAUCAUCUAAUUUUGUUUCUGGUCUAGGACAUAAUAAUCUGGAACAGUCAAGUGCUUCCUCCUCCUCUGCUAUGUCUUCUUCACUUCCACCUGAACACAUUGAAGAUCCUUCCUGGUAUAUUGAUAGUGGAGCAACAAAUCAUAUUACCAACGAUCUAGGUAAGCUUCUGGAUUCAAAAGUUUACACUGGUACUGAAAGGUUAUUUGUUGGAGAUGGAAAUGCAUUAGCUAUUACACAUGUAGGGUCAGUUGUGCUAAAUACUUCAGCUUCUCAAUCCUUAUUUCUUAACCAUGUUCUUCAUGUCCCUUUUAUUACUAAGAAUUUGCUUAGCAUCUCAAAAUUGUUGGCUGACAAUCCAGUUACUGUUGAAUUUCUUGGUGAUUUGUGUUUUAUAAAGGCCAAGAACACAGGGAAAAUUUUACUUGAAGGUGUUGCUAAAGGUGGGCUUGUAUAGAGUCUCUUCUCAUGCUGCUGUUCAUUCAGUCUUUCUCAGUUCAGUUGGUCAAAACAAAAUUCAGUCUCUUUUUGCUUGUUCUCCUGUUUUUAAUUCUGCUCAGCUCUCUACUGUUAGCUCUUAUGAGUUGAAUAAAACGUCAUGUCUGUCAGUUGUUGCAAAGGGUUCUAUUGAUGUAAAUCUUCUUCAUAGAAGAUUAGGACACCCAGCAUCUUAUACUCUCAAAACCAUUCUCAAAGCUUGUAACAACUCUACUGCUUUUAAUAAAGUUGACAGUUUGAAAUUUUGUUCAGCAUGCCAAUAUGGUAAAAAUCACAUGCUGCAUUUUGAUUCAGUAGAAACAAAAACUUCAGCACCUUUACAACUGAUAUAUGCAGAUCUUUGGGACCCUUCUCAUGUUUGUUCUACCCAAGGAUAUAAUUACUACUUGUCAAUCCUAGAUGAUUACAGUAGGUUUACCUGGAUUUUUCCCUUAUCAGCAAAAUCUGAUGCUCUUGAAGUUUUUACCAAUUUCAAAAUAUUCAUUGAGAAGCAUCUUCAACUUUCCAUCAAAACUGUACAAACUGACUGGGGAGGGGAGUUCAGAACAUUUUCAUCGUUACUCACUACUUCUGGCAUCCAUUUUCGACAUCCUUGCCCCCACAUUCAUCAUCAAAAUGGAAAAAUUGAGAGGAAACAUAGACACAUAGUUGAUGUAGGACUGACUUUAUUAGCUCAAGCACAUUUACCACUCAAAUUUUGGUGGAAUACAUUCCAUACAGCUGUCUACUUGAUAAACAGACUUCCAACUCCAGUUCUAAACAGCAUUUCUCCUUUUCAAAAGUUGUUUAAUUCCCAACCAGAUUAUUCAACACUUAAAAUUUUCGGCUGUGCUUGUUAUCCAACACUCAGACCAUACAAUAGACAUAAGUUUGAUUUCAGAACAGCUAGAUGUAUAUUCAUUGGCUACAGUUCACGACACAAGGGAUAUCAGUGUCUUCACUCUUCUGGGAGGGUCUAUAUUUCAAAUCAUGUAACCUUUGAUGAAAGUUCUUUUCCUUAUGAGUCAGGAACAGAUUUUUCUUCAGUUUCUUCAAACUGUCAGUCAUCAACUCAUUCUGAGUCUUCUUUUAAUUCUUCUACUCCUUUUGUUACUCAGUUACAAGCACCUUUAGCAGCAUCAUCAGAAUAUCAUCUUAAUGAUUCUCAGUCACAUGCUUCUAUUUCCUUCCCAAAUUCUACUCCAGUUUACUUUUCUGAUAAUUUCAAUUCCACUUCUUCUUCUCCUUCUUCACCAUCCCAUCAUUCACCUCCACAUACCUUGUCACAACCUGCAUCAUCUGGUCAUCCAAUGAUAACCAGGUCAAAAGCAGGUAUCUUCAAGCCCAAGAUCUACUUGUCAGCUUUACUAGCUCAGAAAUCAGAACCAACCUCUGUUUCCAAAGCACUUUCUGAUCCUAUGUGGUAUAAAGCUAUGCAAGAAGAGUAUCUAGCUCUUAAAACCAAUCACACCUGGGAUUUAGUCUUACCUGCUACUCCAGUGAAGAUAGUUGGCAACAAGUGGGUAUUUCGAGUAAAGUAUAACUCAGAUGGUUCAGUUUCAAGGUAUAAAGCCAGGCUUGUGGCUAAAGGGUUUCAUCAGACACAUGGGAUUGACUACACAGAAACCUUCAGUCCAGUGGUUAAGUCCUCCACUGUUAGAGUUAUUCUUAGCUUAGCAGUAUUGAGUCACUGGGUUGUAAGGCAGGUGGAUGUUAACAAUGCCUUUCUAAAUGGCAUUUUAAUUGAAGAUGUGUACAUGGCUCAACCUCAAGGUUUUGUUGAUUCAACUAAACCUAAUCAUAUCUGCAAGCUAAAUAAGGCUUUGUAUGGCUUAAAACAGGCUCCUAGAGCCUGGUUUGAUAGGUUUAAGGAUGCAAUGAUCUCCAAGUGGCAUUUUUAGCAUUCCAGGUCUGAUAACUCUCUCUUUUAUGCCUGGAACAGUGGUCAUCUAACUGUUGUUUUGGUCUAUGUUGAUGAUAUUAUCAUCACUGGUUCCAGUCCAUCCAUAAUUCAACAAGUUAUCCAGAAUAUGCAUCAAGCUUUUGCUUUAAAAGACCUGGGGGAACUUCACUAUUUUCUGGGGAUUGAAGUCAGCAAAUCUUCACAAGGGGUUUCCUUGACACAAGCAAAGUACAUUGCUGAUAUUCUGGAUAAACAUGGCAUGACAGACUGCAGUCCUGUGCCAACUCCAAUGUCUACAGGCUUUUAUCUCACCAAAGACUCAGGAGAGCCACUUGAUAAUGUUUCUCAAUAUCGAAGUGUUAUAGGAGCUCUUCAAUAUGUUACUCUUACCAGACCUGACAUUGCCUUCUCUGUAAACAAGUUAAGUCAGUUCCUUUCCAGUCCUAGAACUCAACAUUGGGAAGCAUGUAAAAGGUUAUUGAGGUACUUAAAAGGCAUUAUCCAUCUGGGGCUGCAUUUCUACAAUCAAGGAGCUCUGCAAUUACAUUGUUUUUCAGAUUCUGAUUGGGCUUGUGAUCAUGAUGAUAGGAAGUCAGUGGCUGGCUUUGCUGUUUAUCUAGGUCCUAAUCUUGUUUCCUGGUCGUCAAAGAAACAAGCUGUUGUUUCCAGAUCCAGCACAGAAGCUGAGUAUAGAUCUCUUGCUCAUGCUGCUUCAGAAGUUACCUGGAUUAAAUCCUUACUUGGUGAACUUAGUAUCACAUUAAGCUCCACUCCUAUGAUGUGGUGUGAUAAUCAAGGAGCAAUUGCUUUAGCUUAUAAUCCAGUUUAUCAUGCUAAGACUAAGCAUGUUGAAUUGGAUAUACAUUUUAUCCGAGAUAAGGUCACUGCUAAAGAGGUUGCAGUAUGCUAUGUGCCUAGUCCAGAUCAAACAGCAGAUGUGUUGACUAAGGCUCUUACUUUCAAACAAUUCAGUUACUUCAGAAGCAAGCUGAAUGUUCAUCCUAAACAUUUCAGCUUGAGGGGGGAUGUUAGUGAAUUGGAUAAAGCUGGAGCAGAGCAUGAUGUUGCUGUAUAGCUGGAGCAGAGCAUGUUGUUGCUGUGUAGCUGGUUGUAGCCAAAGCUGGAGCAGAGCAGAGCAGAGCGGAUAAAGCUGGAGCAGAGCAGAGCGGAUAAAGCUGGAGCAGAGCAGAGCAUGAUGUUGCUGUAUAGCUGGAGCAGAGCAUGCUGUUGCUGUGUAGCUGGUUGUAGCAGAUCAACUCACUGAGCUGACCUGUCAAAGUUAGUUAGCUGGUUGAGCUGAUGUGUAAAGUUAGUUAUGCAGCAAAUGGUUAUGUGAUGUAACAAACUCGUGUGUGUAGUGAAGAUUGUAGCUUAGUAUAAAUGUCAAUCAGUAUUCAUUAAGUUGAAAUAUCUGAGGAUAAUAAAAAGGUUCUUUAGAGUUCUCUUUCAUUUUCUUUUACUUUCUUGCUUGCCAAACAAUAUAGAACUAAGUUUCUUUCAAUGCCUAGCUAAUUUGACCACUACCUGAUUCAUAAGCCUACAUCAAUUUUGAUUUUGAGUUAAGUGAUUAAUUUUCAAGGUUUGCUUACUUAACCGGCGACUAAUUUCUUGUAACUAAAUGUAUCAUAUGAUGCAGGAAGCAGGGCAAGAUAUGAAAUGAGAAGCUUAUUAGUGGAAGGAUUGCCAGAAACAGAACCCAAAGAAAAUGAAAACAUUUCAAGGCAGCAGUUGGCAGCUGGCAAUGAAUGGAGGCCCUUGAAAAAAUUCCCAAGCCGUUGCACUGCAAUUACGAUCAUCCUCGGCCUCAGGUAAUUUCUUCUCCUGCAUUUUUGUUAUUUGCUAUCAAGUGACAUUCGUAAGUAUGAUUGCAUUAAGCUGCUGCUGGGAAAUUUGAGGUUUUGAUGGCUGCCCAUGCUAUUGUCAGAAGCUGCAGUUCUUUUCAUCAGCCUGAACCUGGACCUGUCGCCAUGGAUAACUCAGGUUUUUUUUUUUUUUAAUCAACUACGGCAUCUUUUCCACUGUUUUGAAACUCUUAAGAUUAAACUUUAGUAAUGUUGUUUUAGUUAUCCAUGUAAUCAGGCUGAGGAUACUUAGCAGCCUAUUUAGGCAAAUGUCAGAAUUUAGUUUGUUCGCUGGGAAUUGGUGUGGACUGGCAAAGGAUGAUGAGAUAGUUUUUUGAGUGAGUAAAUUUUGGGAGCUUGAGUGUAUUGGGAUUUGCAAUUACAAUCAUCGUCUGCCUCAGGUGAUUUCUUCUCCUGCUCUGUCAUUGUUUGUUCUCUAAUUCAAAAGCAUAAAAUAUUUCAAUCAAAUUGUAUGCCAGGAAUAUGCAAAAGUUUCUAAUAUUUUAUUUCCAUCUGUUUGCCUUGAUAACUUUGCUGCAUAUGUACUAGUUAAAGAACAAAUCGAAACAGAGCUCAGUUAAAAGUUUCUUCUGCCGUCAUAUUUGAAAAAUGAAACCAUUUCCAGGAAGCAAUGGGCAGCAAAUUCAUAUAAAGCAUAGACAAUGAUGAGCAAAAAGGUGAUUCACAAUUUCACUUUUUUUAAUGAAAUUAAUUGUUUGGUUGGAGCGGAUAUUGUUAGAAGGCCAUUGAGCUAACCUAUGUCACUACUUGCCUAGAUUACAGGGGGUCAAAUAAGGCAUCCAAUAAUUCUUGUGGCCAUAUAUCAAUUCAUGUAAGUUCGAAUGUAAUUAUUGGUGAAGGGGUUUCACUUCCCGUCUCUAAAUAAAAAUACUGAUUCUUUAAGGUACAUGCCACUAGGGAUUGCGAGAUUAACGAGUCUUUGGACAUUGGAAGAGCUCCUUGUAGUGGAGGAGGAGGUGUUGAUGGUAGCAAAGCAUGUGGGCAGUGGGCUUGAAUCUCUUAAAAACUUGGAACUCCUCCAAGCGUAAGUAUACGUAUACUGGGAAAUGUGUUAGAUGUGGAUGAGGCUAAGAGAUUAGAGCUUGACAAAAUGAAAUAACUCUUUCAUUGAGACUUAAAUUUGAUGGGGAAGAAGAAAAAGAAGAGGGAAGGAGGAAGAAUGAGGAUAAUCAACUUGUUCUUGAAGCCUUGCAACCACCUCUGAAUUUGAAGGAAUUAGAGAUUUGGUCAUACGGAGGCAACAUUGUUUCCCCCCGGAUGAUGCAAAAAUUGAAGGAAUUUACCAAUCUAAGGAGUUUGACACUCUUUAAAACUGCAAAAAUUGAGAAAAGUUGCCUCCUUUGGGAAAAUUGUGAUCCUUUGAAAAUCUCAGCAUAUUGUACAUGGAGAGUGUGAAAACAGUGGGUAAUGAAUUUCUGGGAAUAGAAAGUGAUCUUCAUGACUCAUCUUCAUCUUCAUCAGUGAUUAUUGCCUUCCCCAAAUUGAAAUCACUUUCAGUUGAGGGAUUGAUGGAAUUGGAGGAGUGGGAUUAUGGGAUUAAAAGAACAGGAAACACCUCCACCAACAUUAUGCCACGUCUUUCUUCCUUGGAAAUUAGUGUGGGGUUAUGGGAUCGCACAACGACGUUGAAGGUAUUGCAGAUUGUGGCAUGUGGUACUCUAAGAAGACGUUACAGACAGGGGAGAGCAGAAGACUGGCCUAAGAUCUCUCACAUUCCAGACAUCAUGAUUGUGUGAAAAGAUGCCCGUGACAAAAUUCUCUAGGCGGCUACAUGGAGUACAAUCAUAAAAUGCUAAUGUGGCCACCCUGGUUCUUAAUUAAGGUUGUGAAAUAUUAUUGUAAAAGAUGAUUAAUUCAAUUUGAGUUAUUCGUUUGCUUUGAUAAUGAUAGUAAUUUUAUAUUUUGACAAUUUGCAGGGUGAGAAUGGUGCUGAUUGGUGAUACAGGAUAUGGUUCAAACACCAUUGAAUAAAGCUACGGACAUGGUGGCUCAACUUAGCUAGAUUGCUGUCAAAAUUGGUAAGUUGGCUUGUCAAUGUAUUGAUGCUUUUGUUUUCUCUCAACCCUAAUUACCUUAACUUCAUUUAGUUUGGCUUUGGAGUUGAGUAAAUUCUGGCCUCUUCCGAAAAAAAAAGCUUAAUUUGCUACUGAUCACGUGUUACCAAUUAUUUAAGGUAAUUCUCGCUUACUUGCUUCUGCACUAUAGAGUACGUGUUCUGGCUGGUUUAUCUAAUUCAUCAAAUGUUAUUUCCUUAUUGUUCCAUUGAUAUAUUUGUUAGAAAGUGAAACCAUUUCCAGGCAGCAGUUGGCAGUGAAUUCAUGCAAAUGUUGGUGCCAUUCAUAGAUAUUGAAGACAAUGAUGAGCCAAAGGUGAUAAAUCAUUAAUGCAUAGUUACCAAAACCUCCAUCCUUCUCUCAUUGUAAUUUGAUUUUAAAUGAAUAAUUGCUAGGUAAUUGAAGCCAAUAUUGUUAGAAACGGUGUUGAGCUACCCAAGCUAAGAAGUUAGCUGCCAAAAAAUGCAGGGGAUUAAAAGAAGCAUUGCAUUUGAAAAGGAAUGAGAUUCUGGUUGCUACAUGUCAAUUCGUAGAAGUUUCAAUAAAUUUAAUGGUUCAAGAUUGUUAGUUUCUGUUUAAAUUUGUGCUACUGCAGUGCUACAACGCUGCUACUGGGAAAUUUGAAUCCCAUAUUAGACUUUCCUCACAUCAGAAGCUGUGGAUCUUGAGACAUCAGGUUUUUUCACAGUUCUGAAACUCUCAGGAUUAAACUCUAUUAAAGUUGUUGUAGUUGUCUACGUUCUCAGGUCAAGGAUUCUAAGCUGCCGAUUAAGCAUUGCGCAUUUUCAUUUGUCCGAUUCAAGAGGAACGUCACAGAAAGGGGUAAAGAAAAGAGUAGCCUAAGAUAUUAAAGACAAUGUUGAGCCAAAGGAAACAUAAAUCCCAACCAUUGCAUGUGAACAUGAUCACAAUAAGGUCAAGAACCUACCAAACCAUUUUUUUGAGAAUUUUCAAUUGAAAGUGAAACCUUUUGAUAUUUACCUAAUAAAGUUAGUUAAACGAGAGAAAUAAAGGGGGAAAGAAAAGUUGACUCUAAGUCAAUACAGAAUAAUUAGUUCAAUACAGAAUAAUUGCUGUAAAAUAUUAAAUAGUUUUAUUUUUCUUUUAUCGUUUAACUUGGACCAAAAAAGGAAAUGAGUUUAACACGACCCUCAUUCUGCUUCUUGCUUUGGUUUCAAACAAGUCUUUCUCCUUUAUGACAUUUAUUGUAAUUUCAUUUGGAGACAUAUGUCUGUCGUUCAAAUAUAUUUCAUACGCAAGCUGUUAAUAAUUCUGCUUGCAGAAAGCCUACAAAGCAGCUGUGUGAUGUAAUAGAAGACCAUAGAUAGUCUCGUCAAUUUUUCAACAUUAGAUAUUCAGGUCAUCAGCUUCUCAUGAAUUCUUUCCUGAGUUUCUUUGAAUUAUUUGUGAUGUAAUAACUUGUGCAUUUGAGAAACUGUUCUCUUGAAUUCUUUCUUGAGUUUCUUUGAAUUAUUUGUGAAUAAGUUGUUAAUCGGCUGCUUCUCUUCAGGAUAAGGAAAGUGUUGCAAACUGGUGAAGCAGCUGAUAGAUAAAAGCAAUGGGUACAUCUUUGCUGGCAUGGAUCGAUGCCAGUGCGGCUGAAUUCAGCAAGACUGCCGUUCGUGAUGUUGUUGAUUGGGAUUACAUUAAGGAUGAUGACAACAUUGAUUAAAAUGGGACGUGAAGAUAUAUGGUGUGCAAAUUAACCCAACCCAACCAAACCCGUACAUUUUAUCAACCCAACCCAACCUGUAAAAAAUCACACGGGUUAGGUUAGUUUCACGGAUUGGGAGGUUGGUGCCCACCCCUAAAUAUAACCUCCAUUUCAGCACAAUGCAUGUUAAUUGUUCCCCAAGGACUUCUCCUGAUUCCCAUUCCCAACCUCCAUGCUCUUGAGAGGAAUUUAGCACCCAUCAAUUUUUAUUUUUGAAAACUCGUAAUGGUCUGAUAAAAUUAAACAACAUCAAUAAUGUUACCAGUCUUUAAAUAGUAAUUAAUUUAUUUAAUUUGCCACCUAAAAGAAUCCUGCUGGAAAUAGAGGUUAAAAAUUUUAUUAGAUCUGCUUACCUUUGUUCAUUCAGCAAAAACACUUACAAUUCACAGCUAGAGAAUCUAUCCAUUGACAAUUGUGGAUUAAAAUUAUAACACCUGAAUUCCAACAUAUCCUUAUGAAGUUAUGAAUUUGUUCAUACUUCAAAUGAUUUUUUUUUCCCAAGCUAAUAAAGCUACCACUUUGAUCAAACGACGACGUUGAAGGAAUUGCGUAUUUUCAAUGUCCUUUUCCAGACAGACGUUCGAGAGAGAGAAAGGAGAAGACUGGCCUAAUUAAGAUAUCUCACAAAGAUUAUUAUUGAGUUAAAAUGUUAUUGUAAAAGAUGUAUAAUACAAUAAUAGUAAUUCUUUUGCAUUGUUAUAAUGAGGCUGGUGGGUUUCCUCAGAGGAUGGAUCUUGCUCGCUAGUAUGCAUUUGGGAAGCUGCUAAUUAUUGGCCAUAAAAAGUCAGGGGGUUGUGGCUCUUCCGUCGCCCAGAAAUUCCUCAACUCAUAUCUCAAACUUCAGAUGAACUUGGGCAUUAUGUAAAUAUGUAUUUUGAGAAUUAAACUAGUGCCUUAGAAAAAAUUUGAGCCAUUGUAAUCAUUUUAUUUUGCUAAGGGAAAAUUUUACUUUGUGUUUCGCUUUGACUUUUUUUUUUUUGCCUUGUGAUAAUAAGAUUCAUACGAAAGUGAUUACACGCCUAUCAUGCAUCUAUUUUCAUUUGCUUGUCAUGAGAGAUCAACAUGCUCGAAAUAAUUACUUAGGUUGGAAAUAUUUGAAUCCACUAAAAUACUAUACAAACCCAUUUUAAAAUUAAAAAAAUGAUUAUCAUAAUACUUGUGAAGAUAACACGAUAUCAUACAUAAAAUAAAAUAUUUCGCAAAAAAGAUACGAUACAAAUCUUGAGUAAACAGGUACAAAAAAUAUUUUUUUUUGGUUAAACCACGAGGUACAAAAAAUAUUUUAGUGGGUUAAGUAGCACUAAUGCCCCCUUAUCAAAAAAUAUAGAAAAAUAACUAGUUUGAUUGGGUAUACCGUUUAUAUAUAUGUACAUAUUCUUGAUAAUGUGUAAUGUAUAUUAUAGACAAAGAUUUUGAAAGCAAUAUUUUUUGGUAUUAUUAUAUAAUAUUUUUUAAAAAGUUGAGAGAAUAGGCAAAGUCCAAAUCAACUUUCUAAUCCCUACCUCCUUUAUGAUUUAAACUUUAGCGUUUAGUGUCGCGAGCCACUCAAAUUUUCUAAUCAAAGAGACUAAAUUGCACGAAAUUGUGCUAGCUUAUUUGAUUCUAGAAAUUUCCAGUACACUGUAACACACUCUCAGGCUUGUACAUACCUCGAAAUUCUCUAGAAUUAAUUUACUAGAGUAGUGUUGCAUGUAGCUUGUACAUAGGUUUUUCUGGAACACUUCAGGUAUUACUAAGCAUGAGAGCUUUGAGAACUCUCUAGCCAUAAAACAUUCUAGGGUAUGUCUACCCUAAAAAUUGGGCAUGAUGCUUGCCACUUGAGCAUACAACAAGUAAGAACAAAUCAAGCAUACUUGUAAGCUCUCAAACUCUCUUAUACACACUUUUAUGAAUAAUAUACUUUCUCUUUGGCUAUAUUGCUCUCUCUUCUCUCUAGUUUUUUCGCAAGCAUCAUACCUUAGUUAGUCGAAAAGUUCAAGGCUUACUUUAUAGCUAUCUCACAAAAGUUGUUUAAGUACCACAUGGAUUUGCUGUGUAAAAUACUCAUCACAUGACAUUAGCUAAAUAGAUUUGUUUGAAAGCCACUUACCCAAACUAUUAAACGAAUAUUAACUUUUGUCUUAAUUUUCUAUCACCUAUGAUAAAAUUUAUAAUUAAAAAUUGAAAAAAUUAAUAACUAUUAGAUAGAGCAUUCUUUACUGUUAAAAGAAAUCUAUAUAGAUAGAUAGAUGGUAAUAUAAAAACUUACUUAUUGUAGUAUAAUGUUUUUAGUUUUUUGAAACAUAGAUUCUUACUUUUUUAAGAUAAAAUUCAAAGAAAACAAGUUAAAUGUUGUGGAAAAUCUUCCAGCCAUACAAGAAAUUGUGAUAGCUAAAUGCAAACCUAACUAAAGUAUUAGUUGUUUUAUUACAAUCUCCAAAAAGAUGAGCAAUUCCAAAAUAUUUUUUUGUAACAAUAAACACUAUAGGUCAGCAAUUAUCCAAGUCAAAAGCAAGCUACUCUAUUAAAAAAAAAAAAAACUUGUAGUGAAUCUGAAGAUAAACCAAUUUUACUAGCAAGUUGGAUACCAAAGAGUAGGGCUUCAGCCUCAAUUACUCAAUGUACCAACAACACAGUCUCGGUGAGUUAAAAUCAACUUCUACCACUCUUUUACUUGCUGAUAGAUCGAUUAAGGUACCAAAAGGAAUAAUCGAAGAUGUAUUAGUUCGAGUUGAUAAAUUCAUAUAUCCUGUGGAUUUUAUUGUUUUGGAAACUGAACCAAUUGCUAAUGAAUGCAAACAAAUUCCUGUUACAUUGGGUCGUCCAUUUUUAGCUACUGCUAAUGCAUUGAUUAAUUGCUGGAAUGGAGUAAUGAGUUUAUCUUUCGGCAACAUGACAUUGGAACUCAAUGUGUUCAACAUAUGUAAACAACCUCACCACCAGGAAGAUGAUGAUAAUGAGAAUGAGGAGAUUGAUUUCAUCGAGCCAAUCAUUGAUGAACACAUUCAGAAUAAGAAUUUUACAAACUCAGUGGAAAUUUAUUCUGCUCGUUCUUUUGAAUCGAGUAAGAAAUUAGAUUACGAUACUGAUAACAUAUACCCUACACUUGAUUCUAUGCAGGUACUUGCUGACGGUGACCAAUCAAACUUUAAAAAUACAGAACAAUCUAAAGAACCAAACGAAGAGGAAGUACCAGAGCUCGAAUUAAAGCCCUUACCGGAAGAAUUGAAGUAUGCCUAUCUUGGAGAAUAACAAACUUAUCCGGUGGUAAUUUCUUCCCAACUCACGCAUGAUCAAGAAGGUAAGUUGUUGUCUGUACUAAAAAGGCAUAAAACUGCAUUUGGUUGGACCUUAAAAGACAUAAAAAGUAUUAAUCCUUUAAUCUGCACACACCGAAUACACUUAAAGGAAAAUACCAGAACAACCCGUUAACAUCGACAUUAUCAGUGUAAACAUUAAAUACCAAAAUCAACCCCAAAAACUAUAACUAAACUAUCAUGACUAAAAUAAAGUUUUUUUUUUUUAGAUAUUCGUUGUAGUAUCUCUUUAGAUGACAAACAAGAGAUAAAAUACAUAAAUAUUUGCUGUGUAAAUAAAAAUAAAUAAUUUUUUUGAACUGAAAAAUAUUCUCAAAAACUAAAUAGUUCAAACUUUUUUUAACAUUAUCGGUUCUGGACCUGAACCGAACCGUGAACCGUAAACUGCCCACCCUUACGUAGUUGUUUCCGUUAACCGAUGUUGUAUUGCUGGUAUAAAAUUGUUCAAAUGUUCAAAUCACAGUCUCCCGCUCUCAGCUCAGUCAGAGUUUCAGGUCCAGAGACUUCCCGCUGACUGAGAGCUUUUUUGUAGCAGUUCUACAAAUAAUGGAGUAGAGCUGAUUUUAUGAUUAAUUUAUUUCCUUUUUCAAUUUCUUAUGAUUGCGAUUUAAUCUGGAAAGUUAAACGUGAAUUGUUUAGUGCGGAUUAAAUGUUCGACGAAUUUCCCGCAAGAGUAUUAAGUUAAAGAGAAAAAAGAAAACAAUUGAGCGUGAGCGUGAGCGUGAGCGAGAAUGGUGUUUGGGCAAGUGGUGAUUGGUCCGCCCGGCUCGGGAAAGACCACUUACUGCAAUGGCAUAACUCAGUUUCUCAGCCUUGUUGGCAGGUAACUUCGUUUCUUGAUUUCAAGCAGCUUUAUCUUUGAUGACCAAAAAAAUUGAUUUGGGCUUUGCCCAUUAAAUGAAUGUAAGAGCGGUAGGGAAUAACUGAGUUAUAGGAUUAGCUUUAAGUGAACAUUGAUGGUAACAUGCGCGUGAAGGUUGUAUGUGUUCAGUGGCAAGCUGUAUGCCAAUUUGGUCUAUAUGGUUGCUUAGGUAGUAACUUAUUAAUUUUUACGCAGGAAGGUUGCAGUCAUCAAUUUAGAUCCUGCUAAUGAUAGUUUGCCGCAUACUUUGUCAUUGAACUUUCUUACAAAUGCUGUGGUUUGUUGUAGUAUAAUUAGUUCAAUUGGAAACUUCCUUGAUGUUAAUAUAGAAAUGAGUGUGCUGUGAAUAUUGAGGACCUCAUUAGACUAAGUGAUGUGAUGAUGGAGUAUUCACUUGGUCCCAAUGGAGGUUAGUCAGCCUAUUGUUGUUUACUCUUUCUUGCUUUAUCACGCAAUGAUAUUCCUUUGCUUUACAACAAAUUUCGUGAAAUUAACUUCAAUCAAGUGGCAAUGUUCAUAUGCUGUUGAGAUUUUAUGGACAAUGAUUGGUAGACUUUAUAUGCCGUCUUCUUUCUUUUUGCAGUGAUAUGCUUGUAUUCAAUGAGCAUGUACUUAUUCUAUGGUUUCUAAAGUAGGUGUUUUUAUGAUAAACUAGGUCUUGUGUAUUGUAUGGACUAUCUAGAGAAGAAUAUUGACUGGCUGCAGUCGAAAUUAGAACCACUUUUGAAAGGUAAGAAGAGGCCAUUUUCCUUCAUUCUAAUGCCAAUAAUGCUGUCAUGAGACUCAUAAAAAUGUUAAAACGUUAAUGUUUUUGGUAUUUUGCAGAUCAUUAUCUUCUGUUUGAUUUUCCUGGCCAAGUUGAAUUAUUUUUUCUUCAUUCCAAUGCCAAGACUGUUAUAAUGAGACUCAUAAAGAAGUUAAAUCUCAGGGUAUUGUUACAUCUUACAUCUAUGAAGGGACUCAAAGAGUUGAGAUGAAUUCAUCUUUGUUAUUUUGAUGCCAGAAUUGUGCAAUUCUCAGUUGGUUCCUUGCACAUGCAGUUGACUGCAGUGCAUCUAGUUGAUGUGCAUCUUUGCAGUGACCCCGGGAAGUAUGUUAGUGCUUUGCUUCUCUCAUUGUCUACGAUGCUACAUCUGGAACUUCCCCAUGUCAAUGUCUUGUCUAAUCGAUCUGAUUGAGAAUCAUGGAAAGCUAGGUGUGGUUUUAAGUGUAUCUCUCCUACUUGUUUGUUUAGUUUGAAAUAUCAGAUAUUGUCACAAGCUCCUAUUUGCUACAUUUCCUCACCAAUCAAUUACUUUGGGUAUGUUGCAGCUUUUAAUCUCGAGUACUAUACAGAUGUGCAAGAUUUGUCAUAUUUACAGCAUGCUCUCGGUCAGGACCCUCAUUCUGCUAAGUACAGGUUUGAAUUCUAGCUGAAUCAAUGAUGCAAAUUAUGUUCAUUGCUAUUUCUGCUGUUGUUUCUAUCAUUUUCAAUUGUUACCUCCCCUUGCCAUCUACUGCCACACUGCAAUGCCUACACAAAUGUUAUGAAAUUUGUCAAUGGCAAUGCCAUCCUGUUUGUCCAGAGACAGCUCUUAGAUGCAAGUGAACAAUUUUUGGCUUUGGCCGUAGUACAGCCUUAGAUUUCAACUUGCCAUAUCUUGUCUCGGAAGUCAAAAGAAAGCGUAUAUGUUAGCCAAAUUUUAUUUGAAUUUAUUAAGUAACAAUGAAUGGGUCAGAAAAACAGUUCCUCUUUUGUUUUGAUCAGACUCAAUGAAUAAGUGUUUAAAAUGUGCCUGUCCUAAAAAUAUAGAUGUGUGGUUUCACAAAAUUUUCUUGAUCUUAAGAAAGAGUUAUCUUGAAAAGAAGAUAACAUGGAGAAUUCAGCAACUAUACAGUCAUAUUGAUGUCUGUCAACUUGGGUCAGAUGGUGUCGUUUGGAUGGAGAUGUUAGGUCCCAGAUGGUAUGCUUGUUAUCAAAUUCCAGUCUAAUUCAUUCAUGCUUUGAUGACAUAUGCGGUGCAGCUUCUUAUCUAAGACCUGUAUAUGUUCAGUCAUCAUUCAGUUCUGUAUUUGGCUGUCAUUCUUUCAAUGAAUUCAAACCACUUUCUGAAUACUUGCAAGGGAAAUUAUCAUUCGUAUACCCUAUAUUUACUCUGUUAUCAAAAAUACUACAACACUUUGAGGGUGUAUCAAUCGUCCACCAUAAGUUGACAAAAUGUAUCAACCGACCACCAAACCGUUAAUUGUCGUUUGAAAGUUAACGGAAUUACAGUGAAUUGACGAUUUUACCCUUGAAAAUUAUCACUUGUAUACCCAUAAAAUUCUCUUUUUAGCACUUGUAUACCCUUAAAUUAUCACUUGUAUCAUAUGAAAAGACCAAAUUACCCUUCUGAUGUUAUCAUAUUUAAACGGCAACUAACGGUUUGGUGGUCGGCUGAUACAUUUUGUCAACUUAGGGUGGACGAUUGAUACACCCUCAAAGUGUUGUAGUAUUUUUGAUAAUUGAGUAAACUAAGGGUAUACAAGUGAUAAUUUCCCUACUUGCAAAUUCAUCCAGUGUUGUCAUUGAGAUGCCAAUAUGUAAAGGAGCAAUAGUUGCCCUUGAUAGUAUGCUUAUUGAUUGCCUCUUGCCUCACUCAGCCUAAGGAAUCUGGUUGUAUGGUGUUCUUGUAAUUUCAUUUGGAGAUAAGUAAUAUCUGUUGUUCAAAUGUAUUUUAUAUACAACCAGUUCAUAAUUCUGCUUGCAGAAAGCUUACAAAGGAGCUGUGUGAUGUAAUAGAAGACUACAGUCUGGUCAAUUUUUCAACUUUAGAUAUUCAGGUCAUCAGUUUCUCUUGAAUUCUUUCUUGAGUUUCUUUGAAUUAUUUGUGAAUAAGAUCUUAGUUGGCUGCUCCUCUUCAGGAUAAGGAAAGUGUGGCAAAACUCGUGAAGCUGAUAGAUGAAAGCAAUGGGUACAUCUAUGCUGGCAUGGAUGCCAGGGCAGUUGAAUUCAGCAAGAUUGCCGUUCGCGAUGUUGAUUGGGAUUAUUUCGGAUAUCCUUCUUUUCACCUAUUUUCAAUCUUGUUAUUCUCAUAUUCAUAAAACAUUUUGGUUAUUUAAUUAUGGUUCAUCAUAUGCAUCUGCAUCUUCUAACUUGUUCGUUUGAGAAACUAAUUUUGCCGUUAGGUAGGCUUCAAGCUUGAUUCAUGCUUUUUUCAAAAAUGUACCAAAAUCAUGGAAACUUCUUUUUCCCAGAUAUUGUAUCCACACUUUUCCCAUAUAAUUGGGUCAGACAAGUUUUGCUUAACAAAGAUAUCUACAGUAGCCGAAGUGCAGGAGAAGUACAUUAAGGAUGAUGACGAUGUUAACUAAAAUGGGACGUGAAGAUAUGUGGUGUGCAAACCGUAAGCCUGCCUCUUAUUUUUGUGCAUGUUUACUUGCUUGUGAUUCACGUUUGUUAAUCUAUUUUGCUCUCUUGCAGGAGUUAUAAAGUUUUCAAUCAAUCAAACAUUUAACUCAAGUCCUUAGCUCUUCACGGCUUGAAUGGGUCAGAUAGGACAAGCGCCGAAGAGGUGGUUUUAAUCAAACCCCUCCUAAUUAUGAUGUAUGGUCCAAAUCUCGGACUUUCUGUACAAUAUCGAGCGAUUCGGACCUUUCAAGUCGAAUAUUGAUUUUUCUCCAGUAUUGUUUGUAAUUACAAGAAACGAAGUAAUGAAAUUUAUCACUGCGUUCAUAGUUAUGCUUAAGCUCAAAGAUUACCGUCAAGAUCAUUUUGGGCCCUCAAAGAAACAUGAUGUUGACACAUGUAAAAUUAUGAAGCUUGUGAUUAAAAUACUUUUGACAUAUAUAUGUUAAGUACUAUUAAUAAUUAAACAUAUGAAUAAAUAUGGUCAAUGAGGAGAGGAUAAAAUAAAAUGGUUUCAUUUUUUGAAUUACUCAACCGCUUCAAACUUCUAAGAAGUAGAUAUACAAUGAGUGGAAUACUGAAUUGAGUGCGAGCUGCGGAUAACUUAUAAAAUUGGGAUGCAAGCUUCAAGGAAAGUGUAUUGCUAUUCAAAUGUAGAUUUCAAAUUAGGAAGAUAUGCCAGCAAAUUGUAUAAAAAUGUAUAAAUUGAUCAGUAACAUUAAUUCCAAAUGAUGAAAUGAGUUAUCUUGAUCAAAAGGUCAAGAACCUACCUUACUUCUCUUAGAGAUAACUUGCAUCAACCGUUGUGGUAUUCAUACUUGUCUUCAGCUAGUAAAAGUGAAAGUUUCACAAUUGAAAUAAAGCUAAGGGAAGAUGCUAUGCUGCAUUUAUUAUUAUUAUUAUUGAUGUGGUCGAGAAGUAAAGCCAUGCAUAUGAUGAAGUAUAAAUAAGAAUGCAAUAGCCCGGAAUUCAUUUUCACAAACACUUCAAUAUCCUUUUGAUCACUUUUGCAAACAUCAAUUUGUCUCCUCUUGUAUUCACCAUGGUUGAUGCCGUCAUUUCCCCUCUCGUGGAGCAGCUGACUUCCUUCGCUGCUAAAGAGAUAAUACAACAGGUGAUCGAAGUUAAACCCCCCAUAUUAUAAAUACUUCUAAUGAUUUUAAUUGGUUUUGUUUUUAUCGAAAACAUUAACUUUGCUUUAUUUUACUUAUUUAGGCAUUUUAAAUUUUGAAAUUUGAAUUGAAUUUAAUUAAAAUGUGAUGUAGUUAGUAACCACUUUUUUUUAUUUCAUUUAAAUUCUCAAUAACUACCUAUAUUUUGGUAACUUACUGUAACCCCCGUAUCUAAGAAAUGAUCAAAACCCACAAUUUUAACUCCACAUAAAUAUUCCAUGUUGAGCUAAGUUCGAUGUUGAGGUAAGUUUUUGCAUAACAUUCAAGUUUGUCAAAUAGUCAUUAAUUAAAUGUUUAGUAAAAACUUAUCUCUGAAAAAUUUCAUAAUUUUCUUACAUUCUUUGAGUUUGGUAAGUGACUUCAUAUAAUUUCCUUUCAAUUUAAAUUUUAAUUUGGUUUCUGAUAUAGUCUCUUUACUGAAUUUAUAUCUUUUAUGAUUCUUGGAUUUGGGGCUCCAACUUUUUAGGAUUUGAUAGUCACAUUUUAUGGCAUGCUUAGAUUGAUUUUCAUGAUUUUUAGUACUCGUUAAGUGACUGAGAAUUUGACAAAAGUUUGAAAGGAAAUCCGUUUCACGAUUCUUAUGUGGAAGGUUCAUAAAAUCAUUAAAUUUGGAUAGGAUUCAUUAGCAAUAUGUACAAGACUCUCCAUGAAGUUUCGUAAUUUUUCAUUCGGUCUGGGGUGGUACAGGUAAAGCUUGUGGUUGGUGUUGAAAAAGAAGUGAAAAGCCUUACCAGCCACCUUCAAGCCAUUCAAGCUGUUAGCGAUGAUGCAGAGGAAAAGCAAGUGAAGGACAAAGCUAUUAGACUUUGGCUGGGUAGGCUCAAGUACGCAUCCUACGACAUUGAAGAUGUGUUGGAUGAAUGGAUCACGGCAAGAGGCAAAUUGCAAAUUAAGGGUGGCGCUGAUAAGAAAAAGAAGGUUUGUUUCUGCUUUCCCGCCUCUUGUUUUGGAUUCAAACAAGUCUUUCUACGUCAUGACAUUGCCAACAAGAUCAAAGAAGUCAGUGAAGAGCUACAUGAUAUUGCCACCCAAAAAGACAUGUUUAAAUUUGAGAGUAGCAGUAAAAGUAGUGAAAGACCAAGGCGUGUGCAGAGUACCUCCUUGAUUGAUGAGGAAGAGAUUUGUGGUAGAGUUGGUGAGAGGAAUGCACUCUUAAGCAUGCUGUUGUGUGAGAGCAGUGAGCAACAAAAAGGCCUUCAUAUCAUCUCAAUUGUUGGUAUGGGAGGCAUCGGGAAAACAACUCUUGCACAACUAGCAUGUAAUCAUGUUGAGGUAAAGAGAGAGUUUGACAAAAUUUUAUGGGUGUGUGUAUCAGAAACUUUUGACGAGUUUAGGAUUGCCAAAGCGAUGCUUGAAGCUUUGACUGGUUCAACUUCUAAUUUAGAUGCAUUGCAAUCUCUUCUUAUAAGUAUUGAUGAAUCUAUUGCGGGAAAGAGAUUUCUUCUUGUCUUAGAUGACGUGUGGGACGGAGAUUACAUUAAAUGGGAACCAUUCUACCGUUGCCUAAAGAAAGGUCUCCAUGGAAGUAAAAUUUUAAUUACGACACGUAAGGAGUCAAUUGUGAGCAUGAUGAGAUCCACAGAUAUUAUCUCUAUCAAGGAAUUGGCUGAAGAAGAAUGUUGGGCAUUGUUUAAGCGGUUAGCAUUUUUCGGUCGUUCCACUGAGGAGUGUGAAAAAUUGGAACAAACUGGUCAAAGAAUUGCAAGAAAGUGUAAAGGUUUACCUCUUGCUGCAAAGACAAUGGGAAGUCUCAUGAGCUCUAAAAAAAUUGAAGAAGAGUGGAAAAGAAUUUUAAAUAGUGAUUUAUGGAAGGUAGAAGAGAUCGAGAAAGGUGUUCUAACCCCUUUGUGGUUGAGUUAUAACGAUUUGCCAUCUAGAGUAAAAAGAUGUUUCUCGUAUUGUGCUGUCUUUCCAAAAGACUACAAUAUAGAAAAAGACAAACUAAUUACUUUGUGGAUGGCUCAAGGUUAUCUUAGUGCAGAAGCAGCAGAACAAGAUGAGGAGUUGGAGACUAUAGGUGAAGAGUAUUUUGGCAUCUUAGCUUCUCGCUCUUUCUUUCAAGAGUUUGAGAAACGUUAUGAUAAUCGUAUUAUAGCGUGCAAGAUGCAUGAUAUGGUACAUGAUUUUGCCCAAUUUGUUAGUCAAAAUGAAUGUUUUUCGUUGGAAGUUAAUGGUAGUGAGGAACUAAACGUCACAAACUCUACAAACUCUCUUGAUGAGAAGGUCCGUCAUUUAAUGUUAAUCUUUAGUAAAGGGGCUUCAUUACCGGUUUCCACUCUUAGAGUUAAAAGAAUGCGUACCCUCUUAAUUAACGAUAGUAGAUCUGAUCAUUCAUUAUUAAAUGGUGAGAUCCUAGAAGAAUUAUUUAGGGAGUUGACAAGUUUAAGGGCAUUAGAUUUUGGCAAAUCGUAUAACUCAAGUUGGUAUUCGACUCUGGAGAUUCCGAGAAACAUAGAAAAGCUGGUACAUUUAAGAUACCUUAAUUUGUUUUAUCAGGGAAUAAAGAAACUACCGGAGACAUUAUGCGAGUUGUAUAAUCUAGAAAAGUUAGAUAUUAGUUUAUGUUUUAAUCUUAAAGAAUUACCUGAAGGGAUUGGGAAGUUAAUAAACAUGAAGCAUUUACGAAAUAGAGGUACUAGUUCUUUAAGGUACAUGCCAGUAGGGAUUGGGAGAUUAACGGGUCUCAGGACCUUGGAUGAGUUCCACGUGAGUGGAGGAGGAGGUGUUGAUUGUAGGAAAGCAUGUAGGCUUGAAUCUCUCAAAAACUUGGAAAACCUUCGAGUGUGUGGUAUAUGUAGACUGGGUGAUGUAUCAGAAGUGGGCGAGGCUAAGCGAUUAGAACUUGACAAAAAGAAAUACCUCUCUUGUUUGAGACUUCGGUUUGAUAAGAAGAAAGAAGAAGGAGAAAGGAGGAAGAACGAGUACGAUCAACUUCUUCUUGAAGCCCUACAACCACCUCUCAAUUUAAAGGAAUUAGAGAUAGAGUACUACCGAGGCAACACUGUUUUCCCCAGCUGGAUGACGUCAUUAACCAACUUAAAGAGUUUAGAUCUCUCUUCCUGUGAAAAUUGCGAGCAGCUGCCUCCUUUGGGAAAAUUGCCAUCCCUUGAAAAUCUCCACAUAUAUCGCAUGGAGAGUGUGAAAAGAGUGGGUGAUGAAUUUUUGGGGAUAGAAAGUGAUCAUCAUGGCUCAUCUUCAUCGGUUAUUAUUGCCUUCCCCAAAUUGAAAUCACUCACAAUUUCUUUGAUGCUGGAAUUGGAGGAGUGGGAUUAUGGGAUUACAAGAACGGGAAACACCGUCAUCAUCAUCAUGCCACGUCUUUCUUCCUUGACAAUUGGGAAUAGUCCCAAAUUAAAGGCACUGCCCAACCACAUUCAUCAAACGACAACAUUGAAGACAUUGCGCAUUUGGAGGUGUGACCUUCUGGAAGAACGUUACCGCAAGGGGGAAGGAGAAGACUGGCCUAAGAUAUCACACAUUCCCAAUCUCCAUUUUGGGCUUUGACAAGUAAUUUCUUCUCUUACUCUGAUUUGCUUUGUUGUUGUUUUUAAUCUAAUUAAGAAGCGUAAAUAGCAUUUUGAAUCAAACUCUAUAUCAGAAAUCUGCAAUACUUACUUUCUAAUAUUCUGAUUUUCAUAUCCUAUGAAUAUACGAUUUUUAAUUUGUGGGAUGGGUAACGUUACUGUAAAAGAUUAUUAAUGCAAUAUGAGUAAUUCUUUUGCAGGACAAGUGGCCUACAUUUAGUUUGGCUUUGGAGUUGAAUAAUAACCUUUCGAGGUCCCGACAACCAAAAAACGAAACUUAAUUUGCCACAGAUUGCACGUAUUGCCAUUAUUGACAAUUUUCUGCACAAGCUUAGGUUGAUGUCAAAAGAGGUAAAUUAUUGGCAUGCCUGACUAUUUUGACCAUUACAUGAUUCAUAAGUUUACAUUAAUUUUGAUUUUGAGUUGAGUGAUUAAUUUUCUAGGUUUGCUUACUUUAACUGGGUGACCAAUUUCUUGUAACCAAAUGUAUGAUGUGAUGCAGGAAGCAGGGCAGGACAUGAAAAGAGAAGCUUAUUAGAGGAAGGAUUGCCAGUAACAGAAUCCAAAGAAAAAGAAACCAUUUCGAGGCAGCAGUUGGCAGUUGGCAGUGAAUGGAGCCCCUUGAAAAAACCCCCAAGCGGUUGCACUGCAAUUACGAUCAUCCUCGGCCUCAGGUAAUUUCUUCUCCUGCAUUUUUGUUAUUUGCUAUCAAGUGACUAUUUUAAGUAUGAUUGCAUUAAGCUGCUGCUGGGAAAUUUGAGGUUUUGAUGACUGCCCAUGCUAUUGUAAGAAGCUGCGGUUCUUUUCAUCAGCCUGAACCUGGACCUGCCGCUAUGGAUAACUCAGUUUUUCUUUUUUUUAAUCAACUGCCAUCUUUUCCACUGUUUAGAAACUCUUUAAGAUUAAACUUUAGUAAAGUUGUUUUAGUUAUUCAUGUAAUCAGGCUGAGGAUACUUAGCUGCCUAUUUAGGCAAAUGUCAGAAUUUAGUUUGUUCGCUGGGUACUGGUGGGGACUGGCAAAGGAUGAUGAGAUAGUUUUUUGAGUGAGUAAAUUUUGGGAGCUUGAGUGUAUUGGGAUUUGCAAUUACAAUCAUCGUCUGCCUCAGGUGAUUCUUUUUCCUGCUCUGUCAUUGUUUGUUCUCUAAUUCAAAAGCAUAAAAUAUUUCAAUCAAUUUUUAUGCCAGGAAUAUGCAAAAGUUUCUAAUAUUUUAUUUCCAUCUGUUACAAGAUCAAACUGAAGCAGAACUCAAACAAAAGUAUGCUACUUCUUGCGGAAAUCUUGCCUUUGUUCAGAUUAUGAAACCAUUUCCAUGCAGCAAAUUCAUCCAAAAGUUUGAAUAAGUUUCACGGUUGGACACUGUUGGCUUCUUUUUCUUCUGGGGUGCAUUUAGGUGCUAUCAAGUGACAGCUGUAAGUAUGAUUGCACUAAGCUGCUGCUGGGAAAUUUGAGGUUUUGAUGGCUGCCCAUGUUAUUUUCAAUAAACUAUUGAUGUAAGAAGCUGUGGUUCUUUUCAUCAGCUUGAACCUGAAACUGUCGCUAUGGAUAACUCAGGUUUUUGUUAUCAACUAUAUCAUCUUUUUCACUAUUUUGAAACUCUUAAGAUUAAACUUUAGUAAAGUUGUUUCAGCUAUUCAAAUGAAAAACUCAUUGAUUUGAGAAUUCCUUCAUUAUUGUUUCUAAUUACAAUGCUAACGAUCCAGAUAAAAUAAUAUUUAAUCGGCGAAGGUGUCCCUUGGAAGUACAUCCUUCUUUUUCUUUUAUUAUAUCAAUUCUUGCAAUGAGCUUAGUGAAGCUGUUGUGCUAAUCAUGCCACUGCAUAAUUUGGCCCCUAAUGUGGGUACUCUGUUACAUUGUUCUGCAAAUUCUCCAGAAGUUAAAAUCAAUAAAUUUUCUAUUAGCUCUAGUGCUUUGACCUAAAUGCUAUUCUAUAUUCUGAUUACAAUGUUUUAACCUUUAAAUUAACUACCCCUAGAUGUUGGAUUUUCUAGAACUUCAAAAUGAUUAAUGGAGAAAGAUCCCAUUAUCGUUAUUGCUAUAAGAAAUUGAUUUAUGCAUCCAAAGAUACAUUAUAUAUUUCUGUGUCUCUAUUUAUAGAUGACAUUUAAGCAUCCAUAAACCGUCAGACAGAGGAAGGGGGUUCAGUGCAAAGAUUCUGUUGACCUAGGGUUGACUGCAUAUGUCACUUGUUCGCAAUCUAUUAUUUAUUUUAUAUUUUGAAGAAUUUAAUGGGUAAUCCUAAUUGUUUGUUUUGGCAGGUAUGUGUUGUUAUCUCCUUCUAUCUAACAGUCGUACCUAAAUAGCAUAGUUUCAUCUGUGUUACCAUGUGAUGUACAUAAUUUCACAUUUGCCUCAGAUUAAGCUUAAUUUCCCACAGAAUAGAGCUGUCGCGACUGGACUUAGGUUGAUGUCCAAAGAGGUAAAUUAUUGGUAUGCCUAGAUAAUUUGGCCAUUUCCUAAUUCAUAAGUCUACAUUAAUUUUGAUUUUGAGUUGACUGAUUUCUUUUCAAGGUCUGCUUCCUUAACGGAGUGACCAAUGUUUUUCAACUAAAUUUAUCAUAUGAUGCAGGAAGCAGGGCAGGAUAUGCAAUGAGAAUCUCAUUGGUGGAAGUAUUGCCAGUAACAGAACCCAAAGAAAAUGAAACUGUUUCAAGGCAGCAGUUGGCAGUUGCAAGUGAAUGGAGGCCCUUGACAAAAUUCUCAAGCGGUUGCAAUGCAAUUACGAUCAUCCUCAGCCUCAGGUAAUUUCUUCUCCUGCUUUGUAUUUAUUUGUUAUCUAAUUAGGAAGCGUAAAGUAUCUUGAAUCAUUUUCUGUAUCUGGAAUAUAUGCAAGAGUUUCUAAAAUUUUGAUAUGAGUGUGAUGAUGGUAAUUUCUGUUUUCUGUCUGUCUUCAAAUGUUAGAAAACUUUCAUUGAGACGCUUGAACCGAGUCAUUUUUGACAAGUGAAGUGCUGAAGAGUGAAGAGUAAGAAUGGUGCUAGAUUGGGGAAUAAAGCAAAAGGAGGUAAAUUAUUGGCAGCUUCUUCAGCCUUAUUUUCUUUGGACCAGUGCCUAACUCACAAGUCUCCAUAAUUCGGCUUUUGACCAGUUGAUAGAUAAAAUUUUAAUUUCAUUGGUGCUAAUGUACCCGUGAAGCAGGCAGAGAAGGACUGUGGAAAAGAGAAGGUUUUUAGUGAAAGCUUAAACUCAGGUAAUUCUAAAAAUUAUAUGUUUUGGCUGAUUUAUCUAAAUCAGGAAAUUUUAUUUCCAUCUGUUACAAUAAAACAGAAACAGAACACAAAGAAAAAUAUUCUACUUCUUGUGGCAAUCUUGCCUUCAUUCAGACUAUGAAACCAUUUCCUUUCACCAAUUUCUUCCAAAAUUUUGAACACGUUUCAUGGUUGGACAUAGUUAUCUUCUUUUUCUUUUGGUGCAUUUAGGUACUAUCAAGUGACAGCCAUAAGUAUGAUUGCAUUGUUGGGAAAUUUUAGGUUUUGAUGGCUCCCCAUGUUAUUGCCAAGAAAUUUUAAGUCCUCAUGUCAGAAGCUGCGUUUCUUUUCAUCAGCCUGAACCCGAACCUGUCACUAUGGAUAACUGAGGUUUUUGUCAUCAACUAUAUCAUCUUUUUCACUGUUUUGAAACUCUUAAGAUUAAACUGUUGAGAAGUCAAUAUUAGCCCAAAUAAGUCCACACCUAAAUUAAUUUGAUGUCAUUGCUUACAUCAAUUUAGUUAGGUGAAUAUUAGCCCAAAUAAGUCCACACCUAAAUUAAUUUGAUGUCAUUGCUUACAUCAAUUUAGUUAGGUGAAAAUUAGGUAUUUUUCCCAUGUUUAAUUUCAAUGGUUUAAAUUAGUUUGUGGUUAUUUUAAUGAGUGGUUUAGAUUGUUUCUUGUAACCUAUAAAUACCUCAUUUGUAUUUGAGUUUUAUUAUUCAACAAUAAAAAGCUUUAUUAUAAGCAUUUGAAAGCUUUCUUAAGAGUUCUUCUCUUUUUGCAAUUUUGUGAGAUUAUUCUAAAGAGAGUUUUUCUUCUUCUUGAUCAAUUAGAGUUUUUACUCUAUUUUGAUUCAACAUUUGGUAUCAGAGCAUUGGUUGUAAAGUCUCUUGAAAUUCCGAGUAUGCUCUGUGGUUGCAGUUUUGACUGAUCUUCCACAUCAGAAAAGAUUUCUUGAGAUUAUUGCUGGGGUUAUCACAAACCUUGAGAGGGAGCUUCUUUGUGUCAAGAGUAGUGUAUUAUUCUGCACGGUAGUCACUCAAGAUUGUUCGGUGUAGUCAAAGUCUUGUCGAUACGAUGGGUGAUCUUCAAGUUGUUGGAGGAAUCAAGAAGCUCAACAACCAAAACUAUAACACGUGGGCAACGUGUAUAGAAUCUUACCUUCAAGGUCAAGACUUGUGGGAGGUUGUCGGUGGUAGUGAAGUUACACAACCGGCAGCGGAAGAUGCUAACGGCGUCUUGCGGAAGUGGAAAAUUAAAGCAGGCAAAGCAAUGUUUGCUUUAAAGACCACAAUAGAAGAAGAAAUGUUGGAGCACAUUCGGGAUGCUAAAUCACCGAAGGAAGCGUGGGACACCUUCGCUACACUCUUUUCGAAGAGGAACGAUACAAAAUUGCAACUUCUCGAGAAUGAACUUCUAUCAAUGGUGCAACGCGACAUGGCGGUUGCCCAAUACUUUCACAAGGUGAAGUCGAUAUGCCGUGAAAUUUCAGAAUUAGAUCCGACAGCUGCUAUUGGGGAAGCCAGGAUAAAAAGAAUAAUUGUCCAUGGCUUGAGACCCGAAUACCGAAGCUUUGUAGCCGCUGUACAAGGAUGGCCGACACAACCAUCACUUGUUGAGUUUGAAAAUUUGCUGACAGGCCAAGAAACUAUGGCCAAGAAAAUGGGAGGAGUCUCACUAAAGGGUGAAGAGGAAGCGCUUUACACCAACCAAAGCAGAGGUGGUUCAAGACAGCACAACAAAGGCGGAUCUAGAAAGACUGGUGAACAGACAAAAAGUCAUCAGGGAGGGAAUGGCUCUCGUCCAGGGGGAGCUUCGAAGAAUCGUGACAGUAAUAGAAAGUUCGAUGGCGAAUGUUACAAUUGCGGGAAGAAGGGCCACAUGAAGAGAGAUUGUUGGUCCAAAAAGAAGUCUACCGAAAGCAAUAUUGCUACUUCUAGUUCUAAAGAAGAUAGUGAAGAUAGCUGGGAUGCCGAAGCAUUACUCGCUAUGGAGGAAGAAGAAUUAGCUCUCACGGUAACAACACCAGAAAAGAUUAACUACGAGAAUGAUUGGAUCGUAGACUCAGGCUGCUCAAAUCACAUGACGGGUGAUAGACAGAAGUUGCAAAACUGUUCUGAGUACAAGGGAAAUCGUGUGGUGGUAACAGCUGACAACUCAAGGUUACCGAUAGCUCACAUCGGUAAAGCGAUCGUUACACCUCGAUAUAGUCCCAACCAAGUGCCACUUCAAGAUGUCUACCAUGUUCCAGGAAUGAAGAAAAAUUUGCUAUCCGUAGCUCAAUUGACAUCAUCAGGCCACUAUGUCUUGUUUGGUCCACAAAAUGUGAAGGUAUUUCGAGACCUGAAGAUCUCAGAAAACCCUACGAUGGAGGGACGACGAUUGGAGUCAGUUUAUGUGAUGUCAGCUGAGUCUGCAUACGUAGACAAGACAAGAAGGAAUGAGACGGCAGAUCUGUGGCACAUGCGGCUAGGUCAUGUUAGUUAUUCCAAGCUAAGUGUGAUGGUGAAGAAGUCGAUGCUUAAGGGACUUCCACAACUUGACGUGAGAACAAAUACUGUUUGCGCGGGAUGUCAAUAUGGUAAAGCACAUCAAUUGCCAUACGAGGAGUCGAAGUUUAAAGCAAAGAAACCAUUAGAGUUAAUUCACUCUGAUGUGUUUGGACCAGUUAAGCAACCAUCAAUUGGCGGAAUGCGGUAUAUGGUUACGUUCAUUGAUGAUUUCUCCAGAUAUGUAUGGGCUUUCUUCAUGAAAGAAAAAUCUGAAGCAUUCUCAAAGUUCAAAGAGUUCAAAGAGAUAGUCGAAGGAGAAGUGGAGCAAAAGAUUCGUUGCUUGCGCACAGACAACGGGGGUGAGUAUAGCUCGAGAGAGUUUUCUCAAUACCUACGGGAAUGCCAAAUACGUCAUCAGUAUACUUGUGCCAAUACGCCACAACAAAAUGGUGUAGCAGAGAGGAAGAAUCGGCACCUUGCUGAAAUUUGCCGGAGUAUGCUACAUGCGAAGAAUGUACCUGGAAGAUUUUGGGCCGAAGGUAUGAGAACUGCAGCUCAUGUCAUCAACAAGCUUCCUCAACCAAGGUUGGAGUUUGUUUCACCCUUUGAGAAAUUGUGGAACAAGAAACCUACAGUUAGCUAUUUUCGAGUAUUCGGUUGUGUAUGCUAUGUAUUUGUUCCUGACCAUCUACGUAGCAAGAUCGAUAAGAAAGCAGUCAGAUGUAUCUUUGUGGGAUACGACAAUCAGCGAAAAGGGUGGAAGUGUUGUGAUCCAGUAGAUGGAAGGUGCUACACAUCACGAGAUGUGGUGUUUGAUGAAGCAUCCUCAUGGUGGACCUCAGAAAAAGAAGUGCUGCCAGACUCGAAAGAAUUCGGAGACAUGCUACAACAAAAGAUGGGGGAGCAUACUGUCCAAAUUCAUCUAAGCUCAGCUGGGGAUCUAUGCGAUAGUGAUAGCGAACGAAGAGUAACUCUAAAUCCUUGGCAAUCUGGGGUGUAUCGACAACCAGAUGAAGAAGGUGUGCCUAGUGAAACAGAAGAAUCAACUCCAUUACGAAGGUCAACAAGAACCCGAAGGCCAAAUCCCAAAUACGCUAAUGCAGCCAUAGUUGAAGAAGCAACUGGAAUAGAACCUGAGACGUUCGAAGAAGCGUCACAGAGUUCUGAGUGGAUGACAGCUAUGAAAGACGAGAUCACUGCACUUGAGCAAAAUCAGACCUGGGAACUCGUGCCAAAGCCAAAAGAUGUGAAACCCAUAUCCUGCAGAUGGGUUUACAAAAUAAAGCACUGUCCAGAUGGGUCAAUCGAGAGGUACAAGGCUCGAUUGGUAGCUCGUGGUUUCUCUCAACAAUAUGGACUAGAUUAUGACGAAACGUUUAGUCCAGUGGCAAAACUUACAACCGUCCGAGUCUUACUUGCACUUGCAGCCAACAAAAGCUGGAACUUGUGGCAGAUGGACGUGAAGAAUGCCUUUCUCCAUGGAGAGCUGGAUAGAGAGAUCUACAUGAUUCAACCGAUGGGUUUUCAGAACCGAGGUCACCCUGAGUAUGUGUGUAAACUGCGAAAGGCUCUCUACGGACUAAAACAAGCACCCAGGGCGUGGUAUGGCAAGAUUGCUGAAUUUCUAACUCAAAGUGGGUAUUCAGUAACAUCUGCAGACUCCAGCUUGUUUGCUAAAGCUAAUGGAGAAAGGAUAGCUAUUGUGCUCGUGUACGUAGAUGAUCUAAUCAUCACUGGAGAUGAUGUUGAAGAAAUUUUCCGAACAAAGGAGAACUUGUCAGUUCGUUUUCAAAUGAAAGAACUUGGACAACUUAAGCAUUUCCUUGGGCUAGAGGUUGAUCAGACGAAAGAAGGGAUAUUUCUUUGUCAACAGAAAUAUGCCAAAGAUUUGUUGAAGAAGUUUGGGAUGCUAGAAUGUAAGCCGAUCUCAACACCGAUGGAACCAAAUGCCAAGAUGUGUGCACAUGAAGGCAAAGACCUGGAAGAUGCAUCGAUGUAUCGACAAUUAGUGGGUAGUCUAAUCUACUUAACCUUGACUCGACCUGACAUUUCUUAUGCAGUUGGCGUGAUGAGUCGAUACAUGCAAAAUCCGAAGAAGUCUCAUUUAGAAGCGGUUCGGCGAGUACUCAGAUAUGUGAAGAGUACAAUAGACUAUGGUCUUUUAUACAAGAAAGGUGGAAAUUGCAAACUAGUUGGCUACUGUGAUGCUGACUAUGCAGGAGAUCACGAUACUCGCAGAUCAACUACUGGGUAUAUGUUUACCCUUGGAUCUGGAACGAUUUCUUGGUGUAGCAAGAGACAACCGACUGUGUCCAUGUCAACUACGGAAGCAGAGUAUCGAGCAGCAGCAAUGGCAGCUCAAGAAAGCACGUGGCUGAUACAACUAAUGAAUGAUCUACAUCAACCACUAGAUUAUACAGUUCUGUUGUACUGUGACAACCAAUCGGCAAUUCGGCUGGCGGAGAAUCCUGUUUUUCAUGCAAGAACUAAACAUGUGGAAGUGCAUUACCACUUUGUUAGGGAAAAAGUUCUGCAAGAAGAGAUUGAGAUGAGGCAAGUCAAGACAGAUGAACAAAUUGCUGACUUGUUUACAAAAAGCUUGAGUGUUGGAAAGUUUGAACAUUUCCGUCGUCAGCUUGGCAUGAUUCAAAGAAUGGGGGCUAACAUUGAGGGGGAGUGUUGAGAAGUCAAUAUUAGCCCAAAUAAGUCCACACCUAAAUUAAUUUGAUGUCAUUGCUUACAUCAAUUUAGUUAGGUGAAUAUUAGCCCAAAUAAGUCCACACCUAAAUUAAUUUGAUGUCAUUGCUUACAUCAAUUUAGUUAGGUGAAAAUUAGGUAUUUUUCCCAUGUUUAAUUUCAAUGGUUUAAAUUAGUUUGUGGUUAUUUUAAUGAGUGGUUUAGAUUGUUUCUUGUAACCUAUAAAUACCUCAUUUGUAUUUGAGUUUUAUUAUUCAACAAUAAAAAGCUUUAUUAUAAGCAUUUGAAAGCUUUCUUAAGAGUUCUUCUCUUUUUGCAAUUUUGUGAGAUUAUUCUAAAGAGAGUUUUUCUUCUUCUUGAUCAAUUAGAGUUUUUACUCUAUUUUGAUUCAACAUAAACUUCAGUAAAGUUGUUUCAGUUAUCUAUGUAAUCAGGCUAAGGAUAUUUAGCAGCUUAUUUAGGCAACUGCCAGAAUUCAGUUUGUUCGCUCGAAACUUGUAUGGUGACAAGGAUACUGGCAAGGAUAGUGAGAUAGUUUUUUGUGCGAGUGAAUUUUGAAAGCUUGGGUGUUCUGGGAUUUGCAAUUGCAAUCAUCCUCUGCUUUAGGUGAUUUCUUCUCCUCUUCUGUCUUUAUUUUCUCUCUAAUUGAAAGCAUAAAGUAUUUCAAUCAAAUUCUGUACCAGGAAUACGAAAAAUUUACUAAUAUUUUAUUUCCAUCUGUUUGCAUUGAUAACUUGGCCGCUUAUGUACUAGUUAAAGAACAAACAGAAGCAGAGUUCAGGAAAAAGUUUCUUCGGCCACCAUAUUUUAAAAUGAAACCAUUUCCAGGAAGCAGUUGGCAGCAAAUUCAUAGAAAGUAUAGACAAUGAUGAGCAAAAAGGUGAUUCGCAAUUUCAUUUUUUUAAAAUGAAAUUAUUUGUUAAGUUGGAGCUGAUAUUGUUAGAAGGCCAUUGAGCUAACCUAUGACACUGCUUGCCUAGAUUGCAGGAGGUCAAGACUCAAAAGAUGCACUGAAUUUUAAAAGGCAUGCAAUAAUUCUUAUGGCCAUUUGUCAAUGGUGGAAUGCUUUUAGCUUCUUUUCCUUUCGUGCAUUUUGGGGUUCUAUCAAGCGACAGCCGUAUGUAUGGACGGAUAUAGCUGCUGCGUUGAUUUCUAAUGCGUUGUAUGAUGUUAUAGCAACUAUCUAUCUGGUCAAUGUUUCAAAAGAAUAAGACACAGGGAAAAAGAGAAAGCAAGUGGCCAAUCAAGUAUUCAUGUCCCAAAGAAAAGAAUGAUUCGACAAUAGCAUUAAGGGUUAAUUGGACACAACAGAAGUGUUUUAACCACUUCAAGGAAUGUAAAUGUAAUUUUCCAUUCUAAAGAAAAAGUAAAUAUAUGCACUGUCAAUUAAUCUUUGGUCAACCAGCAACAUUCAUAAUUUCGUGUAAGUUUCAUUUCUGUUUGUUGGAAAUAGCAGUGUAUUUCUGAGAGUUUGUUCAAAAUGGAAAGAUUUUAAAAUAUAAAUUUCACAUCUGUUUAUUACUGUUGUUUGGUCUAAUUUCUUAUGUAGAAUUUUCAGAAUCUGUCGGACAUUAGUUUAUAAUUUUGAGAUUUUGCAGCCAUAAAUUUUUUUUUUUUUUGGUUGCCAUUUUAUUUUGCUCCUUUAUCUAUGUGCAUGUUGACUGGCUGCAGUGAGUGAAAAUUUACCCAUAUUUGCUGGCUAUUCUUGGACAAUAUUAGAGAAAAUAAUCAUAUUAUUUCGCGUGAAGUGAACUUCCAUAACUUAUCAAUUGAAUUGCUGUAAAAUAUUAAAUAGUUUUAUUUUUCUUUUAUCGUGUAACUUGGACCAAAAAAGGAAAUGAGUUUAACAUGACCCUCAUUCCGGCACUAUGCAUGUUUUUCUUGUAUUGAUGACAGUGCUCUUGGUGCUUCUCAUCUGCUUCUUGCUUUGGUUUCAAACAAGUCUUUCUCCGUCGAGACAUUUAUUGUAAUUUCAUUUGGAGACAUAUAUCUGUCGUUCAAAUAUAUUUCAUAUGCAAGCUGUUAAUAAUUCUGCUUGCAGAAAGCCUACAAAGCAGCUGUGUGAUGUAAUAGAAGACCAUAGUCUGGUCAAUUUUUCAGCAUUAGAUAUUCAGGUCAUCAGCUUCUCAUGAAUUCUUUCCUGAGUUUCUUUGAAUUAUUUGUGAUGUAAUAACUUGUGCAUUUGAGAAACUGUUCUCUUGAAUUCUUUCUUGAGUUUCUUUGAAUUAUUUGUGAAUAAGUUGUUAAUCGGCUGCUUCUCUUCAGGAUAAGGAAAGUGUUGCAAACUGGUGAAGCAGCUGAUAGAUAAAAGCAAUGGGUACAUCUUUGCUGGCAUGGAUCGAUGCCAGUGCGGUUGAAUUCAGCAAGACUGCCGUUCGUGAUGUUGUUGAUUGGGAUUAUUUUCAACCUUAUGAUUCUCAUAUCCAUAGAACCUUUUGGUUAUUUAAUCAUAUUUCAUCGUAUGCAUCCGCAUCUUCAUGUGCGUUUGAGAAACUGUUUUGCGGUUAGGCAGGUUUCAAUCUUGAUUCAUGCGUCUUUCAUAAAUGUACAAAAUUAUGGAAACUUCUUUUUCCCAGAUAUUAUAUCUGCACUUAUUCCCAUGUAAUCGAGUCAGACAAGUUUUGCUUAACAAAGAUGUCUACAGUCGCUGAAGUGCAGGAGGAGUACAUUAAGGGUGAUGACAACAUUGAUUAACCCAACCCAACCUGUAAAAAAUCACACCGGUUAGGUUGGUUUCACGGAUUGGGCGGGUUGGUGCCCACCCAUAAAUAUAACCUCCAUUUCAGUACAAUGCAUGUUAAUUGUUCUCCAAGGACUUCUCUUGUUUCCCAUUCCCAACCUCCAUGCUCUCGAGAGGAAUUUGGCACCCAUCAAUUUUUAUUUUUGAAAACUCGUAAUGGUCUGAUAAAAUUAAACAACAUCAAUAACGUUACCAGUCUUUAAAUAGUAAUUAAUUUAUUUAAUUUGCCACCUAAAAGAAUCCUGCUGGAAAUAGAGGUUAAAAAUUUUAUUAGAUCUGCUUACCUUUGUUCAUUCAGCAAAAACACUUACAAUUCAUAGCUAGAGAAUCUAUCCAUUGACAAUUGUGGAUUAAAAUUAUAACACCUGAAUUCAAACAUAUCCUUAUGAAGUUAUGAAUUUGUUCAUACUUCAAAUGAUUUUUUUUUCCCCAAGCUAAUAAAGCGACCACUUUGAUCAAACAACGAUGUUGAAGGAAUUGCGUAUUUUCAAUGUCCUUUUCCAGACAGACGUUCGAGAGAGGGAAAGGAGAAGACUGGCCUAAUUAAGAUAUCUCACAAAGAUUAUUAUUGAGUUAAAAUGUUAUUGUAAAAGAUGUUUAAUACAAUAAUAGUACUUCUUUUGCAUUGUUAUAAUGAGGCUGGUGGGUUUCCUCAGAGGAUGGAUCUGGCUCGCUAGUAUGCAUUUGGGAAGCUGCUAAUUAUCGGCCAUAAAAAGUCAGGGGGUUGUGGCUGUUCCGUCGCCCAGAAAUUCCUAAACUCAUAUAUCAAAUUUCGGAUGAACUUGGGCAUUAUGUAAAUAUGUAUUUUUGAGAAUUAAACUAGUGCGUUAGAAAAAUUUUGAGCCACUGUAAUCAUUUGAUUUUGCUAAGAGAAAAUUUUACUCUGUGUUUCGCUUUGCCUUUUGUUUUUUCUGUGAUAAUAUGAUUCAUACGAAUGUGAUUACACACUAUCAUGCAUCUAUUUUCAUUUGCUUGUCAUGAAUGAUCAACAUGCUCGAAAUAUUUAUAUAGGUUGGAAAUAUUUAAAUCUAUUAAAAUACUAUACACACCCAUUUUAAAAUAAAAAUAUGAUUAUUAUAAUGAUCGCGAAGGUAACACGAUAUCAUAAAUAAAAUAAAAUAUUUCGCAAAAAAGAUAAGAUACGCUUGAAUACAUUGGUAUAAAAAAUAUUUUAGUGGAUUCAAGUAGCACUAAUGCUCCCUUAUCAAAAAAUAUAUAAAGAUAACUAAUCUGAUUGGGUAUACCGUGUGUGUGUGUGUAAUAUUUUUUGAUAUUAUUAUAUAAUAUUUUUUAAAAAGAAGAGAGAGUGGGCAAAGUUCAAAUCAAUUUUCUAAUCCCUAUCUCCUUUAGGAUUUAAACUUCGGUGUUUAGUGUCACGGGUCGCUCAAAUUUUCUAGUCAAAGAGGCUAAAUUGCACGAAAUUGUGCUAGCUUAUUUGAUUUUAAAAUUUUCCAAUGCACUGUAACACACUCUCAUGCUUGUACAUAGCUCGAAAAUCUCUAGAAUUUACCAGAGUAGUGUAGCAUGUAGCUUGUACAUAGGUUUUUCUGGAACACUCCAAGCAUUACUAAGCAUAAGAGCUUUGAGAACUCUCUAGACAUAAAACAUUCAAGGGUAGGCCUGCCCUAAAAAUAGGGCAUGAUGAUUGCCAUUUGAGCAUACAAGAAGUAAGAACAAAUCAAGUAUAUUUGUAAGCUCCCAAACUCUCUCGUACACACUCCUGUGAAUAUUAUGCUUUCUCUUUGACUAUAUUACUCUCUCUUCUCUCUAGUUUUUUUUCGCAAGUAUCAUAUCUUAGCUAGUCGAAAAGUUCAAGUAAGAAUGAUAAUUUUUCCUGAUGGGAUGGGAUGGGAUGGGAUCCUGUGGGAUCCCAUCUCAUUUAGGACGGGAUUGGGAUACAUUUUUAUCCCAUAAAAAAAUAUAGGGACGGGAGUAGAACUUUUUUUAUCCCACUUGUAUCUAUGGGACAGGACUGAGAUUAACAAAUCCAGUCUCGUCACGUCUCGUCUCAUUGCCAACUAGGGAUGGAAAUUUUUCCAAUUGAGAUGGGCUCUCACAGAAUCCCAUUUUUUUGGGGAUGCGAUUGAGACAUAUUUUUAUCCCAAAAAAAUAUAUCGACAGUGACACUUUUUUUUAUCCCACUUGCAUAUUCGGGACGAGACUGAGAUUAGUAAAUCCCACUCUAUCCCAUCACAUUGCCAACCCUAAGUUCAAGGCUUACUUUGCAACUAUCUCAUAAAAGUUGUUUUAAGUACCACAGGAGUUUGUUGUGCAAAAUACUCAUCCCGUGACAUUAGCUAAAUAAAAUUGUUUGAAAGCCACUUACCCAAACUAUUAAACAAAUAUUAUUCUUUUAAUAUGCAAUCUUUUAAUAUAAACUUUUGUCUUAAUUUUCUAUCUCCUACAAUAAAUUUUAUGAUUUUAAAAAUUGAAAAAAUUAAUAACUUUUAGAUAGAGCAUUCCUUACUGUUAAAAGAAAUAUGAAUGGUAAUAUAAAACUUACUUAUUAUAGUAUAAUGCUUUUAGUUUUUUGAAAUAAGGUUCUUAUUUUUUUCAAGAUAAAAUUCAAAGAAAACAAGUUAAAUGUUGUGGAAAAUCUUACGCCCAUACAAUAAAUUAUGACAGCUAAAUGCAAACCUGGCUGAAGUAUUAGUUGUUUUAUUACAAUCUCCAAAAAGAUGAGCACUUCCAAAAUCUUUCUUUGUAACAAUAAACACUACUGGUCAGCAACUAUCCAAGUCAAAAGUAACUCAAUGUGAGUCUUAGUGCACUUGCAGUGAAUCCCAAGAUAAACUAAUUUCACUAGCAAGUUGGAUACCAAAGAGUAAGGCUUCAGCCUCAAUUAUAUUAAAAUCUGAGUAAACAUUAAAUACCACAAUCAAACUCAGAAAUCAUAAUUAAACUAUCAUGAUUAAAAAUAAAGUUUUUUUUUUAGAUAUCCGUUUGUAGUAUCUCUUUAGAUGACAAAUAGGAGAUAAAAUAAAUAAAUAUUGGUUGCGUAAAUAAAAUAAAUAAUUUUUUUAACUGAAAAAAAUUCCUAAAAACUAAAUAGUUCAAACUUUUUUUAACAUGAAAUAAAUAUUAGAUGCGUAAAUAUAAAAAAAUUAACUGAAAAAAUUUCCCAAGAACUAAAUAGUUCAAACUUUUUGUUUAACAUCAUGGGUUUUGUAUAUUCAAUUGAACCGAACAACUAAAUUAAAUCGAAAUUACCCUGUUCGGUUCAAAUGAAUAGACGAAAACCGAACAGUUCAUAUUUUUUGAACUGAUGGUGCGUUUACUUCAUGAAAUGAAAAUAUGGUGGAAUGAGAAUGGGCUGGAAAUGAGAAUGUGUUGAAAUGAGAAUGAAGAAUGAGAAUGAGAUUCUAAUGUUUACUUAAUAAAAAUAAAGGGAAAUGAGAAUGUGCUGGAAUGUCAUUGAUGUGUUUAUUUGACAAAAUAAAUGGGAAUAAAGAAUGAGAAUGAGAAUUAAUUUACCAAAAUACCCAUAGUAUUAAAUAAUAUAAUUUUUAUUUUACUAGAUACAUGUAUAAAUAUUAUUAUAAAAAUAAUAUUAAUUAAAAUAAUAAAUGUUAAGAAUGAUAAUAUUAAUAAAAAUAAUAAUAACAAUAAUUAAUAAUAACUAAAAUAAUAAAGUUAAUAAAAAUAACAACAACAAUAAUAAUAAUAAUAAUAAAUGUUAAUGAUGAUGAUGAUGAUAAAUGUUAAUAAUGAUAAUAUUAGUAAAAAAAUAAUAACAGUAAUUAAUAAUAACUAAAAUAAUAAAGUUAAUAAUAAUAAUAAUAACAUUUAAAAUAAUAAAAUUAAUUGUGAUUUGAAUCAGAGUAAUUCGAAAAAUAUAAAAAAAUUAAAAUGAUACAAAAAUAAACAUAAAUUUUAUCCCCGUUCCCUCAUUUUCAUUCUCAAUUCCCCAUGAAAAUAGAAUUCCCAUUUCUUAUUUUCAAAUUACGGAAUCCCCAUAUUUUAUUAUCAUUCCCAAAUUAUAUUUUACCAAAUAAAUAUAAAUUUUAUUCAUAUUUUUUCAUUUCCAUUCUUUAAACCUUCAAGUAAACACAAUUUUCUUUUAAUUCGGGUUCUGGGCCUGAACCGAACCGUACCGUAAACUGCCCACCCUUACAGUAGUUUUCGGGGUUUUUAAUUAAAUAUGCCUUAAAAGUAGUGUAUUUAGUUAAAUAUACCCAUGUUUGAAAAUUAUCUAAGUAUGCCUUUUUAUGUGGUACAUUGUCUAAAAUAUCCCUAAAGAAAAAUAUAAAACACACACACAACUCACAACACUCUUUGCUUCUCACGUAUUUAUCAUCUAUACAAAAACUCACACCACACUCAAAAUCACUCACAAACAGCUAAUGCACUGAGUUUGUUUGCAGUUGGGUGUAUUAUUCAUCCCAUGAAUAAGGUAUUUGAAACUUUUUUUAUUUUAUUUUGGGCUAUCUAUUCAAUUUGUUGACAUUAUAUUAUUUUUAGGGUUUUGUUUGGUUUGUGAUAAACACUAAAGCAACUCAUAUUUUCAUUACAUUUGCAUCAUAUGACUGUUAUUUGAUGGAUUUUAUAACUACAUUCGUUAAAAUCUGAAGUUGUUGUCAAAUUUUUUUCUGCACCCGACAUACACGACAGCAGUCGUGUAUGUAUGUAUUUACAUGACUGUAGUCGUGAAAAUGUGCAAAAAAUUUCAAUUAUUAUGACACCUUAUUAUUCUAUUGGUUCAAAAAAUAUAUAUUUUUCACUAUAUAUAUCCUUUUACUAUUACUAUACUAUAGUCGUGUGUGUGAAUAAGUUACACGACUACUAACGUGUACGUAUAAACUUACAUACUAUAAUUGUUAAUAAGUUACACGACUACUAUGAACCUUAUAUACUUGUUAUUUUUUGUUGUUUUAAUUUUUUUAAUAUCUUUCAUAUUUAGUGAUAAAUUUUUACCUUUUUGUUUCGCAGAUGAAUAAACAUGUUUGUGUGACUUUCUAAGAACAAGUAUUGAAGGGAGGCGACCAGAGACUUAUAAAAUAUGGACUGAGUGUUUGGGUUGAAUAUGCCAAAAAUUUAUGAUGAAUGUUAAAUAACUUCUAUUAUAUUACGACUUAUUUACGAUUUCAAUAAUUAUUGGAUUUGUGUUAUUUGAUAGGCAAUCGAACUAUAGUUAGUUUCAUUUAUUUGAAGUUUGAUAUGUUUAAAAUCUAUAUUGAUUGUGUCAUCAAUAUAAUGAAUGAUUGAAAAGAAUUUUUAUUCUGUGCACAUACCCGAGUACAAUCGUGUAUUUUGGCUGUUACAAAACUAGUCAUGUUUAUUUCUAAAUACUCGACUACAGUCGUGUAUCUGUGCAAAUACUCGAUUAUCACAGAGAGUUUGUCAUAUUUAUUUCUAAAUACUCGACCAUAGUCGUGUAUCUAUGCAAAUACUCGACUACAGUCAAGUAUUUUGUCACAGAGAGCUUGUUAUUUUUAUUUGUAAAUACCCGACUACAGUCGUGUAUAUGUGCAAAUACCCAACUGCAGUCGAGUAUUUUGUCACAGAGCUUAUUAUGUUUAUUUCCAAAUACCCGACCGCAGUCGUGUAUCUGUGUAAAUACUCGACUGCAGUCGAGUAUUUUGUCACAGCUUAUUAUGUUUAUUUUUAAAUACCCGACCACAGUCGUGUAUCUGUGCAAAUACCCGACUACAGUCGAGUAUUUUGUCACAGAGCGUAUUAUGUUUAUUUCCAAAUACCCGACCGCAGUCGUGUAUUUGUGCAAAUACCUGACUGCAGUCAUGUAUUCUCUUACAGUGUAUUCCUUGUGUAUAUAUUGUGCAAACUAUCUUAUCUAUCAUUAAUAUAAAUAACAAAGAAAUAAAAUAUAUUAAUGCUGUCAAUUGUCUUUAAUGACAUCAAAUAUCAAUAACAUCCUCAUUACAACUAUUACAUCUCAUAAUCUAAAAAAUGACACUACAAAGUUUUUUUCCAUGACCUAUGCCCAAAUAAUUUUACAACCAAGGCUUGUCGAAAUUAUGUAACAUGAUUUUGUUGGCAUUAUGAAUUGACAUCAAGUCCAUGGACUAGGACCUCCAAGUACCGCAACAAAAAUGCUCCACAUUCACCACUAAAAAAAUUCAUAUAAAUCAAUUGUUAAAAAUCAUCAUUCUUAUUAUUAUGUUCAAAACACAUUAUAUAUAUAGUACAUACCCUGAUUUUUGUUGCGGGAUGUCACGCACUCGCACGAUGGGCCAAGGAAUUUUCGAAAUAACCUCACUACAGUCUGGAUGUGUUUCGUGAUAUGCUAUCUUCUGAAGUACUAGAGGUAUCAUGUCUGCAACAGGCAGCAAUUGUCUCACCAAAACUGAAUCCUUUGUUAAGUCUAUCAUGGAGUCAUAAAUAGAAAUCUUGCCCCCAAGUAUAUCGACCACACCGAGAACCCAAUGAUCAUUCAUGAAUAUUGGCAAAUACACCUACGAAAUACAGACAAUAUUCUUAACAAGUAACGGCAAAUAUAUCUACGAAAUGCUGUAACUGUUUUUAUCUACUUGCAGUUGAUUUAUUAAUAGUAUACUAUCAAUAGUUUUAUGCUAAAACAAAUAGCAAAUUGUUAAUAAAUUAGAAUUGUAAAAUAAAGGUUCUACAACAAAUAAUAGAGAAAACCCAGAUUGUAGCAUAAUGAAUGCAUACGCAGUUGAAGAAAAUUGAUAUAUAAUUCCCAUGGAUGAAGUUCAACUACAAACAAUAAGUAAAAUUAUAUAAAGAUCUAAUGCAUAAACUAGUGUAGCCAUAACCGAAAAUUCAUAAGGAUAAUAUUUAAUUAGGAACUCCCACAACCAUUAUUAAAGAGCUAUUAAUUCACUCUCUUCAAUUUCAAAUUCACAAGUUAAAGAAGCUUCAUUACAUUACCAACAAGAAAGAUUAUCAGUAAAUAAGCAAGAUAAUGACCAAAAUCAUGUGGGUAAUUUGUUUUUUAAAACCCUAUUGCAUAUAACCCUAACAAUUAUGCACCAUAAAUUCUCUUUAUAAAGUAAAAAAUAAGUGUAAAUGUGGUUAAUGACCUUUAGUUCGGUGAAUUUCCAGCCUUUAAUUCGGUGAUUUUGUAGCCUUUAAUGUGGUGGAUGAACUUGCAGCAGCAGGAGCAUGAACUUGCAGCAGCAGGAGCAUGAACUUGCAGCAGCAGGACAAGCGUUGUGUAUGGUAGCUCGUGAAUGCAGAUUUUGAAAUUUGAAGAAUUAAAUUGGGGUAAUUUUAUAAUUGCACAUUGAAAAAGGUAUAUAAAAAAAAUUUUGAAUUAUGGGGGUAUAGUUGGAUAAAUACCUAACCUUUAGGGUAUAGCGGGGACAAAUCCCUGGUAGUUUUCAUUAACCGACGUUGUACUGCUGGUAUGAAGUUGUUCAAAUGUUCAAAUCAGUCUCUCGCUUUCAGCUCAGUCAGAGUUUCCAGGUCCAGAGACUUCCCGCUGACUGAGAGCUUUUUUAGUAGCAGGUCUACAAAUAAAGGAAUAGAGCUGAUUUAAUGAUUAAUUUAUUUCCUUUUUCAAUUUCUUUUGAUUGCCAUUUAAUCUGGAUAAGUUAAACGUGAAUUAUUUAGUGCAGAUUAAAUGUUCGACGAAUUUCCCGCAAGAAUAUUAAGCUAAAGAGAAAAAAAGAAAACAAUUGAGCGUGAGCGGGAAUGGUGUUUGGCCAAGUGGUGAUUGGUCCGCUCGGCUCGGGAAAGACCACUUACUGCAAUGGCAUGUCUCAGUUUCUCCGCCUUGUUGGCAGGUAACUCCGUUUCUUGAUUUCAAGCAGCUUUAUCUUUGAUGGCCAAAAAAAUUGAUUUGGGCUUUGCCCAUUAAAUGAAUGUAAGAGCGGUAGGGAAUAACUGAGUUAUAGGAUUAGCUUUAAGUGAACAUUGAUGGUAACAUGCAUGUGAAUGUUGUAUGUGUUCAGCGGCAAGCUGUAUGCCAAUUUGGUCUAUAUGGUUGCUUCGGUGGUAACUUAUUAAUUUUUAUGCAGGAAGGUUGCAGUCAUCAAUUUCGAUCCUGCUAAUGAUAGUUUGCCAUAUCCUUUGUCGUUGAACUUUCUUACAAAUGCUGUGGUUUGUUGUAGUACAAUUAGUUCAAUCAGAAACUUCCUUGAUGUUAAUAUAGAUAUGAGUGUGCUGUGAAUAUUGAGGACUUCAUUAGACUAAGUGAUGUGAUGAUGGAGCAUUCACUUGGUCCCAAUGGAGGUUAGUCAGCCCAUUGUUGUUUACUCUUUCUUGCUUUAUCACGCAAUGAUAUUCCUUUGCUUUACAACAAAUUUCGUGAAAUUAACUUCAAUCAAGUGGCUAUGUUCAUACGCUGUUGAGAUUUUAUGGACAAAGAUUUGGUAGACUUUAUAUGCCGUCUUCUUUCUUUUUGCAGUGAUAUGUUUGUCUUCAAUGCACUUGUACUUGUUCUAUGGUUUCUAAAGUAGGUGUUUUUAUGAUAAACUAGGUCUUGUGUAUUGUAUGGACUAUCUAGAGAAGAAUAUUGACUGGUUGCAGUCGAAAUUGGAACCACUUUUGAAAGGUAAGAAGUGGCCAUUUUCCUUCAUUCUAAUGCCAAUAAUGCUGUCAUGAGACUCAUAAAAAUUGUUAAAAUGUUAAUGUUUUUGGUAUUUUGCAGAUCAUUAGCUUCUGUUUGAUUUUCCUGGCCAAGUUGAAUUAUUUUUUCUUCAUUCCAAUGCCAAGAAUUUUAUAAUGAGACUCAUAAAGAAGUUAAAUCUCAGUGUAUUGUUACAUCUUACGUCUAUGAAGGCACUCAAAGAGUUGAGAUGAAUUCAUCAUUGUUAUUUUGAUGCCAGAAUUGUGCAAUUCUCAGUUGCUUCCUUUCACAUGCAGUUGACUGCAGUGCAUCUAGUUGAUGCGCAUCUUGGCAGUGACCCCGGGAAGUAUGUUAGUGCUUUGCUUCUCUCAUUGUCUACGAUGCUCCAUCUGGAACUUCCCCAUGUCAAUGUCUUUUCUAAGAUCGACCUGAUUGAGAAUUAUGGAAAGCUAGGUGUGGUUUUAAGUGUAGCUCUCCUACUUGUUUGUUUAGUUUGAAAUAUCAGAUAUUGUCACAAGCUCCUAUCUGCUACGUUUCCUCACCAUUCAUUUACUUUGGGUAUGUUGCAGCUUUUAAUCUCGAGUACUAUAUGGAUGUGCAAGAUUUGUCAUAUUUACAGCAUGCCUUGGGUCAGGACCCUCGUUCUGCUAAGUACAGGUUUGAAUUCUAGCUGAAUCAAUGAUGCAAAUUAUGUCCAUUGCUAUUUCUGACUAUUGUUUCUAUCAUUUUCAAUUGUUACCUCCCCUUUCCAUCUACUGCCACACUACAAUGCCCACACAAAUAUCAUGAAAUUUUUCAAUGGAAAUGCCUUUCUGUUUGUCCAGAGACAGCUCUUAGAUGCAAGUGACCAAUUUUUGGCUUUGGCCAUGUUACAGCCUUAGAUUUCAAUUUGCCAUAUCUUGUCUCGGAAGUCAAAAGAAAGCAUAUUUGUUAGCCAAAUUUUAUUUGAAUUUCUUGUGUAACAAUGAAUGGGGGAAAAAAAAAAGUUCCUCUUUUGUUUUGAUCAGACUCAAUGAAUAAGUGGUUAAAAUGUGCCUGUACUAGAAAUAUAGAUGUGAGGUUUCAUAAAAUUUUCUUAAUCUUAAGAAAGAGUUAUCUUGAAAAGAAGAUAACAUGGAGAAUUCAACAACUAUACAGUCAUAUUGAUGUCUGUCAACUUGGGUCAUAUGGUGUUGUUUGGAUGGAGAUGUUAGGUCCCAGAUGGUAUACUUGUUAUCAAAUUCCAGUCUACUUCAUUCAUGCUUUGAUGACAUAUGCGGUGCAGCUUCUUAUCUAAGACCUGCAUAUGUUACAGUCAACAUUCUGUUCUGUAACUCAACCUCAGGAAUCUGCUUGUAUGGUGUUCUUCUAAUUUCAAAUGGAGAUAAGUAAUAUCUGUUGUUCAAAUAUAUUUUAUUUACAAGCUGUUAAUAAGUCUGCUUGCAGAAAGCUUACAAAGGAGCUGUGUGAUGUAAUAGAAGUCUACAGUCUGGUCAAUUUUUCAACCUUAGAUAUUCAGGUCAUCAGUUUCUCUUGAAUUCUUUCUUGAGUUUCUUUGAAUUAUUUGUGAAUAAGAUCUUAGUUGGCUGCUUCUCUUCAGGAUAAGGAAAGUGUGGCAAAACCUGUGAAGCUGAUAGGUAAAAGCAAUGGGUACAUCUUUGCUGGCAUGGAUGCCAGUGCAGUUGAAUUCAGCAAGAUUGCCAUUCGCGAUGUUGAUUGGGAUUAUUUCAGAUAUCCUUCUGUUCACUUAUUUUGAAUCUUGUUAUUCUCAUAUUCAUAAAACUUUUUGGUUAUUAUUAUGGUUCAUCAUAUGCAUCUACAUCUUCUAACUUGUUCGUUUGAGAAACUAAUUUUGCCGUUAGGUAGGCUUCAAGCUUGAUUCAUGCUUUUUUCAAAAAUGUACCAAAAUCAUGGAAACUUCUUUUUCCCAGAUAUUGUAUCCACACUUUUCCCAUAUAAUUGGGUCAGACAAGUUUUGCUUAACAAAGAUAUCUACAGUAGCCGAAGUGCUGGAGAAGUACAUUAAGGAUGAUGACGAUGUUAACUAAAAUGGGACGUGAAGAUAUGUGGUGUGCAAACCGUAAGCCUGCCUCUUAUUUUUGUGCAUGUUUACUUGCUUGUGAUUCACGUUUGUUAAUCUAUUUUGCUCUCUUGCAGGAGUUAUAAAGUUUUCAAUCAAUCAAACAUUUUAACUUAAGUCCUUAGCUCUUCACGGCUUGAAUGGGUCAGAUAGGACAAGCGCCGAAGAGGUGGUUUUAAUCAAACCCCUCCUAAUUAUGAUGUAUGGCCCGAAUCUCGGACUUUUUUUACAAUAUCAAGCGAUUUUUUUUAGUUGAAUCGGCUAGUGUACACAAAUGUCGAUUAUUGAUUUUUCUUUAGUAUUGUUUGUAAUUACAAGAAACGAAGUAAUGAAAUUUAUCAGUGCGUUCAUAGUUACGCUUAAGCUCAAAGAUUACCGUCAAGAUCAUCAACCUGCUGAUGAUCUGAAGCUUCCAUAGAAAAAGGAACCGGACAAAACCCAAGAGAGAGAACAAAAAUAAAUUAAUUAAAAAAAAAGAAGAAAAAUUGCCAAAGCUACUGGUCAGUUGACAUCAAUCUUUUGCACGUGGGAUGGAAAUGGAACACUGGGCACUUUGGAUGACUCAUAACUCACAAGAGAGCAUCGAAUUUAGGCCGAAUCAUAUAAAGUACGCUAAGCCUUAGUGCGUGCGCUGUUGCGUUGCUGUGUCUGCCGGUGAGAAUAAUUUUUCGUUUUUAAGGUAAUUUUCAUUUAUUUAUUUAUUUUUUUGGUGCAUAUGGUCGAACACUUGGUGGGCACCUCAGUUUUUGGAAUGUUCUCUUCAAUGAAUACAGGGAAAAAGGGACAAAAAUUAAGAACUUUAUUUUGUUCGCGUGGAAUCGAUAUCUGGAUUGGGAUUGUAUGUCGUGUUUAAUUUGAAUUGGUUGAUUCCUCUAAUGAAUUAUUUGAUAAAUUUAGUAGCAGUAUUUGGUGGCAAAAGUAUCAUUAAUUUUUGGAAAUAUGAUUAUAUUAUUAAUUAUUUUAGCAUUCUAAAAAGUCAAUGGUUAUGUUGGAAAUACUCUAAGGUAGACUAGAGUACAAAUCACAAUCACACAUAAAAAGUGAUAAAUAAUAAAAAAUAUAUUAUAUUUUUGAUCAUAUGAUUAUGAAGAUGUAUUUUACCUUAAAGAAGUUAUAAUAAGCGAAUUCUUUUAAAAAAGAAUAAAAUUUCUUUUUUAUCAUACUCAACCGCUUCAAACUUCUAAGAAGUAGAUAUACAAUGAGUGGAAUACUGAAUUGAGUGCGAGCUGCGGAUAACAUAUAAAAUUGGGAUACAAGCUUCAAAGAAAGUGUAUUGCUAUUCAAAUGUAGAUUUCAAAUUAAGAAGAUAUGCCAGCAAAUUGUAUAAAAAUGUAUAAAUUGAUCAGUAACAUUAAUUCCAAAUGAUGAAAUGAGUUAUCUUGAUCAAAAGGUCAAGAACCUACCUUACUUCUCUUAGAGAUAACUUGCAUCAACCGUUGUGGUAUUGAUACUUGUCUUCAGCUAGUAAAAGUGAAAGUUUCACAAUUGAAAUAAAGCUAAGGGAAGAUGCUAUGCUCCAUUUAUUAUUAUUAUUAUUGACGUGGUCGAGAAGUAAAGCCGUGCAUAUGAUGAAGUAUAAAUAAGAAUGCAAUAGCCCGGAAUUCAUUUACACAAACACUUCAAUAUCCUUUUGAUCACUUUUGCAAACAUCAAUUUGUCUCCUCUUGUAUUCACCAUGGUUGAUGCCAUCGUUUCCACUGUCUUGGAGCAGCUGAUUUCCUUCGCUGCUAAAGAGAUAAAGCAACAGGUGAUCGAAGUUACACCCGCAUAUUAUAAACACUUCUAAUGAUUUUAGUUGGUUUCCUUUUUAUCGAAAACAUUAUUUUUGCUUUAUUUUAUUUAUUUGGCAAUUUUAAAUUUGGAAAUUUGAAUUGAAUUUAAUUAAAAUGUGAUGUAGUUAGUAACCACUUAUUUUUAUUUUAUUUCAUUUAUAUUCUCAAUAACUACUCAUAUUUUGGUAACUUACUAUAACUUCCAUAUCUAAGAAAUUAUCAAAACCCACAAUUUUAACUCAGCACGAAUAUUCAAUGGUGAUCUAAGCUUUUGCAGAACACUCAAGUUUGUCAAACAUUCAUUAAUUCAAUGUUUAGUGAAAAAAACUCUUCUCAGCACAGAAUUCCAUGUCCAUUACUUAGGCUCUCUGAAAAAUUUCAUAAUUUUCAUACAUUCUUUGAGUUUGGUAAGUGAUUUCAUAUAAUUUCUUUUCAAGUUAAAUUUUAAUUUGGCUUCUGAUAUAGUCUCUUUGUUGAAUUUGUAUCUCUUAUGAUUCUUAGAUUUUGGGCUCCAACUUUUGAGGAUAUGAUAGUCACAUUUUAUGCUAUGCUCAGAUUGAUUUUUAUGAUUUUUUGUUCCCGUUAAGUGACUUAGAAUUUGACAAAAGUUUGAUAGGAAAUCUGUUUCACGAUUUUGUUUUAAUUGACCUUUUAGUGGAAAUAAGAUGCUUAUAACUUAAUGUGGAUGGUUUGUAAAAUCAUGAAAUUUGGAUAAUAUAAAUUUGUACGAGACUCUCCAUAAUAUUUCAUGAUUUUUCAUUAGCUCUGGGGUGUUACAGGUGCUACUUGUGACUGGUGUCAAAAAAGAAGUGAAAAAAAUUACCAACCACCUUCAAGCCAUUCAAGCUGUGCUCGAGGAUGCAGAGGAAAAGCAAGUGACGGAAACAGCUGUCAGACUUUGGCUGGGUAGGCUCAAGUCCGCAUCCUACGACAUUGAAGAUGUGUUGGAUGAGUGGAUCACAGCAAGAGGCAAAUUGCAAAUUAAGGGCAGCGUUUAUGACAAUGCUCUUGUUGCUCCUAAUCAGAAGAAGAAGGUAUGUUCCUGCUUUCCUGCCUCUUGCUUUGGUUUCAAACAAGUCAUUUUGCAUCGUGACGUAGCUGUCAAGAUCAAAGAAAUCAAUGAAGAGCUGGACGAUAUUGCCACUCAAAAAGACAUGUUUAAAUUUGUUGGGAGUGUCAGUAAAAGUAGUGAAAGACCAAGACGUGUGCAGAGUACCUCCUUGAUUGAUGAGGAAGAGAUUUGUGGUAGAGUUGGUGAGAGGGAUGCACUCUUAAGCAUGCUGUUGUGUGAGAGCAGUGAGCAACAAAAAGGCCUUCAUAUCAUCUCAAUUGUUGGUAUGGGAGGCAUCGGGAAAACUACUCUUGCACAACUAGCUUGUAAUCAUGACAAGGUGAAGAGUCAGUUCGACAAAAUUUUAUGGGUGUGUGUAUCAGAAACUUUUGAUGAGUUUAGGAUUGCCAAAGCGAUGCUUGAAGCUUUGACUGGUUCAACUUCUAAUUUAGAUGCAUUGCAAUCUCUUCUUAUAAGUAUUGACGAAUCUAUUGCGGGAAAGAGGUUUCUUCUUGUCUUAGAUGAUGUGUGGGACGGAGAUUACAUUAAAUGGGAACCAUUCUACCGUUGCCUAAAGAAAGGUCUCCAUGGAAGUAAAAUUGUAAUUACCACACGUAAUGAGUCAAUUGCCAGCAUGAUGAGAUCCGCAGAUAUUAUCUCUAUCAAGGAAUUGGCUGAAGAAGAAUGUUGGGCAUUGUUUAAGCAGUUAGCAUUUUUCGGUCGAUCCACUGAGGAGUGUGAAAAAUUGGAACAAAUUGGUCAAAGAAUUGCAAGAAAGUGUAAAGGUUUACCUCUUGCUGCAAAGACAAUGGGAAGUCUCAUGAGCUCUAAAAAAACUGAAGAAGAGUGGAAAAGAAUUUUAAAUAGUGAUUUAUGGAAGGUAGAAGAGAUUGAGAAAGGUGUUCUAACCCCUUUGUGGUUGAGUUAUAACGAUUUGCCAUCUAGAGUAAAAAGAUGUUUCUCGUAUUGUGCUGUCUUUCCAAAAGACUACAAUAUAGAAAAAGACAAACUAAUUACUUUGUGGAUGGCUCAAGGUUAUCUUAGUGCAGAAGCAGCAGAACAAGAUGAGGAGUUGGAGACUAUAGGUGAAGAGUAUUUUGGCAUCUUAGCUUCUCGCUCUUUCUUUCAAGAGUUUGAGAAACGUUAUGAUAAUCGUAUUAUAGCGUGCAAGAUGCAUGAUAUGGUACAUGAUUUUGCCCAAUUUGUUAGUCAAAAUGAAUGUUUUUCGUUGGAAGUUAAUGGUAGUGAGGAACUAAACGUCACAAACUCUACAAACUCUCUUGAUGAGAAGGUCCGUCAUUUAAUGUUAAUCUUUAGUAAAGGGACUUCAUUACCUGUUUCCACUCGUAGAGUUAAAAGAAUGCGUACCCUCUUAAUUAACGAUAGUAGAUCUGA